Molecule: long non-coding RNA, 97979 nt
Filed under: Triticum aestivum (bread wheat)
Lineage: Eukaryota; Viridiplantae; Streptophyta; Magnoliopsida; Poales; Poaceae
Description: long non-coding RNA (TAES_LNC016634)
Source: RNAcentral
CGGAGUGUAACUUCGACAGUCGCAUAGCGUACGGUCACCUUGGGUGCCCGAAAUCUGCGACCAGCUGCUCUUGGACAGGACUGUGCAUGAGUCAGGGGUGUAACUUCACCUACUGCGUAUAUAGAUAAGAUAGGCAGGCAUGUCGACCUGAUAGAAUAACAAAGAUGAUACCAUGGAUGGCAAUGCAGUAUGUAGUUUUAUUCGCUGCAAAGUGAUGUACGUGAAUGGUGAAUUAUUUACAUGCCUACCAUGGAUAUGUCUCGUUUUUCAUAUUAUCCUGAAAUAAAAAGUGUUCACUUUAGAGUCAAUUACAUCACAGGUGUCUGAACUUGACGAGAAAAUUCAUUCUCGAAAAAAAAACUUGACGAGAAAAGUCAGUUUGGUACUAAAACUUGCAGCAUAAUUGAACCAAUGAAAACACUUGGCUUGGGCGUGCAUCUAUGUGCUCAUCAUGUUUGUAUACAUACAAUGUGUUGAAGUGGCGCGCCAGCAUGACGUGGGCCCCAACAGACAGUGAUUGGGAGGUGGGGAUGAGGGUGUGUGGCCUUUUUUGGCAGAAAACACCUUAAAUUUAUUAUUUUGUCACGAAAAAGCCCCAGGAAUCUUUUUGUUUUUCUAAAACUCCCCUAGAUGUGUCUCUAUGUCCCUUGGGACCCACCCAUCACGAAACAAUACAAAGAGAAAUUAAUACCCGCGAACUAGUCCGUUAAAGAUGGUCACGCUAGCCAUCACACCAACUCUUAGAGCAUCUCCAGUCAUUGCCUCCCAGGAGGCAUAAAAAUCGCCGCCUGGAGGCGAGCCGGCGGUAGAAUCGGCUCUGGGGGCGGUUGGGCAUCCAGCCGUCGCCCCCAGGUCGCCCCUAGGUGUCGAUAUCGGCCCAAUCCUAGCUGCCUUUCGGCCCACCUUCGGCGAAAAAUGGCCCGAUAUCGGCACAAAUCGGCCCAUAUUCGGCGUGGUUUUUGAGUUAAAUAUUCAUCACAGGAAAUCAAGAAAAAUCUAAAUAGUUCAACAAAUAGUACAACAAUGGAUAGUUCAAUAAAAACUCAUAAUUCAUUACACGUCGAGGUAGGCGUCACCCUUGAUCCUCCAUAGGUGCUCCACCAGAUCCUGCUGCAGUUGUUAAUGCACCUGUGGGUCUUGGAUCUCCUGACGCAUAUUGAGGUAGGCAGUCCAUGUUGCCGGUAGCUGGUGAUCAACUUCGGCUAGAGGACCCUGCCUGCAGUAUGGUUCAGUGUCAAACAAUGGCUCUUCCUGCUCGCUCUCGAUGAUCAUGUUGUGUAAGAUGACACAACAAGUCAUGAUCUCCCACAUUUGAUAUUUCGACCAAGUUUGAGUAGGGUACCGGACAACAACAAAUCGAGAUUAGAGCACACCAAAUGCCCGCUCGGCAUCCUUCCUGCAAGCCUCCUGCACCUUGGCAAAGUGGGACUUCUUGCCUCCUGGCACAGCUUUUGAGAUAGUCUUCACAAAUAUAGACCAUCUUGGAUAGAUGCCAUCAUCUAGGUAGUACCCCUUAUUGUAGUGCCACCCAUUGACCUUGAAGUUCACCGGAGGAGAAUGACCUUCAACAAGCUUGGAAAAGACAUGGGAGCACUGCAGCACGUUGAUGUCACUGUGAGUUCCUGGCAUACCAAAGAAGGAGUGCGAAAUCCAGAGGUCCUGUCUGGCCACCGCCUCAAGUACCACACCGCAACCGCCUUUGGCGCCUUUGUACAUCCCCUGCCAAGAAAAUAGGGAGUUCUUCCAUUUCCAAUGCAUGCAGUCGACGCUUCCAAGCAUCCCAGGAAAUCCUCUUGCUGCAUUCUGUGCUAGGAUCCGAGCAGCGUCUUCCGCAUUGGGUGUUCGCAAGUAUUGCAGUCCAAACACUGCCAUCACUGCCGUGCAGAACCUGUAGAAACACUCAAUGGUGGUGGACUCGGACAUGCGCCCAUAGUCGUCGAGUGAAUCAUCCGGAGCUCCGCAUGCAAGCAUCCUCAUGGUUGUCAUGCACUUCUGGAUUGAGGUGAAUCCAAGUUUGCCGGUGCAAUCCAUCUUGCACUUGAAGUAGCUGUCGAACUCCCGGAUGGAAUUCACAAUCCUGAGGAAAAGCUUUCGACUCAUCCGAUAACAGCACCAACAUACUUUGUCGCCGUGCAGUGGAGCGUCGGUUAAGUAGUCGGAGUAGAGCAUGCAUUAGCCCAAGAAGAUGUCGGUUCUUUGCUUUCAUCCACCUCGGUGUCGAGCCAGCUCGCCGUGGCUUUUCAUUGCUCGCCAACAGGCCGGCGAGGGCGGCGAGGAUCAUGAGAUGUUCCUCUUCCUGAACGUCGGCAUCGGCUUCCUCCUCUAGUAGCGUGGCGAGUGCCUCCUCGUCGUCCAAGUCCAUUGCCGAGCCAGGCAAACCGCCGAACACCUUGCGGGCGCGGCUGGGCGCGCACCCGCCGCUACACUGCCCCUCUACGGCCGGAACGCCGAAAAUAUCGCCUAGACGGUGGUGGAGAGGCUGCCUCGGUGAAACCUCUACUCUUUUUCUGGGGGGAAAUGGCCUAUCUAGCAGUGGUGGGUGGUGGGCGGCGCCGGGAUCAGCCGGGUGGCGGGCGAGCACGCGGAGGGUGAGAGGCGAAUCUGGACGAUAGGCUUGACUUUUUGCCUGACGGUGUGGGUCAGACGUGCUUUUCCCUUGCGCCGGAGCCCCCGAGCGCCCCCCCAUUGCGUUGGGUACGUCCUGCGGUCGCCGGGCNNNNNNNNNNNNNNNNNNNNNNNNNNNNNNNNNNNNNNNNNNNNNNNNNNNNNNNNNNNNNNNNNNNNNNNNNNNNNNNNNNNNNNNNNNNNNNNNNNNNNNNNNNNNNNNNNNNNNNNNNNNNNNNNNNNNNNNNNNNNNNNNNNNNNNNNNNNNNNNNNNNNNNNNNNNNNNNNNNNNNNNNNNNNNNNNNNNNNNNNNNNNNNNNNNNNNNNNNNNNNNNNNNNNNNNNNNNNNNNNNNNNNNNNNNNNNNNNNNNNNNNNNNNNNNNNNNNNNNNNNNNNNNNNNNNNNNNNNNNNNNNNNNNNNNNNNNNNNNNNNNNNNNNNGAUGUCCAUCACGCACAUGGGGCUAAACUGAGCUGCACAGCGGCCCAUUUUUCACACGAUAGUUUUUAGUUAAUAAAUACUAUUUAUAUUUAUUAUUUUAAUUUUCUUUUUCAAAUUAUAAAAUAAUAAUUUUUACAGUUACGUGAAUAUUACUUUGAAUAAUAAUAUUUCUCUUAAAGCGAAUACAUGAAUAUAGCCUAAAAAUACACUGUUUUUUUCUGAAUACAUUAAUAAUAUUUAUGUAAUUCAAAUGAAUACCAUUAUUUUGGUUAUGUAAACAUUUCUAAAUAGUCAUGUGUAUUUUUUUGAAUUGUGUGAACAUUAUUUUAAAUAAGAACAUUUUUUAGAAUUGCAUGAACAUUAGUUUAAAUAAGUAUAUUCUUUAUAAUUACGUGAACAUUAUUUUAAAUAGUUUAUUUCAUUUGUAGUGACAUUAUUUAUAAUUUAAAUAUUUCUAAGGGUUGUUUUGUGUUGAUUUAAAUAUUUCUAAGUUUUUAGACAAUCUCACGAAGCUUUAUUCAACCGUCACCAUGUUGACACGGCGAAUGGAAUGCCGACGGGCUGUCCUGACCAAACAUGUCGGCCAGGCCCUAACUGCAACGCAUGCUUCGCUAGAUUGUGAGCCUCAAUAUUUGAGCUCUUAAAUUCGUGGACUAUAUUACAUGAAGUAAAAGUAGUGGAAUUAAAUCUAAUCUCCUGAAUGACCGCUCCAUAGACGGAACCACUUCCACGAUGAAUUUCUUCCACAACACCUCGGCAAUCUGACGCUGGAUGAAUCCGAUGCAAGUUCAAGUCUUGAGAUAGGGACAAACCAUCCCUAAUCGCCAUUGCUUCCAGUGUAGCCGGGUCCCCUAUGUUUGGGAAUACUUGGGCCGAAGCACCUAAGAAAAUUCCUUCCGUGUUUCUGCCAAUAACCCCUACAACACCAUACCCGACGGAUCCUCCCACCGUUGCAUCGACAUUAAAUUUCAUGUGUUGCUCUAGAGGAGCUAACCAGCCCCCUCGCCUUGGUGCCACAGCGCCCUGAACUUUGUAUAUUGGUGUUAAAACCUGCAGUUCCCCCAGGUAUGCAUUUACAAAAUCAUGAGUAGCAUGUGGGCUUUUAUAUAUGUCCUCAUAUAUUGCCUUGCGUCGAGCGCCCCAAAUGGCCCAUAAUGUUACUGCAAACCUGACAAAAUCCUCUCUUGGAAGUGCUUUCCCAAUAGAAAAAAUCCAACUUUUUGCACACUCCUGUUGGUUGAUGCUGAGUUGAUCAAGAAUGGCUUCAGAAGAAAGUGCCCAUGUACUGCAGGACACCGGGCAAUUCAACAACGCAUGCCUCCACGUAUCAUGAGCUUUGCAUAGACUACAUGACGAAGUAGUUGCCAUAUUUCCAUGAUUAAGCAUUGCCCCUGACGGUAUAGAGUUUUUAGCCAAGCGCCAUAGGAAAACUCUAAUUUAGAUGGAACUUGCAGCUUCCACAAUGCUUUCCAUUCAUUACCCUCUUCAUGGUGUGAAGUUUCUACUCUGCCCUCAAGCCAACCCUCCCAAUUGAGCUUAGUCCGUAGUAGCAUCCGGUAUGUCGAGCUGACUGAGAAGUUGCCUCGUGGUUCCUCACUCCACGCGCAAAAUUCAGCAAGCCUGCGAGUACAUAAAGGAAUUUUGAGUAUUACCUCAGCAUCAAUUGGUGUAAACAUUGUCCGAGCAAGAUCCUCUUUCCAGGAAGUUGUAGCUGCUUCAAUCAAUUCUGACACUUUUCGAUGGGGGUUCUGAACUAAAGAGAGGUAACUGGUCUCUUAUAACUUUCUCUAGGCAGCCAGUUUUGCUCCCAUAUGUCCGUACUUUCUCCAUCUCCUAUCCGACGUAUGAUACCUUAUGCCAUUAUAUCUCUUCCAUCAAGAAUAGCUCUCCAAAUCUACGAGGGGUGGGAUCCCAAUUCUGCAUGCAGUAGAGCACAGUCUGGGAAAUAGAUAGCCUUCAAAAAAAUUUCACUCAAAGAGUCCGGAUCAUCCAUGAACCUCCAUGCCUGUCUAGCCAAAAGUGACAAAUUAAAGAGCUCUAGGUCCCGAAAGCCAAAAUCCCCCAUGUACUUCGGCGUUGUCAUAGCAUCCCAGGCUACCCAUGCUGGUUUUCGUUUCCCUCUCUUGCUUCUUCACCAAAACUGCCUGAUGAUAGAUGUGACAUUCUCACACAAACCUCUAGGAAGCCUGAAACAAUACAUAGAGUAUACCACCAACUUUAUGAGCACCUCCUUUCUAGCUGCUGACAAUGAUUUCCCCAUCCAUCCUUUCACCUUUUCCCACACUCCGUACCACAAAAAAUUGGAAGUACCAUUCUUUGAGUGUCCCACUUCCGUUCGCAUGCCCAAAUAAUGAUCGCUGAGAGACUCAUUUUGUACCUGGAGUUUCCCCUUCACCUCGUCCCUUACUACUUGGGGACAACCUUUACUGAAGAAGAUGAAUGACUUUGAAUUAUUUACUUUCUGACCUGAGGCCCUGCAAUAUAAGUCCAGUAGGUUUGAUACCUUCUCUGCACCCUCCACACUAGCCUUGAAUAGCAACAGGCUGCCAUCUGCAAAUAAAAGAUGGUUAAUGGUAGGAGCCGUUGGCACCACCUUAACACCUGCCAACAAUGAUGACUGAGAAGUGGAUUUCAGGAGGCAUGAAAGGCCCUCUGCUGCAAUCAAGAAAAGGUAAGGGGAUACUGGAUCUCCCUGCCAAAGCCCACUAGAGUGAACUGCCGAAGCUUCUCUCCAUUAAAUAGAACUGGAAAGGACACACUGGAUAUCAUAGACAUGACUGUGUCAAUUCAUCCUUGUGCGAAGCCCAACUUACCCAUUAUAUUUCUCGGGUAAGCCCACUCCAACCUAUCAUAAGCUUUCAUCAUAUCCAGCUUGAGAGCACAAAAGUUGUUAUUCUUUGACCUGCUAUGCUUCAUGAAAUGUAAGCAUUCAUAGGCACAAAUGAUAUUAUCUAUUAUCAACCUCUCUGGCAUAAAGGCAGACUAAUCCUGCGAAAUUAUAUUUGGUAACACUUUUUAACCUAUUGGCCACUACCUUUGAUGCUAUCUUAUACAAAACAUUGCAUAAACUGACCGACCUAAAUUGUGGAAGGAGGGUGGGGUUAGUUACCUUCGGGAUAAGUACCAAGAUAGUAUUGUUUAUGCAUUCAGGGCUCUCCUCUCCUCUAACAAUUCUGAUAACUAUGUUUGUCACAUCAUCCCCACAGGCAUCCCAGUGCUUCUGAUAGAACUAGGCUGGGAAGCCAUCAGGGCCUAGUGCCUUUGUGGGGAACAUCCGGAAGAGUGUUGUUUUGACCUCCUCUCAUGUGUAAGGGGCACAUAGAUCAUAAUUCAUGGCCACUGUAACCUUGCGUGCAACAUGUUGAAGCACCUCCUCUAUGCCUUGCACCCCUUUGGAAGUGUAUAAUUGCUCAUAGAAAGCAGUUGUCAUUGAUCUCAAUUCAGUGGGGUCGUCCACCAUAACCCCCUCAAGAGCUCUAAUCAUAUUCUUUUUCCUCCGUAGACUGGCCCGCAGAUGAAAGAACCUUGCGUUUUUGUCACCUGGCGAGAGCCGCUCCACAUGGGCCUUUUGCCUCCACAUGAUCUCCUCACAAUGAUACAGCUCAAUCAAACACUCAUUAAUUUUCAACUCUCAUGGGUAGGAGCCGAGCGUAGCGGAUCCCUCGCAGUUCUUCAAGUUUUUGUUUCACACUUUUUAUUUCAUGCCUGACACUCCCAAAAUACUGCUUACUCCAAAUGGAUAACCCCCUAGAGACACUCGCCAAUUUAUUAUGUAGUUGUUGGAUGUUUUCUCAAGGGCCUCCUACAAGCCAUUCGGUGUUGACAGUCCCUCCAAAUUCCUCGUGUUGUUCCCACAUAGCCUCAUACCUAAACACCCGAGGUGGUAUUGUUGCAUGCACUUGUCCAAAAUCAAGGAGUAUUGGUCCAUGAUCAGAAGUAGCAAUGAUGUUCCAGACUUGCCGCAGGGAACUGCGCCAUCCACUGGGGGUUGACUAGCGCCCGGUCCAAUCUACACCUAGUAUAAGUCCCGCCGGCCACUUUGUUUUCAAAAGUCCAAAACCUUCCUUUGUAUCCAAUGUCCAUAAACAUGCAAACAUCCGUAGUCUCUCUAAAAUCUUGGAUUUGUGCAUUACUACAUUGACCAACCCCCUCAUGCUCACUUGGACAUAAAACUUCAUCGAAAUCACAACCACAGCCACGGGAGGGAGCCCAAUGUGCUUAUGUUUUUUAAAUCUGUCCAUGUCUGGUGCCUGAGGUGAGUUCGAUUCUCUCCAUAAACAUAGGUUAGUCUCCAAAGAUCCUAACCGUUCUCCUCAAUGGGCACGUCUAUAUGAUAACAAGAAUAACCCAGAACUUCAACUUUUAUUUCAUUGUUCCAAAACAAACCUAAUCCACCACUUCUACCUUGACUAUCAACUGCAAAUGCUUUAUCAUAACCCAAAGUACUAGCUAAAGAUUCUACCCUAGAUCCAUCGAUCUGUGUUUCAACAAUGCAUAAGAUGGUAGGGGGAAACUUCUUCAUGAAUUCGAGAAGCUCUUGGACUGUCGCAGCGUUUCCCACACCACGACAGUUCCAGCAUAACAUAAUCAUUGGCCCGGGUGGCGCUCCUCGAAGGAGCCCGCCAAAAUUUUCACCAGUUUGCUCUCACUAUCUCCAUGUACUUCUCCUGUGUGAGUGUGCUUGGGAUCCCUGGUAGGUGGUGGGCUGAUAACAUUGGCGCCAAAAGGAACCAUAGUUAGCUCAUUGUCCUUGGCAUCUGCUACAUGUUUCGCUUGUCCCGUUUUGGCAUUGGAAACACCAUCUGUUUAUUCUCCUCUAUUGUGGUACCAUUCAUCCAACAUCAUGUCACUAGCUGUUGAGUCUGGUUCUUCCUCAUGCCUGUAUAGUUCAUUCCCAUAUGCCUCCUUCCCAGCAUCCCGGUUAACCUGUUCGGCCACCUCUAUGCCCCCCCCCCCCGACGUCCAGGGCCACCACUAGAACUACGGCCAACCCGCAUCGUCCAGGAGGCUCGGAAUUCUUUAAACACUAGUGCAGUUGUGCUCUUUAAAAACAUGAACCAAGGUCCACAUACUGCACACCAAUCAGGGAGGCGCUCAUACUUGACCCUAUAAAUUUGCCUCUCCUUAUUUCUGAUUAGGGACAUCACAUUCUUCAGAGGAUUGUGGACGUUGAUCCUGACCCAGGUGUGGUAAAAAUUACCCGUGAAGUCAUAGGAAGACUUCUCGACAUGUAGUACUUCUCCUAGUUUUGCAUCGAGCGAUGGAAUCAGAUGAGCAUAAUGUUGGGCAACAUUGCAUGGGAAAAAAAUUCUUAUGCUCACCAAAAUCAAUCUAGGAGAAGGACAUAUACGAGAGGAGAGAUUGCAUCUACAUACCCUUUUAGAUUGCUAAGAGGAAGCAUUAAGAAACGUGGUUGAUGUAGUCGAACGUCACGUUCCAAUCAUGAUCCGUUCCGCGAACUCUUGAUCUAGUGCCGAACGGACGGCACCUCCGCGUUCAACACACGUACAUCUUGAUGAUGCCUUCACCUCCUUGAUCCAGCGAGCGAUGGUGAAGUAGUAGCUCGAGUCCUCCGGCAGCACGACGACAUGAUAGCGGUGGUGGUGGAGAAAUCUCGGUAGAGCUUCACCAAGCACUACAGAGAAGAAGAUGGACUACGAGGGGGAGGAGGAGCAGUGCCGUGGCACAAAUAGAUCUGUAUGGGUGCGGCUGCCCUCUCUCCACCUCUCUAUAUAUAGGGGGAAGGGAGGAGGAGGGGGCACUGCUAGAUCCAAUCUAGGGGCGGAGGCCAACAAGGGGAAACGCUAGAUGGGUUUUGGCCCCCCACCCCUUAGGAGACUUGGACCCCAAGGCAAAGGGGUGUCCUGCCCUAGGGAGGCGCCCCACCUCCUCUCGCAACGUGGGAAGGGGACUUGGGAGGUGCACAGCCCCUUAGUGGGCUGGUGUGCGCCCUCCACUUGGUCCAUGAGGCCCCCCAACACUUNNNNNNNNNNNNNNNNNNNNNNNNNNNNNNNNNNNNNNNNNNNNNNNNNNNNNNNNNNNNNNNNNNNNNNNNNNNNNNNNNNNNNNNNNNNNNNNNNNNNNNNNNNNNNNNNNNNNNNNNNNNNNNNNNNNNNNNNNNNNNNNNNNNNNNNNNNNNNNNNNNNNNNNNNNNNNNNNNNNNNNNNNNNNNNNNNNNNNNNNNNNNNNNNNNNNNNNNNNNNNNNNNNNNNNNNNNNNNNNNNNNNNNNNNNNNNNNNNNNNNNCUGGUCAUCACCAGGUACCCUCGGAACACUUCCGGACUCCAAUACCCUUCGUCCAAUAUUUUCUUCCUAAUUCAUCAAAGGUUACUAUUUCUUCUUUAUUCGGGUCUAUCUCUUGGACCUCUUUUUCUUUUGCUUAGGUUUAGCCGAGGUAGUGGACAAACAGAGGGGAAGAAAAUAUGGCGGGGGACAAAUUUCUUGUGAUUGUGAGCAAAUAGAAUUGCUUGUCUUGUUUAAUUAUGUUCAAAUUGAAAUUUACAGAAAUUUUGCAAAAAAAGUAAACUCUUCCAUUGAAGAUUUUUUGACCAUUCCGGAGUUCCUCUUCAUGUCCGGGGUCUCAUCCGGGACUCCGAACAACCUUCAGUAACCACCAUAAUGACUCAACUAUACUUAUAUUGUCACCAAAUGUUAAGUGUGUAGACCCUCCGGGUUCGAGAACUAUGUAGACAUGAUCGAGACACCUCUACGGUCAAUAACCAAUAGCGGGACCUGACUGCCCAUUUUGGCUCCUACAUAUUCGACGAAGAUCUUUAUCGAUCAAACCUUGGUGUCAAGGAUUCAGCUAAUCUCGUAUGUAGUUCCAUUUGUCGAUCGGUAUGGUACUUGCCUGAGAUUCGAUCGUCGGUAUCUCCAGACCUAGUUCAAUCUCGUUACCGGCAAGUCUCUUUACUCAUUCUGCAAUACAAGAUCCCGUGACUAACUUCUUAGUCGCAUUGCUUGCAAGAUUCUUGUGAUGUUUUAUUACCGAGAGGGCGUAGAGAUACCUCUCUGUCAUACGGAGUGACAAAUCCCAGGCUUGAUCCAUGCCAACUCAACAGACACCCUCGAAGAUACCUGUAGAGAACCUUUAUAGUCACCCAGUUACGUUGCGACAUUUGGUACACACAAGGUACUCCUCGGUGUCAGUGAGUUGCAUGAUCUCAUGGUCAUUGGAACAUAUACUUGACAUGCAGAAAAUGAUCGCAAUAAACUUCACACGAUCAUAUGCUACGUUUCUAGUUUGGGUCUUGUCCAUCACAUCAUUCUCCUAAUGAUGUGAUCACGUUCUCAAAUGACAACUCAUGUCUAUGGAUAUGAAACCAUAGCCAUCUUUGAUCAACGAGCUAGUCUAGUAGAGGCUCACUAGGGACAAGUUGUUGUUUAUGUAUCCACACAUGUAUCCGAGUUUCCGAUCAAUGCAAUUCUAGCAUGGAUAAUAAACUUUUAUCAUGAACAAGGAAAUAUGAUAAUAACUAAUUUAUUAUUGCCUCUAGGGCAUAUUUCCAACAGUCUCCCACUUGCACUAGAGUCAAUAAUCUAGUUCACAUCACCAUGUGAUUAUAUAACACCCAAUGAGUUCUAGGGUUUGAUCAUGUUAUGCUUGUGAUAAAGGUUUUAGUCAACGGGUCUGCAACAUUCAGAUCCGCGUGCUACCGCACUCCACUUGGAUCUAUUCCAAAUGGCUGCUCCACUAUAAGUAUCUGGUUUGCUAAGACUCAUCCAGAUUGGUGUUAAAGCUUGCAUCGAUGUAAUCCUUUACGCCGAACUCUUUAUCACCUCCAUAACCGAGAAACAUUUCCUUAUUCCUCUAUGGAUAGUUUUGACCGCCUUCCAGUGAUGAUCCACUCCUGGAUCACUCUUGCACACCCUUGCCAGACACGUGGCAAGGCACACAUCAGGUGCGAUACACAGCAUGGCAUACCGUAUAGAGCCUAUGGCUAAGGCAUAGGGGAUGACCUUCGUCCUUUUUCUUUCCACUGCUGCGAUCGAGCUUUGAGUAUUACUCAACUUCACACCUUACAACUCAGGCAAGAACUCCUUCUUUAACUGAUCCAUUUUGAACUCCUUCGAAAACAUGUCAAGGUAUGUGCUCUAUGAAAGUCUUAUCAUGCAUCUUGAUCUAUCUCUAUAGAUCUUGUUGCCCAAUAUGUAAGCAGCUUUACCCAUGUCUUCUUUUGAAAAACUCCUUUCAAACAACCCUUUAUGUUUUCCAGAAAUUCUACAUCAUUUACGAUCAACAAUAUGUCAUCCACAUAUACAUAUCAGAAAUGUUAUAGAGCUCCCACUCACUUUCUGGUGUAUACAAGUUUCCUGCAACCUUUAUAUAAACCCAAAAGCUUUGAUCACCUCAUCAAAGCAUAUGUUCCAACUCCGAGAUGCUUGCUCCAGUCCAUAGAAGGAUCACUGGAGCUUACAUACCUUUUAGCAUCCUUAGGAUCGACAAAACCUUCUGGUUGUAUCACAUACAACCUUUCCCCAUGGAAACCGUCAAGGAAACUUUGUUUUGACAUCCAUCUGCCAGAUUUCGUAAUUGAAAAUGCAGCAACUGCUAACAUAAUUCCAACAGACUUUAGCAUUGCUAUGAGUGAGAAAGUCUCGUCAUAGUCAACUCCUCGAACUUGUCGGAAACUUCUUUGCGACAAGUUGAGCUUCAUAAAUGGUGACAUUACCAUCAGCGUAUGUAUUCUUCUUAAAGAUCUAUUUAUUCUCAACGGCUUGCUGAUCAUCGGGCAAGUCCACCAAAGUCCAUACUUUGUUCUAUUACAUGGAUCCUAUCUUAGACUUCAUGGCUACUAGCCAUCUAUUGGAAUCUGGGCCCACCAUUGCUUCUCCAUAGCUCGUAGGUUCACCAUUGUCCAACAGCAUGACCUCCAAGAUAGGGUUACCAUACCACUCAAAAGUUGUGCGUACCCUUGUUGACCUACGAGGUUCGACACUAACUUGAACUGACGUAGCUUCAUGAUCAUCAUCAUUAGCUUCCUCUUAAACUAACGUAGGUGCCAUAGAAACAUCUUUCUCUGCUGCGCUACUCUCUGGUUGAAGUAAAGGUUCAACAACCUCAUCAAGUUCUAUCUUCCUCACACUUAAUUCUUUUGAGAGAAACCCUUUCUCAAGAAAGGACCCGUUCUUAGUGACAAACACUUUGCCCUCAGAUCUGAGAUAGAAGGUAUACCCAACCUUCUCUUUUGGGUAUCCUAUGAAGACACAUUUGUCCGCUUUGGGUUCGAGCUUUUCUGACUGAAGCCUUUUGACAUAAGCAUCGGAGCCUCAAACCUUAAGAAACGACAACUUAGGUUUCUUGCCAAACCAUAGUUCAUACGAUGUCAUCUCCACGGACUUGGAUGGUGCCUUAUUUAAAGUGAAUGUAGUUGUCUCUAAUGCAUAACCCGAAAACGAUAGUGGUAGAUUGAUAACCCGCAAUUAUACGGGAUAGUUGUAGCCUCUUUCAAUAAGUAAGAGUGUCAAACCCAACGAGGAGCUAAAGGUAGAACAAAUACUCUCUCAAGUCCUAUAGGCCACUGAUACGACUCUACGCACGCUUAACGUUCGCUUUACCUAGAACAAGUAUGAAACUAGAAGUACUUUGUAGGUGUUGUUGGACAGACUUGCAAGAUAAUAAAGAACACGUAUAUAAAAGCUAGGGGCUGUUUAGAUAAAGAAGCAAUAAAGUAAAUAUAGUGAGUGUGGAAAAGUGGUGGUAGGAGUUGUGAAAUUGUCCCUAAGCAAUUGACUACGUUACUAUACCGGUAAUCACUAUUGCAAUUCUAUUUGAGGGAGAGGCAUAAGCUAACAUACUUUCUCUACUUGGAUCAUAUGCACUCAUGAUUGGAACUCUAGCAAGCAUCCGCAACUACUAAAGAUUCAUUAAGGUAAAACCCAACCAUAGCAUUAAAGUAUCAAGUCCCCUUUAUCCCAUACGCAACAAUCCCCUUACUCGGGUUUGUGUUUCAGUCACUCACGCAACACACUAUAAGCGAAUCAUAAACGUAUUGCAACACCCUACAGCGGGAAUCCCUCACGCUUGCACGACACGGAGGGCACAAUAGGACAGCACCAAUAAUAAAACAUGCAACUCAAACCAAUCAUAGCAAUUCAUCAAUCAUCGAUAGGACAACGGAAAUCUACUCAGACAUCAUAGGAUGGCAACACAUCAUUGGAUAAUAAUAUGAAGCAUAAAGCACCAUGUUCAAGUAGAGGGUACAGCGGGCUGCGGGAUAGUGGACCGCUGUAGAUAGAGGGGGAAGGUGAUGGAGAUGUUGGCGAAGAUGACGGAGGUGUUGGUGAAGAUCGCGGUGAUGAUGAUGGCCCCCGGCAGCGUUCCGGCGCCACCGGAAGCAAGGGGGAGAGAGCCCCCCUUCUUCUUCUUCUUCCUUGACCUUCUCCCUAGAUGGGAGAAGGGUUUCCCCUCUAGUCCUUGGCUCCCAUGGUGUGGGAGGGGUGAGAGCCCCUCCGAGAUUGGAUAUAUCUCUCUAUUUUUGCGUUCCCAGAUUCUGCCCCUUCACCAUUUCUUUUAUAUCCGGAGAUCCGUAACUCCGAUUGGGGUGAAUCUUUCACCCAGAUUUUUCUCAUAAAAUUAGCUUUCUUGCAGAAAAACAAGAGCGUCAACCGCCUUACGGGUAGCCCAGGAGAGUGCCAGGCGCACCCAGGGGGAAGGGCGUGCCCCCUAUCUCCUGGCCACCUCGGGCACCAUUUUGCGUUGAUUCUUCCUCCGAAAAAUCCCAAAUAUUCCAAAAUAAUUCUCCGUCCGUUUUUAUCCCGUUUGGAUUCCGUUUGAUAUUGGGUUUCUACGAAACAUAAAACAUGCAACAAACAGGAACUGGCACUGGGCACUGGACCAAUAUGUUAGUCCCAAAAAUAGUAUAAAAAGUUGCCAAAAGUAUAUGAAAGUUGAAGAAUAUUGGCAUGGAACAAUAAAAAUUUAUAGAUACGACAGAGACGUAUCAGCAUCCCCAAGCUUAAUUCCUGCUCGUCCUCAAGUAGGUAAAUGAUAAAAAAGAUAAUUUUUGAUGUGGAAUGCUACCUAGCAUAAUCUUGAUCAUAUGUCUAAUCAUGGCAUGAAUAUUAAGAUACGAGUGAUUCAAAGCAAUAGUCUAUCAUUUGACAUAAAAACAAUAAUACUUCGAGCGUACCAAUAAAUAAAUCAUGUCUUUUCAAAACAACAAGGCCAAAGCAAGCUUAUCCCUACAAAAUCAUAUAGUUUGGCCAUGCUUCAUUUUCGUCACACAAAAUGCCCCCAUCAUGCACAACCCCGAUGACAAACCGAGCAAUUGGUUCAUACUUUUUAACGCGCUUCAGAUUUUUCAACCCUCACGCAAUUCAUGAGCGCAAGCCAUGGAUAUAGCACUAUAGGUGGAAUAGAAUAUGAUGGUGGAGGUUUAUAUGGAGAAGACAAAAAGGGAGAAAGUCUCACAUCAACGCGGCUAAUCAACGGGCUAUGGAGAUGCCCAUCGAUUGAUGUCAAUGGGAGGAGUAGGGAUUGCCAUGCAACGGAUGCACUAAGAGCUAUAAGUGUAUGAAAGCUCAAACUGAAAACUAAGUGGGUGUGCAUCCAACUUGCUUGCUCAUGAAGACCUAGGGCAUUUGAGGAAGCCCAUCGUUGGAAUAUACAAGCCAAGUUCUAUAAUGAAAAUUCCCGCUAGUAUAUGAAAGUGACAACAUAGGAGACUAUAUAUGAAGAACAUGGUGCUACUCUGAAGCACAAGUGUGGAAAAAGGAUAGUAACAUUGCCCCCCCCCCUUUUUUUUCUUUUUUUCUUUUUCUUUUUUUUCUUUUUUUGGGUGGGCUUCUUUGGCCCCCUUUUUAUUUAGGCUUCUUUGGCCUUCCCUUUUUUUUUCCUUUUCUUUUUUUCAUGGGGCAAUGCUAUAUAAUGAUGAUCAUCACACUUUUAUUUACUUACAACCCAAUAUUACAACUCGAUACUAGAACAAAGAUAUGACUCUAUAUGAAUGCCUCCGGCGGUGUAUCGGGAUGUGAAAAGAUCUAGCAUAGCAAUGACAUCAAAAAACGGACAAGCCAUUAAAACAUCAUGCUAGCUAUCUUACGAUCAUGCAAGGUAAUAUGACAAUGAAUGCUCAAGUCAUGUAUAUGAUGAUGAUGGAAGUUGCAUGGCAAUAUAUCUCGGACUGGCUAUGGAAAUGCCAUAAUAGGUAGGUAUGGUGGCUGUUUUGAGGAAGAUAUAAGGAGGCUUAUGUGUCAUAGAGCGUAUCAUAUCACGGGGUUUGGAUGCACCGGUGAAGUUUGCACCGACUCUCGAGGUGAGAAAGGGCAACGCACGGUACCGAAGAGGCUAGCAAUGAUGGAAAGGUAAAAGUGCGUAUAAUCCAUGGACUCACAUUAGUCAUAAAGAACUCAUAUACUUAUUGCAAAAGUUUAUUAGCCCUCGAAGCAAAGUACUACUACACAUGCCUCUAGGGGAUAGAUUGGUAGGAAAAGACCAUCGCUCGUCCCCAACCGCCACUCAUAAGGAAGACAAUCAAAAAAACACCCCAUGCUUCAAAUUUGUCACACAACGGUUACCAUACGUGCAUGCUACAGGACAUGCAAACUUCAACACAAGUGUCUCUACAAUCCACAACCACCCACUAGCAUGACUCUAAUAUCACCACCUUUAUAUCAGAAAACUAUUGCAAGGAAUCAAACAUAUCAUAUUCAGCGAUCUACAAGUUUAUGUAGGAUUUUAUGACUAACCAUGUGGAUGACCAGUUCUUGUCAUCUCUCUAAAUAGAUACAAGUGAAGCAAGAGAGUUUAAUUCUUUCUAUAAAAGAUAUGCCCACUCUCUAACAAAUAUAAGUGAAGCAAAAGAGCAUUCUACAAAUGGCGGUUUUCUUAUAUGAAGAGAAAUAGGCAAUCCAAACUUCAAAUGAUAUAAGUGAAGCACGUGAAGCAUUCUAUAAAGCCAUACUCAAAAGAUUUAAGUGAAGUGCAAUGAUAAUUCUAUAAAUCAACCAAGGACUAUCUCAUACCAGCAUGGUGCAUAAAAUAAAAGUGAAAAACUAAAUGCAAAAGACGCUCCAAGACUUGCACAUAUCGCAUGAACGAAACGAAUUCAAAAACAUAUCGAUACUUGUUGAAGAAAGAGGGGAUACCUUCCGGGGCAUCCCCAAGCUUAGACGCUUGAGUCUCCUUGAAUAUUUACUUGGGUUUCCUCGGGCAUCCCCAUGCUUGAGCUCUUGCCUCUCUUCCUUUUCCUCAUAUCGAGACCUCGAUUAGACACUUCAUCCACACAAAACUUCAACAGAAAACUCGGUAAGAUUCGUUAGUAUAAUAAAGCAAAUGACCACUCUAAGUACUGUUACUGUUGCAAACCAAUUCAUAUUUUGUUUUUGCAUUGUGUCUACUGUAAUAUAGCUUUUCCAUGGCUUAAUCCACUGAUAUAAAUUGAUGGUUUCAUCAAAACAAGUAAACUAUGCAUCAAAAACAGAAUCUGUCAAAAACAGAACAGUCUGUAGUAAUCUGAACAUUCACCAUACUUAUCGUACCCCCAAAAUUCUACCAAAAUUAGGAAAAAUAAAAAAGUUGUAUAUCAAGACAGUGCAAAAGUAAUCAGAACCAUUUCACGUUCUAGUUAAAAAAGUAAAAUCGGGCACUACAGCCAAAGUUUCUGUCCUGCACCGUACAAACCAACAAGCAUUGUAAACAUCCUAAAGGAAAACCUUGGCACAUUAUUUUUAUAAUACAAUGUAAUUGUACAAGGGGAUAAUUAUUUUUGAUGAAAAGUUCUGUAAUCAAGAUUCACAAAGUCUCCAUGAGCAUGAACAAAGUUCAAGGAGCUCCCCCACUUCAACAAUGCUUGUCUCUCUCACUUUCGCUUUCCUUUUCGAAAAGUUUUUGUGUUCCCCUCUUUAUUUUUUUGUUUUUAAACUAUAUAAAAGCACUCAAUAGAAAUAAAUGACUCUCUAAAACUUCCGGGUUGUUUCCCUGGCAGCGCUUUCUUUAAAGCCAUUAAGCUAGGCAUUUAGUGCUCAAGUAAUGAAUCUACCCGGAUCCCAAGGUAUAUCAAAGCCAAUUUUAAUUAACAAUGAUUUGUAAUUUAGUAGUGAGCACAAAGUAACAUAUAUCAUGCAACAAGGAAGUCUAACUCUCUUCUUAUGCAUCGGCAUGUCAUAAAAGAACAAUUCAUGUACACAUAGUAAAGGCCAAUGCACAGUAUAAGCAGUUUCUUGCAAUUUUAUUGUAUUGGAAACAUAAAGAGGCGGAGAUAUAGUUCCUCUCUCAUAAUAAUUGCAAGUAGGAGCAGCAAGCACAUGCAUAGUAGAUUCAUCAAAAUCAUCAUGUGCAAUGGUAAAAGGCAACCCAUCAAUAUAAUCGUUAAUAAGCACAAACUUCUCCAAUAUAGUGUAGUUUGGAGAAUUCAAAAAGAUAAUAGGACUAUCAUGUGUGGGUGCAAUAGCAACAAUUUCAUGUUUAACAUAAGGAACUAUAGCAAGUUCAUCUCCAUAAGAAUAAUUCAUAUUGGCAUCUUGGACACAAGCAUCAUCAAAAAGGGAUAUUCCAAGAGAAUCAACGGGAUCAUAACAAUCAUCAUAGCAAUCAUCCUUCGGUAAGCACGAAGGGGAAUUAAACAAUGUAUGAGUUGAAGAGUUACUCUCAUUAGAAGGUGGGCACGGGUGAUCAAUCCACUCUUCCUCCUUUUGUUCUUCGCUCUCCUCAUCAUCUUUUUCAUCCAGUGAGCUCACAGUUUCAUCAAUUUCUUCUUCCAUAGCUUCCUGCAAAAUAUUAGUCUCUCUUUGGACAGCGGAGACUUUCUCAAUAAAUGCAUCAAUAUUGUAAUUGUAUUCAUAAUUGUCAUAGCAAUAUUUCAAUAUAGCAAAAUUUUCAGGCCUAUAAACAUCAUCAUCUAAAGCUUCAUACUUUUCAAACAAAGAUUCAAUUUCAAAGCAUCCUUAAAAGCAACAAAUUCUUCAAUUUGUUCAACAUCAUAGUAAUCAUAUAUACCAUUAGCAUAAGUGAAAGAACAUGUGGUGCCCCCAUGUGUGGUUUUGGUAAUCGAUGACAAUCUCUCUAGACUAAUGGUUGCCUUGAGUUAUAUUUGAAGGUCUUGUCCAUAGGAUUUUCUUGGAGUACAUGUGUUGAUGUCAAGGAGAGCUUGUGUCGACCAAUGUGCUAUUAAGGAAUUAUCCAAAGAUUGGUCAUGUGAGAGUUGAGCUUAUUGCAAGCAUGUCUUGAAGAAGAAGAUUGUGUGAUCAUUUUAUGCUUACCUUCAAGGCAUCAUCCAAAUGAAGAGAGUUGGAAAGGUUCAAGGUUGAUCAAGACUAAGUCAAGAGUGAAUCAAGUUGAUCAACUCACAAAGCGUAGAAGAUGUACCAAGAGGGAUCAAGUGAUCCCAUGGUAUGGUAAGCAUUGUCAAUUACGCUUUGUGUACUAACCCAUGGUCUUUGUGAGAGUUCUUUGUGAUGUUAGGUUGCGGUGUGUAUGUUCAAGUGAUGCAUCACGAAGAGAUCAAGUGCUUGAAGCUUGCCGUCCAUUGUGGUGACAAUGGACUUGUGAAGAUGUGCCGAAGAGUGGCUCACCCAUAGUGGAGUAUGGGGGAGCAAUCUACUAGUCUUCACUGAGCCAAUGCAAUCAAGAAAGGUGGUCCAACUUGAGGAAGUCAAGAUCGUCUAAAUCGAGCUCAAGUGGACUUUGUGCAAGGCAAGGAUUUGCCCAUGAUAGGUGUUCUAUUUUACCGGUCUCACGAUAGUUGUGGGAGACCGGGUUAUAGGAUCGAUUGCCGUACUAUCAAGGGGGGCUCUCGAUGAGUUGCUUGAUCGUAUCAUUCGUAGAGAGCUCUAACCAUUGCAUCCUUGCAUCAUCUUUAUUGGUUCUUGUUUGGUUCUUCUCCUUGUGAGAUUUGGAGCUUAUGGUCAUUUUUAUGACAAGCUCGAGUUCAUCGAAAACGGAGUUCACAUGCAUCUUCUAUGAUGUUUUCGACAUUGGAGGGUAUGCCGAUUCUUCGCUGUUUUGAUGCUACUCGUCUUCCUCUAUCCAACAAGCUUGAGUUUGCUCAAUUCAGAGCUCAUUUACAGAAGUUAUGGCAGUUUUGGUUUUAUUGUUUCCCUCUGUUGUCUUCUCUGCAAAAUGAAGGACUCCUAGUGUUGCUGAUCUGGGGCAUGCGGUAGUACUGCUCUCCGGAGCGGUAGUACCGCAGGCCCUUGCGGCAGUACCGCAGCCCCCUGCGGUAGUACUGCAGGUGCUCACGGUAGUACCGCUCUAUGGGAGCGGUAGUACCAUGGCCUCAGGCCAGGCGCAACUGGUUGAGCGGUAGUAGGGGCGGAUGUAAUUUUUUACAUCCGUGCCCAACGCGGUAGUACCGGGCCGCGGGCGCGCUUGUACCGUGGGCUCUGGCCAGGCUUAGAAGCAUGAGCGGAAGUAGGGGCGGAUGUAAUUUUUUACAUCUGCACCCUACGUGGUAGUACCGCUCUUUGUGUGCGGUAGUACCGUGCCGAAUUUUUGCGCAGGUCCUCCCUCAGCGGAAGUAGGUACGAAAGUAAUUUUUUACUUCCGUGCUUUCUCUACGCCUAGUGUUGACUGCCUUACAGUAGUAACGUAGGGGCGCACGGUAGUACCGCUCCGGCGGUUCUACCGCUCGUUACCCUGUGCAACAGGCCUUCAUAUGGCCAGUGCUGCACAUGCGGUAGUACCGCAACCUGCAGCGGUAGUACCGCAGCUCCGUGCGGCAAUACCGCGUCGUGUGGGCUGAGUGAGGGGAUAACGGUUGGAUUUCUCCCCACCUAUAAAAGGGGGUCUUCUUCCCCAUUGAGACUUAUCCUUUGAGCUCAUGUUCUUCCCCCAUUGUUGACCUUCUUCGAGCUUGCUAACUCUCAAUCCCUCCAUGGAUUCUUGCUAGUUUUUGAGGGAAAAAAGAGAGGAGAUCUAGAUCCACAUUUCCACCAAUCACUUUCUCCUCUAUGUGAGGGGAACCCCUUGGAUCUAGAUCUUGGAGUUCUUGGUGUUCUCCUUCUUUUUCUUCCUCUCAUCUUCCUCCCUAGAAUUAGUUGCUUCGGUGGGAUUUGAGAGAGAAGGACUUGGGCAAUCCGUGUGCCCUUGCCAUUGCAUUUGGUGCAUUAGUUUGAGGUCUCCACGUGAUACGUGGAAGUUACAAGUUGAGAAGCUUAUUACUCUUGGGUGCUUGGUGCCCUUGAGCUUGUUCCUCUUGGGUGCUUGGGAGCCCUAGACGGUUGGUGGUGUUCAGAGCUCAAUCAUUAUGGUGUAAAGCUCCGGGCAAGCGUCGGGGUCUCCAAUUAGGUUGUGGAAAUCGCCCGAGCAAUUUGAUGGGUACCGGUGACCGCCCCCAAGGGUUGCCAACGUGUACGGGUUCGAUGACCGUCCCCAAGGGUCGCCAUUUGUACGGGUUUGACCGCCCUCAAGGGUCCCUUAGUGGAAUCACGACAUCUUGCAUUGUGCGAGGGCGUGAGGAGAUUACGGUGGCCCUAGUGGCUUCUUGGGGAGCAUUGUGCCUCCACACCGCUCCAAACAGAGAUUAGCAUCCACGAGGGUGUGAACUUCGGGAUACAUCAUCGUCUCCGCGUGCCUCGGUUAUCUCUUACCCAAGUCCUUUACUUAUGCACUUUACUUUGUGAUAGCCAUAUUGUUCUUUGUCAUAUAUCGUGCUAUCACAUAGUUACUUAUCUUGCUUAACAUAAGUUGUUGGUGCACAUAGGUGAGCCUAGUUGUUGUAGGUUUUGUGCUUGACAAAUUAAUCGUUAGGUUUAUUCCACAUUUGUUCAAGCCUCUACCGUAAUUAUUUUAAAACGCCUAUUCACCCCCCCUCUAGGCGACAUCCAUGAUCUUUCAAAUUGUAUCAGAGCCUCGUCUCUCUUUCAUAGGCUUAACCGCCUAGAGAGUAAAGAUGUCGACUAGGGGAUUAGGAUUCUCUGACACUCUUAGUUUCGAUGGCACAAAUUUUGAUGUUUGGGUAGUUCGCAUGCUUAAUCUCUUUAGGGUCAUGGACCCAAAUUUAGAGCGAAUUGUAGAUAUGGGUUUUUCUCCUCCAAAGGAUCCCCAAAAUUAUCUUUAGAGGAUGAGAAAAACUCUUAUCUCAAUGCUCAAGCUUCUAAUGUGCUUUUCGAUGCUUUGAGCGAUGUAGUUAUGUUUUAACUCAUGCCGUUCUGGAAUGCUCAUGAGUUGUGGACGAAGCUUCAAGAUAAAUAUGGUGUCUCCAAGAUUUGUAGGGAUGAUUGUUCUCCCUCCACCUCCGGCCGUAUAGUCUUCUCAACUUCUUCUACUUCACCUACAUGUGGUUUGCCACAAGGUAAUGAUAUGGUGAGUAGUGUUGGUCAUUGCAAUGAUGAUAGUAUGCUUAUUGUGGAUGAUUCUUCAUCACUAUAUUAUUGCAAUGCUCCUUCUUUGGGAUUUAACACUUCGAGCACUCCAAAUGUCUCACAUGCCUAUGUUGAUAGUCCUUGCAUAUCAUGUAGAAAUUGCUUGACUAAAUCUCAUGAUGAUAUGCUUGCUAUAUCUUGUUGCCAUGAUAAAAAUGCAUGUAUUUCCUCGAGUUGUUGUGCUAACAAUGUAGAGGAAACCCAACACUCCAUGGAACAAGAUGUGGUCUUGAAUGAUGCUUCAAGGGAUCCUACAUCAUCAUUUAUUGCUUUUUGCCUUAUGGCCAUGGCUUCAAAGGUAUCUCCUAGUUUGAAUCCCAAUAUAUCUUGUGAUGAUAUUGAUGAUGGCAAGAGUGAUGACGAUGUUGAUUAUGAUGAAGAGAAUGAUGAUGUUGCCUCCUUAAAAAUUAAGGGGGAAAUGAUUUUUAAAGCUCUUCUUAAGAAUAAAUUUGCUCGUUCCAACUUCAUGGAAAUCAUGUCGAUUGCUAUUGAGAGCAAGAAAUAUAUUGAUGAGUUGGAAUCUCGUCUUGAGGAGCAUGAGGUCACCAUUGAUAAAAUGGAAGGUCAUGAGCAUGAUUAUGCUAAUGAGAUUGCGGACCUCUCUCAAGCUCUUGAACUUGAACAAACCACCAAGGAAUCUCUUGAGGAGACUUUUGCUCUAGAAUUAACUAGAGUGAAGGAAUCUAAUGAUAGAGCUCUUGAGGUGGCCAAUGUUUUUGAAACUAAAAAUGCUAAGCUUGAAGUUGAUCAUGCUAGACUCCUUGAGGAUUUUGAGCACCUCGAAAAUGGCUCAAGGGUCAUCAAGGGUGAGCUCAUCAAACUCACCGAGUCUCAUGCUCAACUUGAAGCUUCUUAUUUAAAAGAGCUUGCCAAGUUGUCCUCUCCUAUUGUUGUAAAUGAUUAUGCUUGUGCUACUAACUCAAUUACUUGUGAAGCAUCCAUUUUGAAGGAGAACGUUGAGCUACGGGCUCAAUUUGAGUUGCUAUCUAGCAAUUAUGGGAAAUUGGAAGAAAGCCAUGAAAAGCUCUCAAGCUCUCAUGAUGAUCUUCUAGUAUCCCAUAAUGUGCUAAAGGUAGCUCAUGAUGCCAUGAUUGCUAAGGUAACAUCAAGUGAGCCUCGUGUGGAUACUAGCACUACUUCUAGUCAAAAUACUAUAUUGCCAUGUGCUAGUCCUUGUAAUUCAUCUACUCAUAAUGUUGGUACAUCUUGUGAUGAAUUGCUUUCCUUGCCUUGUUGCUCUAACGAUGAAGCUUAUACUUCCUCUAGUACUUGUGUUGAGACUAACCAUGUAGAGGAAAUCAAAGAGCUCAAGGCCGAAGUCACUUCUUUGAAGAAAGACUUGGAAAAGAGUCAUGAAGGGAAUUCCACACUCAACAAUAGAUUGAGUGUGCAAAAAUCCCCCAAUGACAAAUGUGGACUUGGAUUCAACUCCAAUAAGAAGAAGAAGUCCAAGAGAAUCAAGAAUAAGGGCUAAAAACAAGUCAAGAAUUCAGCCAAGAUUAUUUGCUUCAAGUGCAAAAUUGAAGGUCAUCAUGUUAGAUCUUGCCCAUUGAAGAAGAAGGCCAUUAGUGACAACCAACAAGGGAACCGGCUACAAGUGCAUUCUCAUGCUCAACCUCAAUUUGAAGAAAGGCCUCUUCCCAAGAAGACUCAAGCUAAUGCUUCUCAAGUUGAGAAAUCAAGUGAGAAGAAAGUGAAGAGUAGACGUUGCUAUCUAUGUCAUGAGAAAGGUCACCUCGCUUCUUCAUGCACUAGUGGUAACUUAUCCAACCCAAUUGUUAUUGAUGAUGUCUAUUCUCUUGGGAAGGAUAAGGUUGGCAAUGUGUUUGCCAAGUUUGUUGGUACUCAAAGUGGUUUGAAGCAAAGAACCAUUUGGGUAGCCAAGCCUAUUGUGACUAACCUCUUAGGACCCAACUUGGUUGGGGACCAACUAGCUCAAACUUGAUUAAUAGGUGUUGUUGGAGGGCAUUGGAGACUUGGCUACAUUAUGAAGAAAUAAGGUGACUUCAUCACUCUUAUUGUCUCAAGCCAAGUCAACUGAAUCGUCAAGUUUAUAUUUUAUAUCCAAUGUGCCUCCUUGCGGUAACUUGUACUUAAAAUUGCUUACAUUGAAAGUUACUUGCCCCCUUGAAUAUUUUGGUUUUGUUCCUUGCAUGUGUUUUUAUAUGAUGUGUCUCGAAAUUGCCUUUGUGUAUGUUGGUUUGCACAUCAUGUACUUGUGUGUCGUUCGUUGAGCCUUAGUGCAUCUUGGUUGUAUCUUAGUUGGAUCGUGUGAUAGAUUAAUGGAAUAUCCCAUUAUGGGGGAGUGAUGUGCUUUGUGCACUUCGCAAUCCUAUAAAGGUGGGUACACGGGGAAUACCACUUAGUAUUGAUAUUACAAGAUUAUCUAGUCGCUAUGUGGUAUGUCUUCUCAUGAGAAAUUCAAAUUCUAAAUAGUCCAUUAAUUAUCUCUUGUUGGAUCCUUUUUAUUUUCUCUUGUUAAUUUUUUAUUGGUAUCACACUAUGGGGGAGUAAUAUGCUAUGUGCAUAUUACAAGCCUAGAAAAUGUGUACAUUUGAGAUAUUUUCACCUAGAAUUGAUGUUGUAAAUUAUCUUGUUCCUAGGUGACAUGUUAGCUCUACAAGUGGCAAUUUGCUUGUGUUUGUUGUGAAGAUGAUGUUGGAUAUCCUUGUUUUCUACCACGGGGAAUUAUUUCCAAAUACUUCUUGUCUUUUGACAAUUGGUAGUCACUUAUGUGUGGUAGAAUUUAUUGAUCAUCUUUACAUUGGCUUUUGUUUUUAUUUGCCUUUUCUCUUGCCAAGGAUUGUGUCAACUCCCGUUGUCUUCCAUACCACUUGUGGAUCUUGUUAAUUUCUUGUUCUUGUCUAGUGUUUUCUAGAUAUAGUGAAAGUGGUGAUCCCACCUUGUGCACUUUGUAUUCAAAAGCAAAUUCUCUAUAGUGCAAAACUCCUGGGGGAGCUAUCCUAUUUUUUUAGAACACUCUUCUUGUGAUCCUUAUCAAGUGUGUGUUGGUGGAAGGCAAGCCGUUUUAUUGUGGUACCUUGUGUCGUCAUGAAACUUUGUUGAGAGCUUGGUUUGUUUGGAACCAUCCUCUCUUUGGGAGUUUGACAUCUUUAAUUUAGUGUGUAUCAAUGGAUAUCUCAUUCCUUGAUGUAUCUUUAAUGAUAUCUUCCAAGUGAUGAUUUCUCCAUUUGGUAUCCUUUUCACUUGGCAUUUCUUUGUCUUUUGGUUUCGGGUUUUGAAAGUCUUGAGCAUGCAUGUUUACUUCAUGUAUUUUAUUUGGAUUUCUUUCUUUCUUUAACCCAAUAUAUAGGGUAAACCCCACCAAGUCUCAAAUUGUAUGGGAUGUGCAUGAAAUUCAUUUUCAUAUCUAUAAGCACAUAUGUGUGUGGAGGUUGUCCUAUGUAUUGUUGGUUCUCUAACUCUUUGGUCCCAAUGAGUAUGGGUACCAUUUUGGUUGUGUUGUUGUUCUAGGAACAAUUGGAGAUGCAUUGGAUGCUCAUCUCACUCACAAGGAAGGUGGUGUCACCAUGUGAUUAUUGGAGUCAAGCUAGGAUGAUCUAUGAACUACUAUCUACCUUUAAUUGGUAUCUACUAUAUCCUUCCAUUGAUAUCUCGGUAACAAGUAUCAUCAUCUUCUUCAUGCACUCAUUUCUUGCAUCAACCUUGUGUAGGUUGCAUCAUGGCAUGCAAUGCAUUCUUUCUUGUGAUACUUGUUUCCUUUCUCUAAGCAUCCCAACAAUGAUCUGUUGUUGCUAGUUGUGAUGUCUUUUAUGUUUGUGUGGUUGGAAUUCAUUUAUAUACAAUAAGACCAUAUCUAGCCAUGUGCUAUGCUCUCAAGCAAAUUUCUUAUUGGUAUAUUUAUGAGUUCCUUGUGGAUAUCUUGUUCCUUCAUUUUUACUAUUUCGUGCGUAUAUCCUUCUUGGUGGAUUGAUAUCAUCAUGAUUUUCAUCUACCUAGAAUCUUAUACACUUGAGAGAAGUUACAUCUCUAGUUGAUAUCCCUUUCUUUCACGUCCAUCGGUUCCUUCUCAUGUUAUUUCUUUGGUGGCUCCGUGAAAGUGUGUGCCUUGAGUGCGGGUCAUAUCUCAUUGCAUCUUGAUGCACUCUUGUGUGGUGAAGAUCUUUCUCCUCAUGCUUGUCUUGACGAUGCUUUUUGCCAUCUUAAUUGGUAUCCCUCACCUUGAUGAGGCUUUCGCUUUCUAUCUUCACCAUGGGUUGUCACAAGUGUUGGUUAUUCAUUUUGCAUAUUUAGUGUGCUUGUGAACCCAUUUGCUUGGUGUGUGUGGGAAGGACAUGUCAUGCACCUUGUAUCUCCACUAUUCAAGACUACGUUGAUGCUUAAUGCUCACCCUUACAUUAGUCUUCUCAAGUGCUUUGCCAUGACUCACACACAUCAUUUUGGUUGAGCCUACUCUUAAGUUGCCUAUUUUAUAUGUUGCUCAACCAUUUUUUUGUUGCAAGUGCUAGGCUUUGUUUCCUACAUGCUCACUUGCACUUGUCGUGAGGUUCUAUUGAUCUUGGGGGAGUGACGAUCCUAUUUUGUGCUCAUUGUAUCCAAUUACAAAAUUCUUAUGUGUGCACAAAUCAUGGGGAGCUACUCUAGUUUCCUUAGAACACUCCUUUUCUCAUAUCAUAAUAUCCUUUAUUCAUGUUGCACGUAGGAUCAUUGGUCUAGUUGGUUCAAUUGGUUUCUUUUCAUAGCUUGCUUCAAUUGGUAUCUUAUGAUUGCUUGAUUGCUUGUUUCUCUCUUUGUUAUGUCUUUGUGGGAUAUCUUUCUUUUGUAAUCUUUGGGUCUAAAUAUAGUUUGUUUUCCUCCUAGUAUUUACUGUUGUAGGACCUUGAAGUAUGUCUAGAGGGGGUGAUUAGACUACUUGACCAAUUAAAAACUUAACCUUUUCCCAAUUUUAGAGUUUGACAGAUUUUAGCUAUCUUAGGAUAAGUCAAGCAAUCAUCACACAGUUCAAGCAAUCAUGCAAAGAGUAUAUAGGCAGCGGAAAUUAAAGCAUGCAACUUGCAAGAAACUAAGGGGAAGGGUUUGGAGGAUUCAAACACAAUUGGAGACACGGAUGUUUUUGGCAUGGUUCCGAUAGGUGGUGCUAUCGUACAUCCACGUUGAUGGAGACUUCAACCCACGAAGGGUAACGGUUGCGCGAGUCCAUGGAGGGCUCCACCCACGAAGGGUCCACGAAGAAGCAACCUUGUCUAUCCCACCAUGGCCGUCGCCCACGAAGGACUUGCCUCACUAGCGGUAGAUCUUCACGAAGUAGGCGAUCUCCUUGCCCUUACAAACUCCUUGGUUCAACUCCACAAUCUUGUCGGAGGCUCCCAAGUGACACCUAGCCAAUCUAGGAGACACCACUCUCCAAGAAGUAACAAAUGGUGCGUUGAUGAUGAACUCCUUGCUCUUGUGCUUCAAAUGAUAGUCUCCCCAACACUCAACUCUCUCUCAUAGGAUUUGGAUCUGGUGGAAAGAGGAUUUGAGUGGAAAGCAACUUGGGGAAGGCUAGAGAUCAAGAUUCAUAUGGUAGGAAUGGAAUAUCUUGGCCUCAACACAUGAGUAGGUGGUUCUCUCUCAGAAAUGGUAAGUUGGAAGUGUAGGUUUAGUCUGAUGGCUCUCUUCACGAAUGAAGAGGAGGUGGAGGGGGUAUAUAUAGCCUCCACACAAAAUCUAACCGUUACACACAAUUUACCAAACUCGGUGGGACCGAUUCAACAGGUCAGACCGAUUUAGUAAACCUAGUGACCGUUAGUGAUUUUCGAUGGGACUGACAUGCAACUCGGUGAGACCGAUUCGGUUAGGUUUAGGGCAUAACAUAAUCUCGGUAAGACCGAUUACACAAACUCAGUGAAACCGAUUUUGGUAAUAAGCUUUCCAGCGAGUUGGUCAGGUAAACUCGGUGGGACUGAUUUGCUCUUUUCGGUGAGACUGAAAUGUUACAAAAGGGAAACAGAGAGUUUACAUUGCAAUCUUAGUGGGACCAAUCGCUCACUUCGGUUAGACCGAAACCUUACGAAGGGAAACAGAGAGAUUACAAUCCCAUCUCGGUGAGACCGAGAUCCCUAUCGGUAGGACCGAUUUGCUUAGGGUUUGUGGCAGUGGCUAUGACUUUUGGAAUCGGUGGCGCCGGAUUGGAAGAAUCGGCGUGACCGAUUUUGGCUUUGGGUUUAGGUCAUUUGUGGAUGUGGGAAAGUAGCUGAGGGUUUUGGAGCAUAUCACAAAGCACAUGAAGCAAGAGGCUCAUUAAGCAACACCUCAUCCCUCCUUGAUAGUAUUGGCUUUUCCUAUAGACUCAAUGUGAUCUUGGAUCACUAAAAUAUAAAAUGAAGAGUGAGGGAGUUCUGGACUAGGGGGUGUCCGGAUAGCCGAACUAUCAUGAUCGGCCGGACUCCGAGACUAUGAAGAUACAAGAUUGAAGACUUCGUCCCGUGUCCGGAUGGGACUUUCCUUGGCAUGGAAGGCAAGCUUGGCGAUACGGAUAUGUAGAUCUCCUACCAUUGUAACCGACUUUGUGUAACCCUAGCCCUCUCCGGUGUCUAUAUAAACUGGAUGGCUUUAGUCCAUAGGACGACAACAAUCAUACCAUAGGCUAGCUUCUAGGGUUUAGCCUCCUUGAUCUCGUGGUAGAUCCACUCUUGUAACACACAUCAUCAAUAUUAAUCAAGCAGGACGUAGGGUUUUACCUCCAUCAAGAGGGCCCGAACCUGGGUAAAACAUCUUGUCCCUCGUCUCCUGUUACCAUCCGCCUAGACGCACAGUUCGGGACCCCCUACCCGAGAUCCGCCGGUUUUGACACCGACAUUGGUGCUUUCAUUGAGAGUUUCUCUGUGCUGUCACCAUCAGGAAGGAUGCCUUUUCCCGUCUUUAAAGACGGCACCGUAGUCAAGGGAGCUUUGGCCGACGGCCAGACUAUCCGGCUAGGCGGUUUUCUUCUGACCGCCUGUUCGGCCACCGCUCCGAUAAUGACCUCUCAGGUCAUUAAAAGCGAUCUUCACGUCAGCUCGGAAUUCGCCGAGCAGCUAGAUCCGAUUGAGCUCUCCUCCGUAAACGAGCUCUUGGAUCGCAUCGCCGCCUUGGGAGUCGCUACCGACUAUGAUCAGAUUGGCUUUAAAACCGAUCUAAGAGAAAUUAACUCUCCCCAGGUUACCCACCAUGUUGUUGUGGUAGAGGAACAAUGCGGCGACUCUUCUUCUAUGUUAAAAAUCAACUAUUUCCGGAUUCCCGAUCCCUCCAUGCCGGAUUCCCGCGGAGAGACAUACGCUAAUCAAAUACUGAACCUAAAGUCAGGCAUCGGACCAGAUUUGUUGGAAAGCGUCCAGCAAACCAAGCUUCCGAAUCCGGAAGCUUCUUGGCCUUUGAGUCUCAGAUCGGGCGGGGUUCCGAACUUGAUUCCACCCGCCCACCCAAACAUAAGUGAUCUAUCUCAAAUACGGCAAGAGCCCGAUGAAACAGUACAUCAUUACUGGGCCAGAUUCUUCCUGGUUAUGAACAGGAUAAAGGACUGCCGUGAAGAAAGCACGAUUUCAAUCUUCUGCAACAAUUGCACGGACAAGGGAAUCAUAAACGCCAUCAGCCGUCACGAAGUUACACGCUUCGUCGACCUAGCGACCAUUGUACAAAAAUACUGCGCGAUGGAGAGUGCCUGGAAAACUGAAACUAGGUUUUGGGACAAUCCGGCCCUGAAUACAACCCCAGUCCGAAAUAAAAGGGUGUGUCAUACUCAAGCACCUGGGUUAAAAACCAAAAAGCAAAAAAACCCUAAAGGGUACGGAACUGUACUGGAGGGAUGGCUCAACGGACCCUGCAAAAUCCACAGUACGGAGGGCGCCACUCCAACACAUAGCCUUCGAGCAUGUUGGAUAUUACGGCAGGUGGCCAAAAGUGGUGAACGCUUUUUAGCCCCGGGCAACCAGCCCAGCAGCACCAGUAUAGUAUUAACAGUCUUCGAGACUUUCGCAUCAAAUAACAUGCGGAAACGAACAAUCCGCAGCCUCGCUGAAGUCUACCAGGUAGCAACAACAAAUCCAUGGAGUGACACGGCUAUCACCUUCAAUGCCAGCGACGAACCUAAAUUCCGAACAGCUAGAGCACCAGCCACAUUGGUCCUCAGUCCGAUAGUGGACGGCUUUCGUCUUACCAAGGUACUCAUGGAUGGCGGCAGCGGAUUAAACCUCAUCUACGAAGAAACUCUUCAAAAGAUGGAAAUUGACUGGAGCCGCAUCGAGCGGAGCAGCACAACCUUCAGGGGAAUAAUCCCUAGUCGAGAAGUACGCUGCACAGGAAAAAUCACACUAGAUGUAGUGUUCGGCUCACCGGACAAUUACAGGUCCGAAGAGGUCACGUUCCAAGUGUCCCCAUUCGGCAGCGGAUAUCACGCCUUCUUAGGGCGAGAGGCAUUCACAAUCUUCCAAGCUAUACCCCAUUACGGGUACAUGAAGCUCAAAAUGCCCGGACCCAAUGGAAUAAUCACUCUCGCUAGUGAUCCAAAUACAGCACUCCACGCUGAAAAUAAGACAGCCGCACUGGCCCUAGAGGCAUUAUCCGAAGCCCUAGCGGCAGAGGAACUAACUGCACUGCGCUCCAUGGUGGAUAGGGACGAUGUGAUACUCGACAAGAGGUCCAAGUCCACCUCUUUCAAACCAGCAGACGAAAUAGUCAAAUUUCAGGUCCAUCCAACGGACCCCACAAAGACGUCAUCCAUUGGGGCACAAUUAAAUCCUGAUGUAGAAGCCGCACUACGAGAAUUCCUCCGGGAAAAUUGGGACAUUUUUGCCUCGCACCCUUCAGACAUGCCAGGAAUCCCACGCAAGCUGGCAGAGCACAGCCUAAAUAUCCUAAAAGGAUUCAAGCCAGUCAAACAAGCUCUUCGGCGAUUUUCCGAACCCAAAAGAUAGGCAAUGGGAGAGGAGCUAGCCAAGCUCUUAGAAGUCAGAUUCAUCAGAGAUAUCAAACAUCCGGACUGGCUAGCCAACCUAGUAAUGGUACCAAAAAAGGACAAAUCCUGGCGCCUCUGCGUCGAUUUCAAAGACCUUAACAAGGCAUGUCCAAAAGACCCUUUCCCUCUCCCUCGCAUCGACCAAAUCAUCGACGCUACCGCAGGGCACGAUUCAUUGUGCUUCCUCGAUGCAUACUCCGGAUACCAUCAAAUCAAGAUGGCGGAAAAAGACCAGGCCGCAACGGCAUUCAUUACUCCAUAUGGGCCAUUCUGCUUCAACACAAUGCCCUUUGGACUCAAAAACACAGGCGCAACAUAUCAGCGCAUGAUUCAGACAUGUCUAGCUACCUAGAUAGGCAAAACAGUAGAGGCAUACAUAGACGAUGUGGUCGUUAAGACCAAACACGUCGAAACUCUAGUACACGACUUGAGGGUGACAUUUGACAACCUCCGAGCAUAUGACAUUAAGCUCAACCCGGAAAAAUGUGUCUUCGGAGUAACAGCCGGAAAGCUUUUGGGCUUCAUUGUAUCUGGUAGAGGAAUUGAAGCAAACCCAGCCAAGAUCCGAGCUAUGUCACAAUUGGAUAUCCCAAAAGACCUCAAGCAAAUACAAAAACUAACUAGGUGCGUAGCGGCUCUAAGCCGCUUCAUCUCCCGUUUGGGAGAAAAGGCUCUGCCCCUCUAUCGCCUCCUCCGGCGCACCGAACACUUCGAAUGGACGGAUGCCGCCACGGCCGGACUCGAAGAAAUCAAGGCCAUACUGGCAACAAAUCUGGUCCUGGCCGCGCCCAACCUGGGCGAACCUAUGUUAUUAUAUAUCGCAGCGACACAUCAAGUUGUCAGCGCGGUACUCGUCGUCGAACGAGAAACAGAAGGACACAGAUUCCCUCUUCAAAAACUAGUGUACUACAUAUCCACUGUCUUAACUCCAUGCAAGUCCCGGUACCCACAUUAUCAAAAGAUAGCGUAUGCGGUGUUCAUGGCAUCCUGGAAGCUGCGACACUACUUUCAAGAGUGUUCCAUAACGGUGGCCUCCGAAGUACCUCUCAACGAUAUUAUAAACAAUCGCGACGCAACGGGCAGGAUUGCAAAAUGGGCCAUUGAGCUCUUACCAUUUGACAUAACCUACAAACCACGGUGAGCUAUAAAAUCGCAAGUUCUGGCUGACUUCGUCGCCGAAUGGACCGAAGCCGAACUCCCUAAAGAGUACGGCGCGUACUCCGAUUGGAUCAUGCAUUUCGACGGAUCCAAAAUGUUGGCUGGCUUGGGGGCUGGCGUCGUCUUGACGUCCCCAACUGGAGACACAGUCCAAUACGUACUUCAAAUAAUGUACAUGGACUCCAACAACGCAGCCGAAUACGAGGCCCUUCUACACGGCCUCCGGAUGGCAAUCUCCAUGGGCAUUCAACGCCUAGAGGUGCGCGGGGAUUCAAACCUCGCAAUAUCCCAAGUAAAUGGAGACUUUGACGCCAAAGAUCCGAAAAUGGCAGCUUACCGCAACGCCGUCCUAAAAAUGUCAGCUCGGUUCAAAGGACUCGAAUUCCACCAUGUAGCCCGGGAUAAUAACCAGGCAGCAGACGUGUUAGCACGCAUCGGCGCAAAACGCGACGCCGUCCCUCCAAACAUCUUCCUGGAACGGCUCUUUAAGCCAUCCGUAUUAUGGGAAGAGGAGUCCGGAAAUAACAAUCUGGAGCCAGCUGCAGCACCUAACUCAGACAAUUCUGACACAAUCGGUGGCUCAGCAAAUGAAAUAACACCUUCAGCCCACGAAAUAAUGGCAGUAAUUGCUCCGUGGACGGAACCAUUCCUAGCCUACUUAAUUAGGCAGGAACUUCUCGAAGACCAAAAUGAGGCCCGCUGCAUAGUUCGGCGAUCUAAAGCCUACAAGGUCCAUGAGGGAGAACUUUAUAAGAAAAGCACAACCGGAGUCCUUCAAAGGUGUAUCUCCGAAGAGGAAGGGCGUAAUCUCCUGGCUGAAAUUCACGCCGGACUCGGCGGGCACCACGCUGCAGCCCGGGACCUUGUAGGCAAGGUCUUCUGUACAGGAUUUUAUUGGCCGACAGCCCGGGCAGAUGCUCAGGACUUAGUCCAACGAUGCGUCGGUUGCCAGCUCUUUGCUAAUCAGAGCCACAUGCCACCCACCGCCCUCAAAACUAUACCCAUCACCUGGCCAUUCGCGGUCUGGGGGCUUGACAUGGUUGGACCCCUUAAAGGGGGAACCCACAAGCACAAAUACUUAUUGGUCAUGGUGGACAAAUUCACCAAAUGAAUUGAAGCCAAGCCGGAUAAAACGGCAGAAUCCGGACCUGUGAUAGAUUUCAUAUCCGGGGUAGUACACCAUUUUGGCGUCCCCCACAGCAUCAUCACUAACAACGGCACGAAUUUCACGGCCGACGAGGUUAAACUCUGGUGCAAAAAUAUGGGCAUCAAUCUCGACUACGCUUCAGUCUAUCACCCCCAAACUAACGGUCAAGUCGAGCGAGCAAAUGGUCUAAUCAUGAGCGGCAUCAAACCCAGACUAGUGCGGUCCCUCAAGGAAUCUAACACGCACUGGGUAGAGGAGCUCGACUCCGUACUCUGGGGCCUACGGACCACGCCAAACUGAACUACCGGAUUCACACCAUUUUUUAUGGUGUACGGCGCAGAGGCAGUUCUGCCCUGCGAUAUAAUUCAUGACUCACCUCGCGUGCGCAUGUACGAAGAAAGAGAAGCCAAGCUGGAUCGGCAGGAUAGUUUGGACGCCUUAGAGGAGGAGCGGGACGUGGCAAAAGCUCGUUCCGCAUUUUAUCAACAGCAAGCUCGAAGCUAUCAAAGCAGAGAAGUACGGGCCAAAGCUUACAAUGUUGGCGAACUUGUUCUACGCCUGUCGGACAAGAAAAAGGACAAACUUAAGCCCAAGUGGGAAGGUCCCUUCAUCAUCGACCAAGUCUUGACCGACGGAGCAUACCAUCUACGUAACGCAUCUGACAACUGACUCGAGCCGAACCCAUGGAACACAGCCCGUCUCCGAAGAUUCUAUGCCUAACGCCGGACUCAGAGUUCGUCUCACUCCUCCGUCCACCUUUUUACAUUUUCACUGUCUCUUGUCCCCCUCCUUCUUCCCACCUUUUUUCCAAUACCUUUGAUAGGCUGAUUUGCGCAUUGUUCGCACACACUUGAUGUGCUCCUAGCACUCGUUAUACCUGGGGGCUUCUUUAACAGAAGCUUAUUUAUACGGGCUUCAUGCCCAACACAUGUGUCAUACUUCCGCAUGUACCUUUUAUUCACCAUUAUAUGCAUCGAUAUGACUUAAGUUUUGGCCAAGCUGGGUUGUCUGGCUCCUGUGCUUACCCCUACGUUCCCGAUUGUUCGGCUAGGAGGUAAAGGGAGCACCUCUGCGAUUGUUACUGCCGGGUCAGCCGGAUGUGUACCUCAGACUGGGUGAAGCCGAAAGCUAGCGUUCUUAAGAGAAUAUUCGGUCAGUGACUUAAAAGAUGAUAUAUUACUUACUUAUUUAUUUGCCCCCAGAUGCUUUUUUUGCUAUUUUCGCAGUCCGGACAUGCACUUUAGGGCAUGCCUCCCAGGGAAAGGAACCCUUAACGGAACUAUUCUCCCUGGAAGAUGUUUCUUACUAACCAUGUAAUAUAACAUAGCUAGUUGGGCACUUGUCUGAUAAAGCAAUUAUGACCCCAACGCCUUGUCUCCACGCAUGCCCCUGUUCUUCUAUAACCAUAAGGGUAUUCGGACACAGUCCGGACUGUUGGGUCCGGAGGUUGAAGAGAAAAGGUCCGCAAAGACAAACGAUCUAUAAUCCGGCUAGAAGGCAUUUUACAUGUCAUUCAAAUUACAUCGUCAAACUGACUGAUUGUACUCCUCUUCAAUCCCAUCUAACAGGCUGUCUAAUUUACAGUCCUGUUGGGAAUAUUUCGCGGCCAGUUCUACUUGGUCGUACAUCAAGCUCACAGGGAUCUCCUUCCCAUCAGGCCCCGCAGGUCCGACCUCGGCCAUGUGGUUUGGGUCAGCCUUCGGGUACCGCGUCUUCACCAUGGCCCAGGCCUCCCUGGCGCCUUGACGGCAGGCCGAUAUCUUCCACAGACGGAGGCGUCGCCGUGCUCCCUGAAGCUUCUCAGCAAGCCCUCCAAGGCCCUCGGGUAGGGAGAUGGAUGGCCAUAAAGCAUGAACGACGCCACUCAUCGCCUGCCGAACAUGUUCGAGCAGUUGCACCAGCUUGAGAAGUUGGUCACCCGUUGAACCAGGCAUUUCCUCCGCAGGGCGACCUGUGAGCACACCUAAAGACACAUUUCUGUCAAUCGACUUCCUCGCCGAAUUCUUCUUUUCAAAGGAAUUUGCUCAAGCACUUACUAUAAAUGCCGCGACGAAGCCGCUGAUUCUCCUUCACGAAGCCAGACAGCUGGGCCCGAACACCUUUCAGCUCUUCUCCUAGCUGGGUGUGGGCAUCUUGGAUCUUGUUUCUCUCCUGCUGCACCUUCAUAAGCACCUCUCGCCGGCCUUUAGCUGAUGCAGUAGCUAUUGCUUGUCCAGAUCUAGCCCGGCGCCCUCUGCAAUAUUAUUGUCAGACUUACGCACACGCCGCACUUUGUUAACUACUUAUCUUUUCGAAGUACGUAUUACCAGCGGGGGUCUCUGUGGCUCCCCCUGUGGUGGCUAGUGCGGCCUCAAGUUAGGCCUUGCACUCUUGGAGCUCCUGGGACAGGUGGGCAUUCUUCUCCGUAAGAUCCUGCAUAAUAAAUGAUCCUUAAAUCAGUUAUUUUAACUAUUUUAAGUCUCGGGGCUACUAGCAUAUAUAACUAUUAAAAUUACUUACCCGUAUGUCCUUCACAUACUGCUCCGUGGCUCUGGUUAAACCAUGUUGAGCAGCACGGAGGUGCGCGUUUCCCGCAUCAAAGGCAUUCAACGCCUCCAGGGAGAAACACGCGUCACGAAGAAUUGUCCGGCGACGCCUGUGAUUCAUGGCGCUCUCCACCUCAGACCGGGUGGCGGACAGCCUGUCGGCAUCCUUUGUCGGAGGAGCAUCCGGCUCUUGCCUUGUGUUCGCCUCCACUUCCGGACCACGCGAUGGAGCAUGGCUGGCGGAGGCUUGAUUGGCAACCUCUCCGGACAAUGUCCGGCGAAAGCUCUUUCUCCUGGAAAAAGUUAUGAGCAUUAAUAUACCUCCUAUGGAUCCUUCCCUCAAAAACAACGGUGCGCCGUACCGUUGCAGCGAUGUUUCGAUUCGCGUCACACUCCUCUUCCGCCUGCUGGGCCGAACUGACCCUUGCUGGUCAGCCGACGCAGGUUCGGCUUCCCGCCUUAAAGGCACCUCCUGCGAUGCACCAUCAGUAUAGGAUGGUCAGAAUUGAGCACGGAUCAAAUGAUGGUGUCAAGACCUCGGUCGUAGUCACCUGGGAGGCCGGAAACAAACCGGGGUAGUCAGCCGUAAUGGCGACUAGGGCAUUGUCCAUGCUAAGUUGGUGGAACACCCCGUCAAUCAGCUCCACCUUUAUGUCCGGAUCCUCUUCGGAGCCCGGAUCAAGGGAUCGUUCUGGAUCCUCGAGCUGUGAAGUUAGGCUUCGUAUGCCCUCCACGUCCCGGCGCAGCUCCUGCGUCAAAAUCACAAAGUAAAAUACUUGACUUUGGAAGUAUGGAUCGGGUAGAUAAACGUCUGCUUACCCAGCUCUGAGGGUUAUUCAUGGAGAAUCCGUUCAAUGGAUUUGUGCGGAGAAAGUCCUCCUCCUCCCCCUUGUACAAGCCGGACAGGAUCUUUGCCAGAUCGGCUGCCGAGCUCGGCCCUCUGCGGCCAUAACGGGUGGCGUCGUCUUCCCCAUUGAAAUCCCACAUAGGGUGGCCCCUAUAUUGGAGUGGCUGCACCCCUCGCAUAAUGCACGUGGCCAUGAUUCCAAUCAUGGUCAAUCCGGAGUGGGCCAGUAACCUAAUCCGGCCCAUCAGAUAAUGGACGCUCACAUCAUCCUCCCAUUGAGGGCUCCGCGGGCGCCAACUCAGGCGUUUCUUCAAGGGAGCAUUGCUGAACUCCGGGAGGCCGAUCUGAACUGGAUCUGGCAGAGGGGCGUCCUCCAUGUAGAACCAUUCUGAAGGCUAGUCUUCGGAUGCCUUCUUCGGGCUGCCGGAUAGAUAUCUGGUCCCAGUGAUGCUCCAUAUUUCAGCUCCGCCCACUUGAUAUAUCGACCCCUCAUAAGAACGGGGUACGAGGCAAAACAAUCUCUUCCACAGCGCAAAAUGGGGCUCGAUGCCCAGGAACAGCUCGCAAAGAGCUACAAAACCCGCGAUGUGCAAAAUGGAGGCAGGUGUGAGGUGGUGAAGCUGGAGUCCGUAGAACUCCAGGAGGCCCCGGAGAAACGGAAGUAUGGGAAAUCCGAGUCCCUUUAUUAGAUAAGGGACAAAGCAUACCCGCUCUCCUUUGGAAGGGUUGGGGACGCUCUCCGCCUGCUUUCCACCCUUGAAGGUGGCUAGUCCGGCUCGAACCGGAACCAUGAAAGCUGGGGGAAGAUAUCCCUCGGUUUGGAGCGCCACUAGCUCGCUGUGUGGAACUGAGCAUCUCCCCCAAUCUCCUGGCUUAGGGCUGGGAGCGCGAGAGGAGGAGCCGCGUCGACUAUCCAUGAUAGAAUGGAUUUUUGUCAGAGGCGCUUCGAUGAGAACUUGCGAAUGGAGGAUGGUGUGAGCUGGAUCUAGAUCCUCGCCUCUCUUAUAGGCGGCUCGUUCGCACGUCUAGGGGGUAAAAUGUAAAAAUACCCUAGCUUUUCGCAUUCAUAUGACACGUGGAAGAAGGCCAUUAUUGGGCGUAGAAGCCAAGGAGCGCAACAUUUAUAAGGAAGCCGGACACUAUUCAACAGGAACAUGAAGUUUGAAGCAGAACCCGCCUUGCAACGCCGAAGACAAUAUACGCGCCGGACUCGUCGUCGUUGAAGCCUGGUUCGGGGGCUACUGAGGGAGUUCAGUACUAGGGGGUGUCCGGAUAGCCGAACUAUCAUGAUCGGAUGGACUCCGAGACUAUGAAGAUACAAGAUUGAAGACUUCGUCCCGUGUCCGGAUGGGACUUUCCUUGGCGUGGAAGGCAAGCUUGGUGAUACGGAUAUGUAGAUCUCCUACCAUUGUAACCGACUUUGUGUAACCCUAGCCCUCUCCGGUGUCUAUAUAAACCGGAUGGCUUUAGUCCAUAGGACGAACAACAAUCAUACCAUAGGCUAGCUUCUAGGGUUUAGCCUCCUUGAUCUUGUGGUAGAUCCACUCUUGUAACACACAUCAUAAAUAUUAAUCAAGCAGGACGUAGGGUUUUACCUCCAUCAAGAGGGCCUGAACCUGGCUAAAACAUCGUGUCCCUCGUCUCCUAUUACCAUCCGCCUAGACGCACAGUUCGGGACCCCCUACCCAAGAUCCGCCGGUUUUGACACCGACAAAGAGUCUUGAGCUUUUGAGCUUGAGCCAAUCCUUUGUCCUUAGUAUUUUGAGGGAUCCACUUUCAUCAUCCAUGCCAUGCCAUUCAUUGAGUUUUCCAUAAAUAAUAGUCUUGGAAUAGCAUUAGCUCAGUGAGCUAUAUGUUGAUAUGAAUUACCAAAACCACCUAGGGAUAGUUGCACUUUCAAUCUCCCCCUUUUUGGUAAUUGAUGACAACAUAUAGAUCAAAGCUUCGACAAAUGAUAAUAAGAAUAAAAACAUCGUCGCUUUGAGAAGUAUGUGAUAAGCAAGAGCUCCCCCUAAAUUUGUGCAUUGUUUAAAAUUUGCUUUGGACUGCAAAUGCACAAGGAAUUAGGCUCAUGGGUUACUCUUCCAUGUCACAUACAUCUUGGUGGAGCACUCAAAAUGAUAAGUAUUGAAUACAUGCACUCAUCACCAAGCAAAGUGAAUGAUCACAUAAGAUAGAUAGGAUAAUAUCAUCAAACAUGCAUAAGUGUAGCUUAUGAUCAAACACAUGAUCAUCAAUGUCUCACAAGCAUAGUAUCUCAACCAAUCAAAAGCAAACAAGUUUAAACCAACAAUGCAAGAGAGAACAAAAGCAACACUCUCUCUCUCUCGAAGCCUAUGAUCUAUACAUUUUUCUCCCCCUUUGGCAACAAGUUACCAAAAAGUUCAUAGAAAAUGCAUAGUGCUAGGUCGACUCUCAGGCUUGAUCUUUAGUUGGUGGUGUAGAGAUGGCUCCUUGGACGAAGGCUUCAGUUGAUGUAGAGGGUGCUGGAGUUGAUGCUGAAGCUGGUUGCACUGGAGCUGAAGGGGCAGUAGCUGGUGCUGAAGAUGUUGCUCUAGUGUCUGGCACUGGCACAGCAGUUGACCUCUGAGCUCUAGGCACUCUGGCAAAGACAUUUGUUGUUGUCUUGCCCUUCCUCUUCUGCAUGUCAUCCUGCAGUUGCUCCACAACUGACUGAAUCUCAGUUACUUUGACAUCUAGAUCAUAGAAUUUUUGUUCCAUGAUUCUUUCCAAGCUCUCCUAGUUUUGAGUUAAGGUGCCAACCCCUUCUCAAUCCUCAGUGAUGAUGCUAUCAAGUAACCAAGCUGCUCCUGCUUGUUUUUCAAGAAAUACUCAGAUGCCUCCUCUUGAGUUGGCAUCUUGGCAGCCUUCUCCUUCCUUGCCUUCUCCCUCUUCUCUUGAGCUUGAACUGAUGAUGGAUCAUCCUCAUUCAUGACAACCUCAUUGUCUUCAAAGUCUAGAUAGAGUGGAAAAUGUUCCCUAUCCAAUAGAUAUUUGCCAGUUCCCAUCUUUGAGUUGAUCAAUUCCUGAAUCUGAGGUGCAUAACCACAGCUCCUCUUCUGAUCUGUUGCAGUCCUCUUAAUGGUUUCAACUAUAAGGCGCAUGACUUUGAAUUUCUGUGGCACAUCAAAUAAAUGCAACAUAUUGAUGGCAUGCCCUCUGAUCAUGUUGUGGUCACCAGACUUGGGCAACAGAGUGUGCCUCAGAAUCCAAUUGAUAGUAGGCAGACCUGACAACAGAAAAUGGACUGAUCCAAAAGAGAAAGUCUCUAGGGCUUUGUCUGGGAUCUCCUUGUACAUGUGUGCCAUGGUAUUGUGUCCCAUUUUCUUCUUGGCAUAUACAUCCAGAUCAUCAUCAUUUUCCUUUGGGGCAUUUAUCAGUUUUGCCCAUUCUUCAACAGUGGAUUGGUACCUUGUACCUUCAGACAUCCAAACAAUUCUUCCAUCUGGGUAAAAAUGUGCUGUGGAGUAGAAUUGCAUGAUAAGUUCAUCAUUCCAGUUUGUGAGCUUUUGCCCAACAAAAUCUGUAACUCCACAAGCAACAAAGUUGUCUUGCACUCCAGGAUAGUGCUCUUCAUUUUCCUUCAUGUAGGUCCAGUCGACCCACCUCAUAUCACAAACUAUGGGCUUCUUGUCCAAUAAGAUUGUCUCAUAGAAGUCCUGCUGUUCCUUUGUAUGGAACCUGUAAUCAACAACAGUUCUUCUCCUUGUGGCAUAUGGAUUUGCCAUCCUCCAUAGCCUCAAUCCUGAAUCUUUUCUGAUGUUCAUGUCCUCAGCCACAAGAUGGGCAUCAUUGUGAUCUGGUAUCUUGGGCUUGAGCUUCCUCGGAACUUGUCCUUCUUCUUCUUCCUCCUCAGCAACCUCAGGCACUGGGGCCUUGUUCUUCUCAGCAGCUGGAAUACUCCUGGUAUUCCUCUUUGGUUAAGACUUGGCCUUGGGGGCAGCUUUGGGUGCUUCCUUGGGCUUAGAUGUUGCAGCCCCUGAUCUAAUAGCAUCACCCGUAAGCUCUUCCUCUUCCAUCAUGGAAGGUUGACCAACAACUCUGGCCAUGGUCUUCUUGACCCUUUCCUUCCUCUUCUUGCCUUCAGCAGCUGGCUCUUUAGGAUCGGGCUUUUCAGGCAGUUGAGUUGAUGCUCUGGCCUUGGACAUUGGUUGUCUUCCUGCAGGCCUUUUAAUCUUCAUGUCUGGCUUUAUAUCCUUUGCUGAGCCAUAUUCCUUCUUGAGCACCACUUUCUUGGAAGUAGCCUCAUCUUCUUCAGCUUUGUAGUCCUCAUCUUCUGAGUCUGAGGUUCUCUUUCUCCUUUGCCUGGUAGCAGCCUUAGGCAGGUUGCUAGGAGUGCUUCUGCUCCCUUCAUCUGAAGUGCUAGAGGGACUAGUGCCCUCACUCAUGUGAAUCUGCUCUGCUGACCUGUUCUGGCUGUCACUCUGGUCUGACAUGCUGCAAAAGCUGACUGCUGACCCUGUGAAGAGUUAUAGAUGAGAUAGAGUGGAUGAGCAUCACAAAAUGCAGAGAUUUUUCAAAAGAAUGAUUCAAAAAUUAAGUUUUAAUUUUCCACAGAAAGCAUUUCGGAUCAACCGAUUUUCAAACUCGGUGAUACCGAAGCAGUUUUUGGAACCUAAAAUGAUGAACUUGGUUGGACCGAGUCACAGUUCGGUGGCACCGAGACUACUAAGGUUUCACAGAAUCCUAAAAUCGGUCGCACCGAUUAGUAAUUCUCGGUCAGACCGAGAGUCACUAGUGCAAUGGCAUAUGCCAAAUCGGUGAGACCGAGUUUUUCAACUCGGUUGGUCCGAGAUGGUUUUGGCGGGAACCUAACCCUAAAAAUUUGAAUCUAAUAUACUCUACGGACUACUUUGGCUGGAUAGGAUUGUUUCAAUCGUGGCAAGAAUCAAUAAGAGUACAAUGUGCUAGGAAUCAGAUGUGGAUAGCACAAAGAUCGAGUCCAUACCCUAGUGCGGCGAUGAACUCGCUACGGCGGCAAUGGUGGGGUUGAAUUCCAUUGACAGCGGCAGAGACCAGCGACAGGAGGCGGCUGGCGACGAGGAGACGAUCCGGAGACCUUUGAUGGCAGAGUGAGCUAUUGCGCGGGCGAAAGGGUUCAGAGAAAUUUCCAAAAUUUUGCCCGUGUCUAUAUAUAGCCCGACCCUGUCGGUGUGACCGAGUGGAACAACUCGGUGGCACCGAGAUGAAUAAUUGUGUUCAGUUACAGCAACUCGGUGUGACCGAAAAGUUCAAAUCGGUUGCAUCGAGAUUGAAAGAUCAACUUAAUGAUCUCGGUAGGACCGAAAUGGAGGAAUCGGUCAAACCGAGAAUCACAAAGAGGUUUUGGAAGUUUAAGUCUAUGACGAAUCGGGGACUCCGAGUUCUCCUCACACAGAGUGGUUCGAAUCUGACUUGAUCAAAUUUUGUGAUGUAGCAUGAAUAGAGUUUGAGACGAGAAAAACAUAGAUAGCUAGAGAGGGUUCUUAGGCAUUCUUGUCCAUCCACUUGGCCAAAAGAAGAAAGAACCAAACAAUCAAAACAACAAGUGGAUUGUCGGGGGUUGGGUGCGACAUAUGCCAACGGAUGGCUUAUCAUGGUGGGAGCGAGUAGAACGUCGCCGGUGCCCGGAAGCGGGAUGAGGCGAAGACAUGCACGCCGGCGGAUCUUACCCAGCUUCAGAGCUCUCCGAGGAGAUAACACCCCUACUGCUGCUCUGCGGGGUCUCCGCAUGGUCACUAUGGAAAAGUGAGUACAAGGUUGCUCCUCGAGCUGUAUUCUGGAGGUAGGAGAAGGCAAGGCUAGCUCUUUCCUUCCUAUUUGCUAUGGUCUAGUUCUAAUGGAUUCGAACCAUUUGCAUGGGUGCCCCGGGGGGUUUAUAUAGGCCUACCCCUCGGGGGUACAAUGGUAGUUUGGCUGGGCGUGGGUCCCAGCCGUCUGUCUCUCAGGCCACCAUCUUCUCCGCCGACUGCUGGGGCCCGCCGACUAGUGGGCCCCGCCGACAGGUCUGGUACUAUAGCCGUGCUUCUAAUGACGCAGGCUUGGUCAUGGGGUCGUGGCAACAGUGCCGCCGUCUGACGGGCGAUCACUGUCGCCAUUCGCCGUCUCGUCUGGUUAAUGGCGUGCGGGGCCCGUGGGAGGGGCCAGCCGACUCCAGGGGGCCGACUCCCACGGGUCCGUCUUCGGGGCGCUCUUGCCGUCUUCGGUGCUCCCGUUGAUAGGCGGGUCCCUCUGUCUCUGGGUUGUACAGGUAGGCCAUCGUGGCCAUAGUGCGCUGCCCACUUAGGCUGAGGUCAGGGUAGGCAUGGCAACGGUGCCGCGCCACGAUGGAGAUAUCUAGCGAUUCGGCGCACUAUAGCCAUGCCAGCCCCUCGUAAGCAAGGUAGAGACGGACACGCUAUGAGCAUAACCCGCCCUGUCCAUCACGGUGAAGGCAGGAGGUGGUUGGAGUCGCGAGCCGACUCCCCUCAGCCGGCUUCUCUGGAAGCCGUCAGCUGAGAGUCGGUUUAUCUAGGAGUCGUCCCUGGGACUCUGCAUAUCUUGGAGUCAUCCCUGGGACUCGGCUUGAGGGGUGCACCCUGUCCCGAUGUCUUGAAAGGUUCUGGGGCUCGGGUUAGCCUACCCGUGGCCCGUUACUCCAACAGUAGUCCCCAAAGCUGGUGAGGCUCCGCGGAUACUACGUCGUGGGGCCUCAACAGUUUCAUUCUUCUGGUGGUGGAAUCUGGGCUUUGCUUGCCGUCUUCCUUCAGGCCGACUAUCCGGAGUCGGACUCGCAGAGGGCCGCCUCACUCCCUAAGGAGUUUGAACGUCACGGCGGGAACCAGGCGGCGUGCCUGAUACGCUUCCCCGCGAUCGCCCGCCGCGGCCCCGUCGCUCGGUGCCAUGCGGCGAGGACAGUCUGCCUACCCACGCGCGCGACGGGACAGGCUGUCAGGCGGGGCCCGCCACUACCGUGCCUCGGCACGCGAACGGAUCCGUUGUGGCCGUGCGGACGGUUGGGUUUCCCACAUUGUUACUGCGCGCAGUAACUUCAUGGGGUAAAUCGUGGGGAGCGUGGGGUCCCAUGCGCAGUUAAUCCCACGCCCGCCCCAUCGGCUUCUCAGCCUUCGAGGCUAUAAGUAGGCGGGAGGAGAGGAGCGGCGAAGCACACGCGCCCAUCCUCCCUGCUCCCCCGCCUCCUCUUGCCUCCUCUGCUUCCUGUCUCCUUCUUGCCGCCGUCGUGCCGAACCACGCCGCGCCUGCAGCGAUGAGCACUUCCUCCGCCGCCGCGGCUCCUGCCGUGCACUCCGGCGUGUGGGACGGCUCCGAAGUGGACAACGACCUCAUCGAGUUUCUUCGCAAGACGCGCCGCCUCCCCGGUGCGAACCUCGUGCGAGCCCGCGCUGCACCGGCGAGGGAGAUAUCGCCGGCGCCAGAGGAGGGUGAGCGGGUCAUUUUCCGCUCGCACCUCAUGCGCGGCCUGGGGCUGCCGGCGAGCGGCUUCUUUCGCUCCUUCUUGGACUUCCAUGGGCUCCAGCCGCACCACCUCACGCCGAACGCGGUGGUGCUGCUGGCUGCCUUCGCCACCCUGUGCGAAGGCUUCCUCGGUGUUCUCCCCACCAUCGAGCUGUGGGGAGAAUUCUUCCAAUCCAAGCUCGGCACGCACGUCGCCGGCGUGCCGGUCCAGUGCGGCACCUUCAUUGCGAUGCGGCAAUCGACAGCUGACAAUCUGUUUCCCUCCAUCCCGCUGAUCAAGUCGGUGAAGAUGUGGCAGCGGUCUUAUUUCUACGUGAAGAAUGUCGCCCCAGACGGCGACUGGGUCAAUUUGUCGCCUUACGAAGCCGGCGCACCGGCUUGUAGGCUCCCUAGCUGGUCUCAUCGAGUCAAGACACUGACUCCCGCCGGAGCCGCCGCCGUAGCGCGUCUCCGAGUUCUGACGCAGUCGGAGGGCCUGGUUGGGGCCGACUUGCUGGCCACCUUCGUGGCGCGCCGAGUCCUCCCUCUCCAAGGCCGGCCUCAUCUGAUCAGUCAGAUGAGCGACCACCGGGACCCGAGUCGGAUGUGCACCAGGGACAUGCCCCGCGCGGAAGUGGCGAACAUGGUGAACCACAUCGCAAACUGUGAGCUCGCGGCGGACUGGCAGUUCGGCAAGGAGCCGUACUCGCGCGCCAAUCCCCCUCCGACGGUAAGUCGCAUCUCUUGUUGCUCUGUUUUCUUUGUAGCCGAAUCCGACUUCUGAUCUUUUUGGUUUCUUUGAGUUAGAACCCCCUCAUUCAGCCUGCAGCCGGCGUCGAAAGACCGCCCCGUGAGUUCGUCCCCGACCGAGCGGAGAGCAACGUCAAUGACCCCGACUUGGGGGCGGCGGCGAUGGAGGCCGACGCCGAAGGCGGAGGAGGAGGAGCGGGAAGCGGCUUCAGGCCCUCGGCUACCUUCGCCGACUUGCCUGAAGAUGAGUUCGAAUGGGAAGUCGCCCCGCGCCACCAGCCAAGGGUCGGCCAGCCGGGUGCGAGUUCCUCCGCCGGCUUGGCCGGUCAAGGCGGCGUGAAGAGGUGCCAGGCUGGGCCGAGUUUGCUCGGCGGCAAGCCGAAGAAGUUCAAGGGGGCGGCCGCCGCGACCAAGCGGGAGGAGGCGGCCGCGAAGGCCAACCGAUUCCGCAAGGAAGUGAAGAGGCCGCCACUGCUCUCUGCGUAAGUGUUUCUGCCUUCGUCUUAUUUUCCUUUGGUGAAUCAUGUUCGAGUCUUUUACACCCCCUCCUUGCUUAAGGGCUGCUCUUACCCUAGAAAGGGUCGCCGCCCCCUCCGUCAUGGGGUCGGUAGAGACGUCCGCCAACACUCGGCGGGUUGACGCCGCCGCCGACCUCCGAGAGGCGACGGAGCAAAACGCGUAGGAGAAGCACGACGACGAGGAGGCCGGCCGCCUGGAGAAGGCGGAGGCUGAGAAGGCGGCGACCUCCGCCCAGAAAAAGCUGGGAGAGGCCGAAGCCGCCAUUACAGCAAGGCGGCAAGCCGAGGAGGCCACGCACCGCCAAUCGGUGUUAUUCGUCAUCCCGCUGACCUCCGCGCCGCCGCCCCCGGAGUUCACGGGGCAGACUGGAGAAGCCGGCGCCGAGAACCCCAUCGUGGAGAAGGAAAGCGGCGUGGCCUCCAUGUCGGACACGCUCGUGCUGCCACCGCCGCCUCCGCCGCCGUCUGGGAGCACGCGUGGAAAACAGCCGGUGGGCCCGCCGGUGCCGCCGACUGCGGACGAGUCUGAGGCGAGGCUGCUCCUUCAAGUUGCCUCGCCAGCGCGCCGCCGCCUUGAGAAGGCGACUUCGGCGCCGCGACCCUUGGAGACCGGUGCCGCCAGCUCAGCCAUUCCAGACGCCGAGGCGACGAGCGCCGUGCCCGUUGGGUGGGUGCACAAAGGCGGCACAGGUCCGCUGAACCGGGCACUUCUGGACGUCCAGGCGAAGCUGCAAGCCGAGGGCGACGCCCUCCAAAACUGCACCAGGGUGCAUCUGGCGUCGCGAACAGCCGUCCGAGUAUGCUUUCCUCUUUUGAUUCUUGUUUUUCUUGUUCUUCUCUGUGGGGGCGCGCUAGCGCACCCACUGGGAGUAGUCCCCGAGUUUCGGGCCGGCUACUGAGCAGGCGGUUCGGAACUCCCUCUGGCGAGUUCCAAAUAUUUAUCUUUGUCUGAAAUGCUUAUUACAGGAGUAUCACAACCUCCGCGCUACUGCCUUCAACCGCAAUGUUGAGGAGCUGGGCAAGCGGACUGCCGACUUGUCAGAGAGCCGGAGUGAGUCCUUCUUAUUCUUCUUUUCUUUGCGGGGGCGAGCUGGCGCACCCGCGGGCUAUAGUCCCUGAGAUUCGGGCCGACUGCUGAGCAGUCGGGCCGGAUCUUCUCAGCGACUUUCUUUGUUGACGACUUAACGUCUUUUCUCUUCUUUUUUUAUUCUUCAGAGGCCAACGCCACUCUUCAGCAGCAGCUGGGCGAGGCCAACACCGCCUUGUGCGCCAAGGGGGAGGAGUGCGGCAAUCUUGCCAUGGAGCGUGAUCUACUGGCCGCGUAGCUGGCGGAGCAAAAGGAGCUGCUCAAGAAGGCGCAGGAGGAGGCAGAUAAGAAAGAGGCUGCGCUCCUGUCCGAGUUCGAGAGCGAGCGCUCCUCCUGGACCGACAAGGAGGCGCAGCUGACUUCCGGCUUCCAUGAGAUCGAGGACAUCAUCGAUGGUGAGUUUCUUGGUUUCCUUGGAGCCGUCGACUGUGGGUCGGGCCGACUUCUGAUUCUGACUUGUUUCUUUUUUGUCUUGGCAGACUUCUUCCCUGGCCACUCGCAGGCAGUCACACAGGCCAUCGAGGCUGAUCGCGAGGCACGGAGGGAAAAUGGCGCGGAGAUUGCUGCUAACGCCUCCCUGACCAUCGACGAGCAGCUUCUGAGUAUCGAGGCCCGUCUUCGGCUGGCCCAUCGGUUGAUGUGCCGGCUUCAGCAUGCCGGCGCCCAAGCGGUUGCCGCUCUGUGGCCAGACACGCCGGUUCUGCGCACUGCCAGUCGGACUGCCUACUGGCUGGAGGUCGCAGCUGGCCGUCUUGAAUCCUGGAAGGGUUCCUCGGCCCGGGCCAGAGCGCGCCGAGCAAUGGAAUUUGUCAAGGCGUGGUAUCCGGGGCUGGACCUGGACCGGCUGGCCGUGUUUCAGUCAGAGGCCCAGGCAGAGCUGGUGGCUAUGGAGGGCGCCCUCGUCGAGCGUGCGGCGGCGAUUGCCAACUACACAGAUACCAACGUCUUCGUCCCUGAGCGGGCUGCAGGCAGCGAGGAGGUGCCGCCGGAGUGGUUCGGGAUGACCCCGGACUACGACGAGGACUCGGCGGAGGUGAUUGGCUCCAACACCGAGGAGGAAGGCAAGGCUGAGGACGAAGGCGAGACAGAGGCGCCAGAAGACGGGGCGGGCGACCAGCCUCAGCUCGACCGUGCCUCUAGCAACGAGCCGCGUCCUGAGAGGGCGGCUACCGCCGGAGACGAUCAAGCCGAGACUGCCCAGCCGGCUGCCCCGGCGCCUGACACCGCCGUCUCCUCCGACCCUCCGAACCCGUCUACCGCUCCCUAGGCUGCCGUCUGGCUUUAUUUUAUCUGCUUUAAGAGUCUUUGAAGAACUUUGUUAAUUCGAACAAUUCCACUCGCGGGGUGUAUUUGAACUUCUACUUGAAGAUCCGGCCAAGGGCCUAUGUAAAUAUUUAUCCUAGUUCUAUAUUUCCUUGCUCAUUGCUCUUUUGGCUUUCCCCUUUGCCGCCUUCCCUUAGUCGCCGCCUUGCCAGUCGGACAACUGCUCUGCGGACUGCCACUGGAUCAAACGCUUGGCUACUUUGGGAAGGCAAGUACUUAGCCAUUUUAGAGUCUUUUUAACAAGUCGGAUAGAAAGCGGUAAGCCGACUACUAAAGAGUCGGCUUGACUAAGAGAGGCAGGAAGCCGGUUUGAGCUCUGUUUAUGCUUUGAGUCCUUAGCCAUUUUUGUGCCGACGCCCAUUCUUCCUUACUCCUAUCCACCAAUCAGUUGCUCUGCGAGUUGCGGCUUCUGAUAGGAGACGGCUUAGGCGCCACGCACUACUUGUCCGACUGCAGGAAGCAUUUCAUAGCGCAAGGCGGCGAGUCCCCGGGCCGACUAGUCGAGCCCGGUGCCAAGCGGCAUAACAAAGAGUAGUAUACCCGAAGGCAUAAUUCUUAUCAUACAGAUAACAAAAAGGGGCAGUCCCCGAGCUCGUCUCGGGGGGGCCAAAGUCUUGGUACUUUAAUACAAAGGGUAGUGCGAUACAUACUGCAUUAACUGUAAAAUCUUCGGAGAAGAUUUGCAUUCCACGGGCGUUCUGUCUCUUUGCCGGAGUCGUCCCUCUUGCAUGCUCGGGGCUUCUGAGCGUCGAUCACGUAGUAGGAGUCGUUUCCCAGCACCUUCUUGAUAAUGAAGGGGCCUUCCCAAGGCGCUGACAGCUUGUGCUGGCCGGCUGUUCGCUGGAUCAGACGGAGCACGAGGUCGCCCUCUUGGAAAGAUCUUGGCCUGACCUUCCUGUUGUAGUAUCGGCGCAGACUCUGCUGGUAGAUGCUGGACCGGCUGAGUGCCAACAACCGGCCCUCUUCCAGUAGAUUGACGCUGUCUUGACGUGCUUCUUCUGCUUCUUCCUCGGUGUACAUGGUGACUCGCGGGGAGUCGAACUCUAUGUCCAUCGGGAUGACGGCUUCGGCACCGUAGACGAGGAAGAAAGGUGUGAAGUUGGUUGACUUGUUUGGAGUCGUGCGCAGACUCCAGAGGACCGCUGGCAACUCAUCAAGCCAACAGCUGGCCGAACGCUCCAGUGGUUCGACCAGUCGAGGCUUGAUGCCAGACAGGAUGAGGUUGUUUGCUCGCUCCACCUGGCCGUUUGACUGCGGAUGGGCAACAGACGCUAAGUCCAGUCGGAUGCCCUGCGUCGCGCAGAAACGGGCCAAGGCGCCUUUGGCAAAAUUUGUGCCAUUGUCGGUGAUGAUGUUGUGUGGGAUGCCGUACCGAGUCGUGAUGUCGGCGAUGAAAGUCACUGCAGUCGGACCAUUCAACUUCUUGAUGGGUUUUACUUCUAUCCACUUGGUGAACUUGUCCACCGUGACAAGUAGGUGAGUUAGGCUGCCUCGUGCCAUCUUGAAUGGUCCCACCAUGUCCAGGCCCCAAACCGCAAAGGGCCAGGCGAUGGGGAUGGUCUUGAGUGCGGAAGCUAGCUGAAGCGGCUUGGAAUGGAACAUCUGGCACCCCUUGCAUUUUUGGACUAAUUCCUUGGCCUCUUCUAGGGCAGUUGGCAAGAAGAAACCAUGCCGGAAGGCUUUGGCGACGAGUGCUCUUGAAGCCGCAUGGUGGCCGCACUCGCCUUCAUGGAUGUCUCUGAGAAUUGCUUGGCCUUAUUCUGCCUCGACGCCGCGUUGGUAGACACCAGUGACACUACGCCUGACCAGCUCUCUAUUGACUAUGGUGUGGGCUGUCGCUCGGCAUUGUACUUGUCGAGCCAAGAUUUCAUCAGUUGGCAACUCUUUGUUUACUAGGAACUUGAGGAUGGGCUGGGCCCAUGAGGGUGCUGCUAUUUCUUCAAUUGCCACUAUUGCGACUUGGACGAGGGCGGCUGGGCUGGGAGGCGGCGGGUUGGAGUCCGCAGCCGCUUGCUGAAUUGAUGAAGUCCCCGGGUCGACUGGAGCAGUCCCUGGGCCGGGCUCUGGAGUCUUUGGUCUGGUCGCCGCAGUCCCCGGGCCGGGUUCUGAAGUCCUCGAGCCAGCUUCGGCUGCAGCAUUCUUGGAGUCGGAUCCGACUUCUUCGGGUGGAGCCGGCACAAAGAUGGAGUAUGACUCUGGUGAAGGCUUGAUAGACGGCUUGAGGAUGCGCCGAAGGGCGACGCCAGAUGGUAUUGCUUGGCGGGUGGAGCCGACUCGUGCCAGGGCGUCUGCUUGGUCGUUGUCAUUCCUUGGCACGUGGAGGAACUCGCACCCCUCGAAAGAUCCGCUGAGUUGCUGCACAAGGAAGCGGUAGCUCGCCAUGUUUGCAUCUUUGGCGUCCCAGUCACCAGAUGACUGCUAUACCACCAAAUCGGAGUCACCAUAGCACAGGAUCCGGCGGAUGCCGAGCUCUUUGGCAAGCCGGAGCCCGUGAAUGAGUGCCUCGUAUUCAGCGACGUUGUUGGAGGCGGCGAAGUGGAUAUGCAGCGCAUAUCUGAGCUUAUCGCCUUUGGGGGAAGUGAGGACGACAUCGGCUCCCAAGCCGGUGCGCAUCUUGGAGCCGUCGAAAUGCAUCCGCCAAUGGGUGGAGUCGGGCGCUGGCGGCAGGUACUGGAUCUUGGCCCAGUCGACGAGGAAGUCGGCCAGUGCUUGCGACUUGAUGGCGGUGCGCGGCUGGUAGUAGAUGGUGUAGGGAGCCAGACCGAUGGCCCAUUUGGCCACUCGGCCCGAAGCAUCUCGGCUUCCAGUGAUCUCGGCCAGUGGGGCUGUGCAGACCACAGUGAUUGGAUGCUCCUGGAAGUAAGGCUUCAAUUUCUUGGCGGCAAAGUGCAUGCCGUAGCACAUCUUCUGGUAGUGGGGGUAGUUCUGCUUGGAGGCCGACAGUACUUCGCUCAGGUAAUAUACCGGUCUCUGGACAGGUAGCACCUUGCCUUCCUCCUUGCGCUCAACUACAAUGACUGUACUGACUACUCGGCUGGUGGCGGCAAUGUAUAGGAGCAUGGGCUCUUUGGGAGUCGGAGCCGCCAGCAUAGGGGGAGUAGUCAACAUUUUCUUCAGCUGGAGAAAAGCUUCGUCCGCCUUGGGAGUCCACUCAAAAAAGGUCGUCUUCUUCAUGAGCUGAUAUAAGGGGAGAGCCUUCUCGCCCAGCCGACUGAUGAAUCGGCUGAUGGACGCCAAACAGCCAGUGAACUUUUGCACAUCUAACAGUCGUCUGGGUGCUUCCAUCCUCUCAAUGGCCUUGAUCUUCACAGGUUUGCACUCUAUGCCGCGUUCGAAGACCAGGAAGCCAAGGAGUUGGCCGGCUGGUACUCCGAAGACGCAUUUCUCUGGGUUGAGCUUGAUCUGGAAUCAGCGCAGGUUCUCAAACGUUUCUUUGAGGUCUUCCAGCAAUGUUCCGUGCUUCUCCGUCUUCACCACUACAUCGUCCAUGUAGACGUGGGCGUUUCUGUCGAGUUGCUUGAGGAGGCACUUCUGCAUACAAUGCUGAAAGGUGGCGCCUGCAAUCCUCAAGCCGAACGUCAUGGUCAGGUAGCAGAAGGCUCCAAACGGCAUGAUGAAGGCGAUCUUCAGUCUGUCAGCCGGGUUCAGCUUGAUCUGGUGAUAUCCAGAAUAUGCAUCUAAGAAACUCAACAGCUCACAUCCGGCUGUGGAGUCUAUCACCUGAUCAAUUCUCGACAGAGUGAAUGGGUCCUUGGGACAGGCUUUAUUGAGGCUUGUGUAGUCGAUACACAUCCGCCACUACUUGUUCUUCUUCAGCACCAGGACUGGGUUUGCUAGCCACUCUGGGAAAAACACUUCCAUGAUGAAGCCGGCUGCCAGGAGCCGGGCUAUUUCUUCUCCAACAACUCUUCUCUUCUCUUCUGACAUGCGGCGCAAGGGCUGCCUGACGGGCUUCACAUCAGACCGGACAUGUAACUUGUGCUCGGCGAAUUCCGUCGGUACACCUGGCAUGUCUUUAGGGGACCAUGCGAAGAUGUCUCGAUUCUCACGGAGGAAAUCGACGAGCUCGCCUUCCUAUUCGCUGUCAAGGUUUGUACCCAUGACAGCGUACCUCUCUGGGUGCUCCGGGUCCAAGGGUAUCUUCUUUGUUUCUCUGGCUGGCUUGAAUGAUCCUUCUGCUUCCGACUCCUUGGGGUCGGGCGACAACUCGGGCUGCUUGCCGGCCAUCUCCAAAACCCUAUCAAGAAGUCGCUUCUCAGUCGCGAUCACCAAGGACUCGGCCAGCCGACUGCUUUUGGCCGCGCAUGCGGACGACUUUCUGUAGUCGCCGUCCACGGUUAGAAUUCCCUUGGAACUCGGCAUCUUCAUCUUGAGGUAGGCGUAGUGGGGGACCGCCAUGAACUUGGCCAAAGCAGGUCGGCCAAGCAACGCGUGGUACGGGCUUUCGAGGUCCACCACUUCAAACCAAACUGGCUCUCGGCGGAAAUGAUCUUUGUCCCCAAAGAGGACAUCUAUCAGGAUCUUGCCGGUUGGCGAGUAGGAAAGGCCGGGAACAACGCCGUGGAACACAGUCCGGCUGCUCUGAAGCUGUCUUUGCUUGAUUCCUAACUUCUCCAUGGUAUCCUUGUACAGGAUGUUGAUACUGCUACCUCCGUCUAUCAGCACUUGCGAGAAACGAGCGGCCCGCCUAUCUGUGGUGAGUGUGGCGCCCAAGACCAGGGCGUAGGAGCCCGGAUUUGGCAUCACCUCUGGGUGAUCUGCUCUGCUCCAAUUGAUAGGCUUCUCGGACCAGUGCAUGAACUCUGGAGUGCUUGACGCGACUGCAUUCACCUCUUGCUGCUGCUGCCGCCUGCUGCAUCGAUCGUCAGCCACACUGGUGAACACCACAUAGGCUCCGUGCUCCUCUGGGUACUCGUCUUGUAUUUCACCGACUGGCCUGACAGCCGGCUGCUGAGGCGGCGGUGGAGGCGGCGGCCCAGCAGGCGGGGGAGGGAGUAGGCCGUCUCCCUUAGCGAUUCUGGUGAGCUAGUGGCAUUUCCGGGUAGUGUGGUUCGACGGCUUCGCACCGCUGUGGAACUUGCAGGGGCCAUCUAGGGUCUGCUCGUAGGAGAAGGCCGGCAGCUAGUUGGACUUGUCGCCUUUCUGUCGCUUCGCCGGAGGCUGCUCCUCCGGCUGCUGGUCUUCGACUGUCGCAACUUGCCGGCUACUGGAAGCCGGCUGCGGAGCCUUGCGCUUGUGGUCGUUCUGCUGUUGUCGUCGACUAGCGUCCCCAGCCGGUGUUUUGGGAGCCUGAGGGGCGACUUUUCCAGUCGCACUAACUUGAAUCUCCGCCUUCAUCGAGGAGUCGGCUGUUGCGUACUUGUCUGCUAUGAUCAGCAGCUCGUCGAGGGUCUCCGGCUCGUCGCAGAGGAGCUUGUGCUUGAGGAGGGUGCCUUCUCUGCACCCGGCAGUGAAGUACUCGAUAGCUUGCACCUCGUGCACACCCUCGCAGGAGUUUCGAAGCUCAGCACAACGCGUGAGGUAGUCGCGAGUCGACUCGUUGGGGCUUUGUACGCACAAGGAGAGUUGGCGAGGCUUGGGAGGCCGCUUGUACGUGCUCGUGAAGUUGCGGACGAAGGCUUCGGUGAAGUCGACCCAGCUGUCGAUGCUGCGGGGCUUCAGGCUGUUCAACCAUGUCUGGGCCGUGCCCUGGAGCAUGAGUGGAACAUACUUCACGGCAACACGCUUGUUGCCGUUUGCUAUGUUGACAGCCGUAGAGUAGUCAACUAACCAAUCUUCUGGCUUCACAGAGCCGGUGUACUUGGGUGUAUCUCGAGGGAGCGUGAAACCUUUGGGGAAGGGCUCAUCUUGGAUGCGGGGCCCGAAACAGGGAGGGCCCAACUCGUCUUCUUCUUCCAGCGCCAGGGAUCGGUGAAGUCGGUCGAUCCGGUGGCGGGCGUUGUUCUCUCCGACUCCCUCUCAGCGGCCAAGGUGGUCGCCGAGAGUCGGAUGCUCAACAGGUAGCAGGGAGACUCGCCUUUCUUUGCGAGGAGGAGGAGGCAGAUAGUCGUCCUGCCGUUCUACCGCUUUGGGGCGGCCGUCUUGGUCGCGCUCGAUCGUGAUGUGAGUCCGACUGUGGCUGACAGCCGGAUCCUUGUCUUUUCUUCCGCGGACACCGCCUGUUGGUGUCCGAGACGUCGCGCCUUGAUCUCGGCAGGGAGGCAAGUCGUCGUUUUGUCACUGCGGCGCCUCCAUGCGGCAGCCGACUUCAUUUUGCGCGGCAGUCGCAUCGAGGAGCUGCGGAACUCGCCCCGUCAUCAGGCGGCGCUCUUCACCUUUGAAGUUGUCCAGCUCAUCCGCCGCUGCCUGGGCAGCGCGGAUGUUCUCCGCAGGCAUGGCGUACACAGGGCGAUUGGCCCCGAACAGGCUGGCAAUGGCCAUGCCACGCUGUCGGACCGCGCCUAGGCGGCUAGGCCCAGUCGGAGCCGGCGAGCCGCCCACAGCGCGAUCCAUCUCACGCUGGUAGGCUUCUAACAAGCGUCUCAUGCUCGCCAGCUUCUUCGCGUCUUUGACGAGCUGAAGGCAGCGCGCCUCCAGCAUCUCGGCGUCAGCGUCUUCCAGAAUGGGCACGGUCAGGUCUCAUAGAGCCGCGUCGAGUGGGUCAUGAGCUCCCUCACCGGAGUGCUCGCCAUGACUGAUGACGAGCACCUCCGUGACGGCGCUUCCGCCACUCUCCUCGUGAGGGAGCGGCUCGUCGUAGACCACCACAUUGGUGGGGAAUGUGUCGAGCGACACGCUGUCGGAGUCGACCAGCAUCGGGUCGGUGGAGCCUACGGACUCUAAGUCCACGGCGGGCUUGCCGGUGCCGUGGAGUUGGUCGAGGAGGCCCGCGAGGAGGCUCUCGGGGCCGCCCGUGCCUGCAUCGGAUGCAGGCUCGUCGGAGAUGCAAACCUCGCCAAGAAGAUCUGCGAGGCAGCUCGCCGCGCAGGCAUCGUCGAUGUCUUGCAGCGCGUCGGGGCAAGCGCCAUCGGGCGUGCCGGGCUGGCUACGCUUGCUGGGGAGAAAAAGGGUUCCCGUCCAGAGCAGGUCUCCGGACGACGGUGCACCUCGCCCCAUGGUGGGCCCCAAAUGUCGGGGGUUGGGUGCGACAUAUGCCAACGGAUGGCUUAUCACGGUGGGAGCGAGUAGAACGUCGCCGGUGCCCGGAAGCGGGAUGAGGCGAAGACAUGCACGCCGACGGAUCUUACCCAGCUUCAGGGCUCUCCGAGGAGAUAACACCCGUACUGCUGCUCUGUGGGGUCUCCGCAUGGUCACUAUGGCAAAGUGAGUACAAGGUUGCUCCCCGAGCUGUAUUCUGGAGGUAGGAGAAGGCAAGGCUAGCUCUUUCCUUCCUAUUUGCUAUGGUCUAGUGCUAAUGGAUUUGAACCCUUUGCAUGGGUGCCCCGGGGGGUUUACAUAGGCCUACCCCCCGGGGGUACAAUGGUAAUCCGGCUGGGCACGGGUCCCAGCCAUCUGUCUCUCAGGCCACCUUCUUCUCCGCCGACUGGUGGGCCCCGCCGACAGGUCCGGUACUGUAGCCGUGCUUCUAAUGACACAGGCUUGGUCAUGGGGUCAUGGCAACAGUGCCGCCGUCUGACGGACGAUCACUGUCGCCAUUCCCUGUCUCGUCUGGUUAAUGGCGUGCGGGGCCCGUGGGAGGGGCCAGCCGACUCCAGGGGGCCGACUCCCACGGGUCCAUCUUCGGGGCGCUUGUCGGUGUCAAAACCGACGGAUCUCGGGUAGGGGGUCCCGAACUGUGCGUCUAGGCGGAUGGUAACAGGAGACAAGGGACGCGAUGUUUUUACCCAGGUUCGGGCCCUCUAGAUGGAGGUAAAACCCUACUCCUGCUUGAUUAAUAUUGAUGAUAUGGGUAUUACAAGAGUAGAUCUACCACGAGAUCGGAGUGGCUAAACCCUAGAAGCUAACCUACGGUAUGAUUGUUGUUCGUCCUAUGGACUAAAACUCUCCGGUUUAUAUAGACACCAGAGAGGACUAGGGUUACAUGGAGUCGGUUACAAUGGGAGGAGAUCUUCAUAUCGUAUCGCUAAGCUUGCCUUCCACGCCAAGGAAAGUCCCAUCCGGACACAGGACGGAGUCUUCAAUCUUGUAUCUUCAUAGUCCAAGAGUCCGGCCAAAGGUCUUAGUCCGGCCAUCCGGACACCCCCUAAUCCAGGACUCCCUCAGUAGCCCCCGAACCAGGCUUCAAUGACGACGAGUCCGUCGCGCAACUCGUCUUCGGCAUUGCAAGGCGGGUUCUCCUUCAAAUUCCAUGUAUCCAUCAAAUAGUGUUCGGCUUCUAGCGCGUGUUGUCCUCCUCGGCUUCUGUGUCCCAUAAUGACCAUCUUCCACGCGUCAAACAAAUGUGAAAAGCCAGGGGAUUUUCUUUUCACUUACCCCCCGGUUGCGUUAAUGAGCCGCCCAUAAAAGAGACGGGGAUUUAGAUCCAAAUCGCACCAUCUUCCCUCCGCGAGUCUUCAUGAGAGCGCCUCUGACAGAGAUCCGUUCCAUCAUGGCCAGUCGGUGCCGCUCCUCCUCUCGCCCCUCCAGCCCUCGGCCCGGAGAUUUGGGGCGGUGUUCCGUCCCGCAUAGCGAGUUAGUAGUGCUUCAGUCCAAGGGGCUUCUCCCCCCAGCAUAUAUGGUCCCAGUUCGCGCCGGGAUUGCUGCCUACAGCGGCGGAGAGCAGGUGGAGGGCGUCCCCAAUCCCUCUCAAGGAGAGCGGGUAUGCUUAGUCCCUUAUUUGAUGAGAGGACUAGGAUUUCCAAUUCAUCCGUUUCUCCGAGGGUUGCUGGAGUUCUACGGCCUCCAGCUACACAACCUCACGCCCGCCUCCAUUUUGCACAUCGCGGGCUUCGUGGCCCUCUGUGAGCUGUUCUUGGGUGUUGAGGCCCAUUUCAUGCUGUGGAAGAGGUUAUUUUGCCUUGUGCCCCGUUCUCAGGAGGGGUCUAUUUAUCAGGUGGGCGGAGCCGAACUAUGGCGCAUCGCCGGGACCGGAUAUCUAUCCGGUACCCAAAAUAGGGCGUCCGAAGACUGGCCCUCGGAGUGGUUUUAUAUAGAUGACGUCCCCCUGCCGGACCCUAUACGGAUCGGCCUCCCCGAGUUCAAUAAUGCCCCGUUGAAGAAGCGCCUGAGUUGGCGCCCGCGGAACCCUCAGGGGGAAGCUGACAGGGACGUCCUGUACCUGAUGAGCCGGAUAAGGUUGUUGGCUCAUUUCGGACGGACCAUGAUCAAGGUCAUGGCCAUAUGCAUUAUGCGAGGGGUGCAGCCGCUUGAAUACAGAGGCCACCCCAUGUGGGAUUUCAACGGGGAGGAUGACGCUACCCAGUGCGAUCGCAAGGGGCCAGAUUCGGCCGCCACUUUAACGAGAAUCUUAUCCGCUUUGUACAAGGGAGAAGAGGAAGAAUUCCUUCGUGUCAAUCCGAAAGGCGGAUUCUCCAUGUACAAUCCACCUAGUUGGGUGAGUGGACGCUUUCACUUCCUAUCCGCUUUUGAAAUUCCCGUAGUUGAGUACUUAGUCUAGUAAUGUUUAAACGCAGGAGCUGCGCCAGGCUGUGAAGGAAAUAAACAGCCCUGCUCCACAACUCGAGGACCCGGAACGGUCCCUCGAUCCGGACUCCCAAGAAGAUCUGGACUUAUGUGUGGAGUUAAUUAAUGGAGUAUUUCAUCAAUGGAGCAAGGAUAACUCCUUAGUGGCCAUCACGGACGACUAUCCCGGACUACUUCCAGCCUCCAAGGUAACUAAGACCGAAGUCCCAGUAUUCUCAUGCUUUAUCUUGCAUGCCAUAAACCAAUAGCGUUUCGCAGGGUAAAUCCUUGAGGCAGAAGGCCGAGCCCACGGUGGGCAGCCAACAAGGGCCGCUGAAGCCAGGCGGGCCAAAAAGAAGUGCGGACCAGAUCGAGAUUCCGGCGCAACGGUACGGCGUGCGAAUUUAACGCCUAGGGUUUAUGCCCUUGAUUCUUACUAAUGCUCAUGAUUUUCUUAGAAAGAAGAGAGCCCGCCGGACUAUGUCCGCCGGCCAAGGUUCAAGGCCGGGUCCGGAAGCGGAGACGCACACGGGGCGCACCUCGGGCGCUCCUCCGAUAGAGGACGCCGACGGGCUAUCUGCCACCAAUUCAGAGGUGGAGAGCGCCCUGAACCACAAGCGUCGCCGGACUGUUCUUCGUGACGCGUGUUUUUUCCCAGACGCGUUGGACGCCUUUAAUACAGGAGAUGCAUAUCUCCGUGCUGCUCAAACUGGUCUAGCCAGAGCCACGGAGCAGUAUGUGAAAGACAUACAGGUGAGUAGAAUUGAAGGUUAUAUAUGUCAGUAGCCCCCGAGACUUGAAACAGUGAAGAUAACUGUUUGAAGGAUCAUGUGCUAUGUAGUGUCUUACAAAGAAGAAUACGCAAUUGUCCCAGGAGCUCGAAGAGUGCAAGGCCCAGCUCGAGGCCGCACUGGCCACUUCAAAAAAUGCCAAGGGGACGCCCGCAGGUAAUAUAUGCUUCGAAAGAUAAUUCCGUUUUGAAAUGCGGCAGGUGUGUAACCCUGACGAUAAUAAUGAGGCUGGAGUAAAUCCGGACAAGCAACAACUCCUACGCCAACUAAAGGCUGGCGAGAGCGUGCUGACGAGGGUGAGGCAAGAGAAGAACAAGCUUCAAGACGCCAAUACCCAGCUGGGCGAGGAACUGAAAGAUGUUCGUAUUCAGCUGUCUUCUGCCGUGAAGGAGAAUCGCCGACUUCGACGCGGUAUUUUUAGUAUCUGCUUGAACGAAUCUUCGAAAAAAGAAUUCGGCGAGGAAGUCGAUUUACAGAGCUGUGUCUGUAGGUCUGCUGACAGGUCGUCCUGCGGAGGAAAUGCCCGGUUCAACGGGAGACCUUCUUCUCGAGCUGUUGCAACUACACGAACGAGUUCGGUAGGCAAUGCAAAGCGUCAUCCAGGCUAUGUGGCCAUCCCUGUCCGUGCCCGAAGGCCUUGAGGAGCUUACAAAGAAGCUGGAGGGAGUGCGGCAGCGCUUCCAGUUGUGGAAGAUAUCGGCUUGCCAUCAAGGUGCCAGGGAGGCAUGGGCCAUGGUGAAGACUCGGUACACGAAGGCUGACCCAAACCACAUGGCCGAGGUCGGCCCUAUAGGUCCGGACGGAAAGGAGAUCCCAGUCAGCUUAGCAUAUGGCCAGGUGGAGCUGGCUGCAAAGUAUUCCCAACAGGACUGUAAAUUAGACUGCCUGUUGGAUGGUAUUGAAGAAGAAUAUGCCGAGUCGGAUUGACUCUGUAAUUUAAAAUGACCUAAAAAUGCCUUCUAGCCGGAUUGUAGAUCGUUUGUCAUUGCGGACCUUUUCGCUUCGACCUUUGGACCCUAUAGUCCGGAGUGUGUCCGAAUACCCUCUCGAUUAUGUAAGAACCGGGACAUGCAUGGAGACAAGGCGUAGGGGUCAUAAGUGCUUUAGCAGACAAGUGCCCAACUAGUUAUGUUAUAUUACAUGGUUAGUAAGAAACAUCUUCCAGGGAGAAUAGUUCUGUUAGGGGUUCCUUUCCCUGGGAGGCAUGCCCUAAAGUGUAUGUCCGAACUGCCAGAAAGAGCAGAAAAGCAUCUAGGGGCAAAUGAAUAAAUACGAAAGAUCAUCUUUUAGUUCACCGACCGAAUAUUCCCUUAAGAACGCUAGCUUUCGGCUUCACCCAGUCUAAGGUACACAUCCGGCUGACCCGGCAGUAACAAUCGCAGAGGUGCUCCCUUUACCACCUAGCCGAACGAACGGGAACGUAAGGGUAAGCACAGGAGCCAGGCAACCCAGCUUGGCCAAAACUUAAGUCAUAUCGAUGCAUAUAAUGGUGUAUAAAAGGUUCAUGCGGAAGCGUCACACAUGUUUUGGGCAUGAGGCCCCAUUUAUAUAAACUUCUUGGUAAAGAAGCCCCUAGGUAUUAUGAGCGCGGGUAGCGCGUCGGGUAUGUACGAACAAUGCACAGGCAAGCCCCUAAGGGCUUGGGAGAAGAAAAAGGGUAGGGAGAAGGAACAAAAUCCCGAACAGCCAAAAAAUAAAAAAUAAAUAAAAAUAAAAUAAAACAAAGGGAUAGAGGAAGGAAACGAACACGGAGUCCGGCGCUAGGCGUAGAAUCUUCGUAGGCGUGCUGUGUUCCAUGGGUUCGGCUCGAGUCGGUUAUCCGAUGCGUUUCGCAGACGGUACGCUCCGCCGGUCAGUACUUGGUCGAUUAUGAAGGGGCCCUCCCAUUUGGGAUUUAAUUUAUCCUUUUUCUUGUCUGGAAGGCGUAGAACUAGUUCUCCAACAUUAUAGGUUUUGGCCCGUACUUCUCUGCUUUGGUAUCUUCGAGCCUGCUGUUGAUAGAAUGAGGAACGAGCUUUUGCCACGUCGCGCUCCUCUUCCAAUGCGUCCAAGCUGUCCUACCGAUCGAGCUCGGCUUCUCUUUCUUCGUACAUGCGCACUCGAGGUGAGUCAUGGAUUAUGUCGCAUGGCAGUACUGCCUCUGCGCCGUAUACCAUAAAAAUGGUGUGAAUUCGGUAGUGCGAUUCGGCGUGGUCCGCAGCCCCCAGAGUACGGAGUCAAGCUCCUCUACCCAGUGCGUGUUAGAUUCCUUGAGGGAUCGCACUAGUCUGGGUUUGAUGCCGCUCAUAAUAAGAUCGUUGGCCCGUUCGACUUGACCAUUAGUUUGAGGGUGAUAGACUGAAGCAUAGUCGAGCUUGAUGCCCAUGUUUUUGCACCAAAGUUUGACUUCAUCGGUCGUGAAGUUUGUGCUGUUGUCGGUUAUGAUGCUGUGGGGGACGCCGUAACGGUGUACAACCCCAGAUAUGAAGUCUAUCACUGGUCCGGAUUCGGCCGUCUUUAUAGGCUUGGCUUCUAUCCAUUUGGUGAAUUUGUCCACCAUGACCAGUAGAUAUUUUUGCUUGUGGGUCCCUCCUUUAAGGGGUCCGACCAUGUCAAGCCCCCAAACCGCGAAAGGCCAAGUAAUGGGUAUAGUUUGUAGGGCGGUAGGCGGCAUGUGGCUUUGGUUGGCGAAUAACUGGCAACCAACACAUCAUUGCACUAAGUCCUAAGCGUCUGCCCGGGACGUUGGCCAAUAAAAUCCGGUAUGAAAGGCCUUGCUUACAAGGGCCUAGGCUGCGGCGUGGUGCCCGCCGAGUCCGGCAUGAAUUUCAGCCAAAAGGUCUCGCCCUUCCUCUUCGGAGAUACAUCUUUGAAGGACUCCGGUUGUGCUUUUCUUGUAAAGCUCUCCCUCGUGGACUUUGUAGGCUUUAGAUCGCCGCACUAUGCAGCGGGCCUUGUUUUGGUCCUCGAGAAGUUCCUGCCUAGUUAGGUAGGCUAGGAAUGGUUCUGUCCAAGGGGCAAUGACUGCCAUUAUUGCGUGGGUUGACGACGUUGUUUUGUUGGCGGAGCCCCCAACUGUGUCAGAAUGUUUGGUGAGGGGCAGUGUAGUUGUGUCCGGGCUAUUGUUUCCGGAUUCUCCUUCCCAUGAUACGUAUGGCUUGAACAGCCUUUCUAGGAAGAUGUUGGGAGGGACGGCCUCACGCUUGGCGCCAAUGCGUGCCAACACGUCUGUUGCUUGGUUAUUUUCCCGGGCUAUGUGAUGAAAUUCAAGCCCCUCAAACCGAGAUGACAUCCUUAAGAUGGCGUUGCGGUAAGCUGCCAUUUUCGGAUCCUUGGCGUCGAAGUCUCCAUUUAUUUGGGAUAUUGCGAGGUUUGAAUCCCCGCGGACCUCUAAGCGCUGAAUGCCCAUGGAGACUGCCAUCCGGAGGCCAUGUAAAAGGGCCUCGUAUUCGGCUGCGUUGUUGGAAUCCGUGUACAUUAUCUGAAGUACGUAUUGGACUGUGUCUCCGGUUGGGGACGUCAGAACGAUGCCAGCCCCCAGGCCAGCCAACAUUUUGGAGCCGUCGAAUGAUCCAGUUGGAGUAUGUGUCGUACUCUUUAGGGAGUUCGGCUUCAGUCCAUUCGGCGAUGAAGUCGGCCAAAACCUGCGACUUAAUAGCUCGCCUUGGCUUGUAAGUUAUGUCAAACGGGAGGAGCUCGAUGGCCCAUUUGUCAAUCCGGCCCGUUGCGUCGCAGUUGUUUAUAAUAUCAUUAAGGGGUACUUCGGAUGCCACUAUUAUGGAGCACUCUUGAAAGUAGUGUCGCAGCUUCCGGGAUGCCAUGAACACCGCGUACGCUAUCUUUUGAUAAUGCGGGUAUCGUGACUUGCAUGGAGUUAGUACAGUGGACACGUAGUACACUGGUUUUUGGACGGGGAACUUGUGUACGUCCGCUUCUCGUUCGACGAGGAGCACCACGCUUACAACUUGAUGGGUUGCCGCGAUGUAUAAUAGCAUUGGUUCGCCCGUGUUGGGCGCGGCCAGGACCGGAUUUGUUGCCAGUAUGGCUUUUAUUUCUUUGAGUCCGGCCGUGGCGGCAUCCGUCCACUCGAAGUGGUCGGUGCACCACAGGAGGCGAUAGAGGGGUAAUGCCUUUUCUCCUAAGCAGGAGAUAAAGCGGCUUAGAGCCGCCACGCAUCCUGUCAAUUUUUGUAUUUGUUUGAGGUCCUUUGGGGUAUCGAAUUGUGACAGAGCUCGGAUCUUGGCUGGGUUUGCUUCAAUUCCUCUAUCGGAUACGAUGAAGCCCAAGAGCUUUCCGGCUGGUACGCCGAAAACGCAUUUUUCCGGGUUGAGGUUAAUGUCAUAUGUUCGGAGAUUGUCGAAUGUGAGCCUCAAUUCGUCUACUAGAGUAUCGACGUGUUUUGUUUUGACGACCACGUCAUCUACGUAUGCUUCAACUGUUUUGCCGAUCUGGUUGGCCAGACAUGUCUGAAUCAUGCGCUGAUAUGUUGCGUUGGUGUUUUUGAGCCCGAAGGGCAUCGUGUUGAAGCAUAAUGGGCCGUUUGGGGUGAUGAAUGCCAUAGCGGCUUGGUCUGACUCUCCCAUCUUGAUUUGGUGGUAGCCAGAGUAUGCAUCGAGGAAACACAAUGAGUCGUGUCCUGCGGUGGCGUCGAUGAUUUGAUCAAUUCGGGGGAGUGGGAAAGGGUCCUUUGGACAUGCCUUAUUUAGGUCUUUGAAAUUGACACAUAGGCGCCAAGAUUUGUCCUUCUUUGGUACCAUCACCAGGUUUGCUAGCCAGUCCAGAUGUUUUAUGUCUCUGAUGAAUCCGGCUUCCAGAAGUUUUGCUAGCUCCUCUCCCAUGGCUUGUCUCUUGGGUUCAGAAAAACGCCGUAGAGUCUGCUUGACGGGUUUAAACCCUUUUAGGAUGUUCAGGCUGUGCUCAGCCAGCCUGCAUGGGAUUACUGGCAUAUCUGAGGGGUGCCAGGCGAAAAUGUCCCAAUUUUCUCACAGGAAGUCUCUGAGUGCGGCGUCUACAUCGGGUUUUAGUUGUGCCCCGAUGGAGGCCAUUUUUGUAGGGUCCGUUGGAUGGACUUGGAAUUUGACUAUUUCGUCCGCUGGUUUGGAAGAGGUGGACUUGGAUCUCUUGUCUAGUAUCACAUCGUCCCUGUCAACCGUAGAGCGCAACGAAGUUAGUUCCUCGGCCGCUAGGGCCUCGGAUAAUGCCUCCAGGGCCAGUGCGGCUGUCUUGUUUUCAGCGCAGAGCGCUAUGUCCGGAUCACUUGCGAGAGUGAUGAUUCCGUUGGGUCCAGGCAUUUUGAGCUUCAUGUACCCGUAAUGGGGUAUGGCUUGGAAAAUUGUAAAUGCUUCUCGCCCUAGCAGAGUGUGGUAUCCGCUGCUGAACGGGGCCACUUGAAACGUGACCUCCUCGGAUCUGUAAUUAUCCGGCGUGCCGAACACCACAUCCAAUAUGAUUUUUCCUGAACAGCACGCUUCCCGGCUUGGAAUUAUUCCUCUAAAAGUUGUGUUGCUUCGCUCAAUGCGGCUCCAGUCAAUUUCCAUUUUUCGCAAGGUUUCCUCGUAGAUGAGGUUGAGUCUGCUGCCGCCGUCCAUGAGUACCUUUGUAAGUCGAAAGCCAUCCACUAUCAGACUGAGGACCAAUGCGGCUGGUGCUCGGGCUGUCCGGAAUUUAGGUUCGUCACUGGCAUUAAAGGUGAUAGCCGCGUCACUCCAUGGGUUUAUUGUUGCUACUUGGUAGACUUCGGCAAGGUUGCGGAGCAUUCGUUUCCUUGCAUUGUUUGAUGUGAUGGUCUCAAAGACUGUCGACACCGUACUGGGGAGGUAUUCUUCGGGUGCUGGAGUUAAAAGCUCCUCGCCACUUCAGGCCACCUGCCAGAGUAUCCAACAUGCUCUAAGGCUGUGCGUUGGUGUGGCUUCCCCUGAAUUAUGAAUUUUACAGGGUCCAUUGAGCCAUCCUUCUAGUACGGUCCCGUACCCUGUAGAGGGUUUUUGUUUUUUGAUGAUUGGCUCAGAUGCCUGGCGAUAAUGCGCCCUUUUGUUUCGGACUCGUGUUGUAUUUGGGGCCGGAUUGUCCCAGAAUUUAUCUUCGGUUUUCCGAAUGCUUUCAGUCGCACAGUACUUUCGUACUAUGGAUGUCAAGUCGGCGAAUCGUGUAAUUUUGCGGCGACUUAUGGCGUUGAGGAUUCCGAUGUCUGUGCAAUUGUUACAGAAGAGUGAAAUUGCUUCUUUCUCGCGGCAGUCCUUUAUCCUGUUCAUAACCAGGAGGAAUCUGGCCCAGUAGUGGUGUACUGUUUCUCCGGGCUCUUGCCGUAUUAGGGAUAAAUCCCGCAUAGUUGGGUGGGCGGGUGGAAUUAAAUCUGGAACCUUUCCUGAUGUAAGAUUCAGGGGCCAAGCGGUUUUCGAAUUCGGAAGCUUGCUUUCUUGGACAUUAUUCAAUGAAUCAGGCCUGCUGCCUGACUUUAGAUUCAGGGUUUGGGCGACAUCCUCCCCUCCGCGGGUGUCCGGCUUGGAGGGAUCAGGAAUCUGGACACAUCUGGUCCUUAGGGCGGGCGAAGACUCACCGCAUUGUUCUUCCACCACUUCGACGUGAUGGGUGACCUGGGGAGAGUCGAUCUCUCUCUGAUCGGGUUUAAGCCCAAUCUGGCCGUAAUCUGUAGCGACUCCUAGGGCCGCGAUGCGAUCCAAGAGCUCGUUCAGGGAGAGGAGCUCUGUCGGAUCUAACUACUCGGCAAGCUCCAAGCUGAUGUGAAGAUUGCUUUCGAUGGCCCGAGAGGUCAUCGUCGGCGCGGCGGCCGGACAGGCAGUCAUCAAAAACCUGCCUAGCCGGAGAGUUUGGCCGACAGCCAAAGCUCCUUUAGCAAUGACGCCAUCUUUAAAGACGGGAUGCGGCAUUCUUCCUGAUGGUGACGACACAGCGGAACUCUCAAUGAAAGCACCAAUGUCGGUGUCAAAACCGGCGGAUCUCGGGUAGGGGGUCCCAAACUAUGCGUCUAGGCGGAUGGUAACAGGAGACAAGGGACACGAUGUUUUUACCCAGGUUUGGGCCCUCUUGAUGGAGGUAAAACCCUACUCCUGCUUGAUUAAUAUUGAUGAUAUGGGUAUUAUAAGAGUAGAUCUACCACGAGAUCGGAGUGGCUAAACCCUAGAAGGUAGCCUACGGUAUGAUUGUUGUUCGUCCUAUGGACUAAAACUCUCCGGUUUAUAUAGACACCGGAGAGGACUAGGGUUACACAGAGUUAGUUACAAUGGGAGGAGAUCUUCAUAUCGUAUCGCUAAGCUUGCCUUCCACGCCAAGGAAAGUCCCAUCCGGACACAGGACAGAGUCUUCAAUCUUGUAUCUUCAUAGUCCAGGAGUCCGGCCAAAGGUCUUAGUCCGGCCAUCCGGACACCCCCUAAUCAAGGACUCCCUCAGCGCUCUUGCCGUCUUCGGUGCUCCCGCUGACAGGCGAGUCCCGCCGUCUCUGGGUCAUAUAGGUAGGCCGUCGUGCCCACAGUGCGCUGCCCAUUGAGGCUGAGGUCAGGGCAGGCAUGGCAACAGUGCCGUGCCACGAUGGAGAUCUCCAGCGAUUCGGCACACUGUAGCCAUGCCAGCCCCUCGUAAGCGGGGUAGAGACGGCCACGCUAUGACCAUAACUUGCCCUGUCCAUCGCGGCGAAGGCAGGAGGUGGUUGGAGUCGCGAGCCGACUCCCCUCAGCCGGCUUCUCUGGAAGCCGUCAGCUGAGAGUCGGCUUAUCUUGGAGUCGUCCCUGGGACUCGACAUAUCUUGGAGUCGUCCCUGGGACUCGGCUUGAGGGGCGCAGCCUGUCCCAAUGUCUUGAAAGGUUCUGGGGCUCGGGUUAGCCUACCCAAGGCCCAUUACUCCGACAUGGAUGUCCUUGAAUGAGUAAAAUAUGCACCAACAUGCUCACACAAUAAAAUGGCAAAUGAAAUAUGUGGCAAAGCCUGCACAACCAAUUCUAGCAUCUAUCAAACAAUUGGCGAUGACUAGGUCAUCUAUAUAUGAGUAUAUUGACUUAGGAGUCAAAUGAGAACAUUUGAUCAUAGGUCAUACUCAUCAUUUAAGCUCAAGUGGGGUUACCACUUUUACAAAAUGCAUUUAUGUGUUCACACCAUUAGAGUUGCUUUGACUCAAUUUUUUGAGUUAAGCUCCCCCUAGAUGUGAGAUCCUCCCUUUAGAGGGAUGAACUAACCUUGGGUUUUGUCGAUGAUGACUUCAUGUAGGUGUUGAAGAUGUGGAUGCUCAAUGUUGAAGUAGAUCAUUUGGAGCAAUCCUUUGGAGUGAGUUGCACUUUCAACUUGCCUACAUGGGUUAGUCCCACAAGGAACAAACAAGAAUAUCCAUAGACAUAGAGUGAUGCACACACAAGAUGAUGUCCAUGAAACCAUUAGGUUACCUUGUCCCUUGCCUUACCAACAUGAGGGUUUGUGACUCCUUGAACUAGUGCAAGAUGUGGAAGUUGAUUGCACUUGUCCUUGCCAUAAAGAUAUGAGUGAAGAAUGUUGGCGGAGUCACCCACAAGAACUCUCUAGUUCUUCUUCUUUGGGAUCCACAUCAUCUUGAUGGGAAUCCUUGGAGUUGUAGUUGUACUUGAUGAGGUAGAACUUGACGUAGUCUUGGGAAUCCACUUGACCGAGACCUUAGGUGCUUCUUCAAAUGCAUCAAUCUCUUCUUGAAGCUUAUCCUUGCCUUUGUUAUUGUGGUCUUGUGGAGGAAGAUCAUCUUGAGCUUGUGUUCCCUUGAAGGAAGUAGGAUCAUACUUCUCUUGUUGAUGAACAAACUUCGUCUUGGGGUAUUGAUCUUCUUCCCACUCAAUUCCAUUGGCAUUGAACUUUCGUUCAAAACCAACACCUUGAUUCUUCCGGUGUCUUCCUUGCUUCCGUACAAUUUCCUCGAAUUGCUUACUCCCGGCAAGGCUCUUGUAAACACCUUUCUCUAUAAUUCCCUUCAAUAAGCUAUUUUCUUGCUCAAGUGUAACUUGGCUAAGAGAAUCAUUAGUGGAAUCAAGAGAACUACUAGAAGCAACAAUAUUGGAUAUAACAUUAUUAUAGUUACUACUAGAGGAAGUAUCUUUCUUGUACUUGUUACCAGACUUGACUUGAGGCAUGUAAGUAGAUAAGAGUAAACGCCUGGCAAUGUAAGAAGAACUUUUCUUACGGAGAUCAUCAUUGAUUGCCUUUAAGAACUCAUGCUCUUGCUCAAGAUUGAGCUUUUCAAAGCGUAACUUCUCAUGAGCCCUUAAAAGUUCUCGAUGAUCUUCGAAGAUACUCUCAUGAGCCAACUUUAGAGUGUUUAGUUCUUUAGUUAAAAGCUCAAUUUUCUCCUUAUCAUUGUCAUUCGUUUGAUUAACAUGAUUAAUUGACGUUUCAUCAUAGUAUUCAUCACUAGAGUUGUCAACAAGUAAAUCAUCAUCCACAAGCAAGUCAUCUUCAUCACUAUUGAAUUCAACAUACUCAGGAUGUGUUACCUUUGGACCUUUGGCCAUGAAGCAUCUUCUAAUUCCUUCAUUUGGUGAAUCAAAUAUGUCGUAGGAGUUGGUUGACACAAGUGCUAGACCGGCAACACCUUCAUCUUGAGUAUGUUCGGAGUCGGAGUGAUAGCUUCUCUCGGAGUGAUUGUCGGAGUCGGAGCUGGAUACCCAUUCACCAACAUGAGCUUGAUGUCUUCGUUUUGUGUAGCUCCUUGAUGACUUGUCCUUCCUUUCCGAAUCCUUGCUUCUCCGUGAGGGUCUUCGUUCAUAACGAUCAUCUGUACUCCUCCUCUCUCUUGGUGGUGAUUCUUCUCUUUUGCUUCUUCUUUUUGGAUAAUCUUCUCUUCUUUUGUAGGGUGUCGUACACUCAUUGGAGUAGUGUCCAGGCCUCCCACAAUUGUAGCAAUUGCGCCCUCGACUAGAAGAUCUUUUGUCAUGAUAAGACCUUGACUUGGAGCUUCUUUCUUUGCUUCUACUCUUGUAGAAUUUGUUGAAGUUCUUCACCAUUAAGCUCAAUUCUUCAUUGAAGGUUUGUUUCUCACUUGAUGAUGUGGGGGCUUCACUUGAGGCUUUGUAAGCACCACUUGACUUGUUGUGAGGUUCCUCCUUAUCCUUGAGUGACAUCUCAUGAGCAACAAUUCUUCCGAUGACUUCCAUUGGCUUGAGAUCUUUGUAGUUUGGCAUCAUUUGGAUUAAUGUGCACAUGGUAUCAUACUUUCCAUCCAAUGCUCUUAGGAUCUUCUUGAUGAUGAAUCUGUCGGUCAUCUCUUCACUCCCUAAGCCGGCAAUCUCAUUUGUGAUAAGUGCAAGCCUAGAGUACAUUUCAGCGACACCUUCACCAUCCUUCAUUUUGAACUUGUCAAGCUGACUUUGGAGCACAUCCAACUUGGAUUCCUUGACGGAGUCGGUACCUUCGUGCAUAUCAAUCAAAGUAUCCCAAAUUUCCUUUGCAUUCUCAAGGCGGCUGAUUUUGUUGAAUUCUUCGGGGCACAAUCCGUUGAAGAUGAUAUCACAAGCUUGAGCAUUGUAUUGCAGCAUCUUCAAUUCUUCCGCAUUCGCUUCACGGUUCGGUUCUCUCCCAUCAAAGAAUUCACCUUGCAAGCCAAUACAAAUAAUUGCCCAAACGGCGGGGUUAUGUCCGAUAAUGUGCAUUUUCAUCUUAUGCUUCCAACUAGCAAAAUUAGUACCAUCAAAGUAAGGACCUCUACGGUGAUAAUUUCCAUCGCUAGACGCCAUACUCUCCUAGGGCGUGAAACGAAGGCUAUGACCACCAAAAGCUAUGGAAAUCAAAGCAAAUGGAAACCAAAGCUCUGAUACCACUUGUAGGACCUUGAAGUAUGUCUAGAGGGGGGGUGAUUAGACUACUUGACAAAUUAAAAACUUAACCUUUUCCCAAUUUUAGAGUUUGACAGAUUUAGCUACCUUAGGAUAAGUCAAGCAAUCAUCACACAGUUCAAGCAAGCAUGCAAAGAGUAUAUAGGCAGCAGAAAUAAAAGCAUGCAACUUGCAAGAAAGUAAGGGGAAGGGUUUGGAGGAUUCAAACGCAAUUGGAGAAAUGGAUGUUUUCGGCGUGGUUCCGAUAGGUGGUGCUAUUGUACAUCCACGUUGAUGGAGACUUCAACCCACGAAGGGUAACGGUUGUGCGAGUCCACGGAGGGCUCCACCCACGAAGGGUCCACGGAGAAGCAGCCUUGUCUAUCCCACCAUGGUCGUCGCCCAUGAAGGACUUGCCUCACUAGCGGUAGAUCUUCACGAAGUAGGCGAUCUCCUUGCCCUUACAACCUCCUUGGUUCAACUCCACAAUCUUGUCAGAGGCUCCCAAGUGACACCUAGCCAAUCUAGGAGACACCACUCUCCAAGAAGUAACAAAUGGUGCGUUGAUGAUGAACUCCUUGCUCUUGUGCUUCAAAUUAUAGUCUCCCCAACACUCAACUCUCUCUCUCAUAGGAUUUGGAUCUGGUGGAAAGAGGAUUUGAGUGGAAAGCAACUUGGGGAAGGCUAGAGAUCAAGAUUCAUAUGGUAGGAAUGGAAUAUCUUGGCCUCAACACAUGAGUAGGUGGUUCUCUCUCAGAAAUGGUAAGUUGGAAGUGUAGAUUUAGUCUGAUGGCUCUCUCCACGAAUGAAGAGGAGGUGGAGGGGUAUAUAUAGCCUCCACACAAAAUCUAACCAUUACACACAAUUGACCAAACUCGGUGGGACCGAUUCAACAGACUCGGUUGGACUGAUUUAGUAAACCUAGUGACCGUUAGUGAUUUUCGAUGGGACUGACAUGCAACUCGAUGAGACCGAUUCGGUUAGGGUUAGGGCAUAACGUAAUCUCGGUAAGACCGAUUACACAAACUCGGUGAAACCAAUUUUGGUAAUCAGCUUUCGAGAGAGUUGGUCAGGUAAACUCGGUGGGACCGAUUUGCUCUUUUCGGUGAGACCGAAAUGUUACAAAAGGGAAACAUAGAGUUUAAAUUGCAAUCUCGGUGGGACCGAUCACUCACUUCGGUUAGACCGAAACGUUACGAAGGGAAACAGAGAGAUUACAAUCCCAUCUCGGUGAGACCGAGAUCCCUAUCGGUAGGACCGAUUUGCUUAGGGUUUGUGGCAGUGGCUAUGACUUUUGGAAUCGGUGGCGCUGGAUUGGAAGAAUCGGUGUGACCGAUUUUGGCUUUGGGUUUAGGUCAUUUGUGGAUGUGGGAAAGUAGCUGAGGGUUUUGGAGCAUAUCACAAAGCACAUGAAGCAAGAGGCUCAUUAAGCAACACCUCAUCCCUCCUUGAUAGUAUUGGCUUUUCCUAUAGACUCAAUGUGAUCUUGGAUCACUAAAAUAUAAAAUGAAGAGUCUUGAGCUUUUGAGCUUGAGCCAAUCCUUUGUCCUUAGUAUUUUGAGGGAUCCACUUUCAUCAUCCAUGCCAUGCCAUUCAUUGAGCUUUCCUGAAAUAAUAGUCUUGGAAUAGCAUUAGCUCAAUGAGCUAUAUGUUGUUGUGAAUUACCAAAACCACCUAGGGAUAGUUGCACUUUAAACUGUCAAACAUGUGUAUUGCUUUCCACUCUCUUGUUGAGAAAUACACAAAUUAUGGAGGAACACAAUUUAUAUUGGCCUUCUAAGCUUUUCUCCCAUUUUGGCAAUCAAUGCCAAUGGGGGAGAAGUUUCAGAGAGUUUUGUGGAGAAGUUUAGAGAAUUCUCUCCUCUUGCUUUGGUUUUGUUCCUAAGCAUUUGCAUCUCUUACUCAUGCAUCAUUGGUUGUUGCAUUGCAUGGUGAUGCAUAGUUCCUUAUAUAAACUCUCUUGAAAGUGAUUGUCAUCAAUUACCAAAAUGGGGGAGAUUGAAAGAACAUGCAGUGCCCCCAUGUUUGGUUUUGGUAAUUGAUGACAAUCUCUAUAGACUAAUGGUUGCCUUGAGUUAUAUUUGAAGGUCUUGUCCAUAGGAUUUUCUUGGAGUACAUGUGUUGGUGUCAAGGAGAGCUUGUGUCGACCAAUGUGCUAUUAAGGAAUUAUCCAAAGAUUGGUCAUGUGAGAGUUGAGAUUAUUGCAAGCAUGUCUUGAAGAAGAAGAUUGUGUGAUCAUUCAUGCUUACCUUCAAGGCAUCAUCCAAAUGAAGAGAGUUGGAAAGGUUCAAGGUUGAUCAAGACUAAGUCAAGAGUGAAUCAAGUUGAUCAACUCACAAAGCGUAGAAGAUGUACCGAGAGGGAUCAAGUGAUCCCAUGGUAUGGUAAGCAUUGUCAAUUACGCUUUGUGUACUAACCCAUGGUCUCUGUGAGAGUUCUUUGUGGGGUUAGGUUGCGGUGUGUAUGUUCAAGUGAUGCAUCACGAAGAGAUCAAGUGCUUGAAGCUUGUCGUCCAUUAUGGUGACAAUGGACUUGUGAAGAUGUGCCGAAGAGUGGCUCACCCAUAGUGGAGUAUGGGGAGCAAUAUACUAGUCUUCACCGAGCCAACGCAAUCAACAAAGGUGGUCCAACUUGAGGAAGUCAAGAUCGUCUACAUCGAGCUCAAGUGGACUUUGUGCAAGGCAAAGGUUUGCCCUUGAUAGGUGUUCUAUUUUACCGGCCUCACGGUAGUUGUGGGAUACCGGGUUAUAGGAUCGAUUGCCGUACUAUCAAGGGGGGCUCUCGAUGAGUUGCUUGAUCGUAUCAUUCGUAGAUAGCUCUAACCAUUGCAUCCUUGCAUCAUCUUUAUUGGUUCUUGUUUGGUUCUUCUCCUUGUGAGAUUUGGAGCUUAUGGUCAUUUUUAUGACAAGCUCGAGUUCAUCGAAAACGGAGUUCACAUGCAUCUUCUAUGAUGUUUUCGACGUUGGAGGGUAUGCCGGUUCUUCGCUGUUUUGAUGCUACUCGUCUUCCUCUAUCCAACAAGCUUGAGUUUGCUCAAUUCGGAGCUCAUUUACAGAAGUUAUGGCAGUUCUGGUUUUAUUGUUUCCCUCUGUUGUCUUCUGUGCAAAAUGAAGGACUCCUAGUGUUGCUGAUCUGGGGCAUGCGGUAGUACUGCUCUCCGGAGCGGUAGUACCGCAGGCCCUUGCGGUAGUACUUCAGAUGCUCAUGAUAGUACCACUCUAUGGGAGCGGUAGUACCAUGGCCUCAGGCCAAGCGCAGCUGCUCGAGCGGUAGUAGGGGCGGAUGUAAUUUUUUACAUCCGCGCCCUACGCGGUAGUACAGCGCCGCGGGCGCGAUAGUACCGUGGGCUCUGGCUAGGCUUAGCACCAUGAGCGGAAGUAGGGGCGGAUGUAAUUUUUGACAUCCGCGCCCUACGCGGUAGUACCGCUCUUCGUGUGCGGUAGUACCGUGCCAGAUUUUUGUGCAGGUCCUCCCUCAGCGGAAGUAGGUAUGGAAGUAAUUUUUUACUUUUGUGCUUUCUCUGUGCCUAGUGUUGCCGGCCUUACGGUAGUACCGUAGGGGCGCGCGGUAGUACCGCUCCGGUGGUUCUACCGCUUGUUGGCUUGUGCAACAGGCCUUCAUCUAGCCAGUGCUGCACAUGUGGUAGUACCUCAACCUAUAGCGGUAGUACCGCAGCUCCGUGCGGUAGUACCGCGUCAUGCGGGCUGAGUGAGGGGAUAACGGUUGGAUUUCUCCCCACCUAUAAUUGGGGGUCUUCUUCCCCAUUGAGACUUAUCCUUUGAGCUCGUGUUCUUCCCCCAUUGUUGACCUUCUUCGAGCUUGCUAACUCUUAAUCCCUCCAUGGAUUCUUGCUAGUUUUUGAGGAAAAAGAGAGAGGAGAUCUAGAUCCACAUUUCCACCAAUCACUUUCUCCUCUAUGUGAGGGGAACCCCUUGGAUCUAGAUCUUGCAGUUCUUGGUGUUCUCCUUCUUUUUCUUCCUCUCAUCUUCCUCCCUAGCAUUAGUUGCUUCGGUGGGAUUUGAGAGAGAAGGACUUGGGCACUCCGUGUGCCCUUGCCAUUGCAUUUGGUGCAUCGGUUUGAGUUCUCCACGUGAUACGUGGAAGUUACAAGUUGAGAAGCUUAUUACUCUUGGGUGCUUGGUGCCCUUGAGCUUGUUCCUCUUGGGUGCUUGGGCGCCCUAGACGGUUGGUGGUGUUCGGAACUCAAUCAUUGUGGUGUAAAGCUCCGGGCAAGCGUCGGGGUCUCCAAUUAGGUUGUGGAGAUCGCCCCGAGCAAUUUGACGGGUACCGGUGACCGCCCCCAAGGGUUGCCAAAGUGUACGGGUUCGGUGACCGCCCCCAAGGGUCGCCAUUUGUACGGGUUCGGUGACCGCCCUCAAGGGUCCCUUAGUGUAAUCACGGCAUCUUGCAUUGUGCAAGGGCGUGAGGAGAUUACGGUGGCCCUAGUGGCUUCUUGGGGAGCAUUGUGCCUCCACACCGCUCCAAACGGAGAUUAGCAUCCGCAAGGGUGUGAACUUCGGGAUACAUCGUCGUCUCUGCGUGCCUCGGUUAUCUCUUACCCGAGCCCUUUACUUAUGCACUUUACUUUGUGAUAGCCAUAUUGUUCUUUGUCAUAUAUCUUGCUAUCACAUAGUUACUUAUCUUGUUUAGCAUAAGUUGUUGGUGCACAUAGGUGAGCCUAGUUAUUGUAUGUUUUGUGCUUGACAAAUUAACCAUUAGGUUUAUUCCGCAUUUGUUCAAGCCUCUACCGUAAUUAUUUUAAAACGCCUAUUCACCCCCCCUCUAGGCGACAUCCACGAUCUUUCAAUAAGAAGCUAAGGUUUCUUUAUCAUUAAAUUUGCAUGAAAAGGGAAGGUGUGGAGCCUUCAUCCUAGAGCAACAAUUAUAAUCAUAUCUCAAGCAUAGAUCCCGAGCAUACCAACGCAACAUAUUAAUUUGAUCCCAUAAUAGUUUCCCUUUUUGUGUCAAGCGAUAAUCCUAAAGUAUUCACGUUGAUCCAACAUUACUCCCAUUAUAAAGUUGAAUAGGGUUUUCUCAUGAUUAUCAAAGUAGUACAUAAUAUUUUUCACAUAAUGAUCAUCGAGGGUUUUAGGAGGUUCCCCAUCUCCAUGAGUAGCAAGUACACCUAAUUUUUUUGGUAUUUCGUGUUCCAUAUCCAUAACUAAAGAUAGAAAACAACUAAGAACAGCAAAUAAAAAAUACUUAGUGAUAAAGCAAACAAGCACACACGAGAAUAUUCACCCCACGCUAUGACUCCCCGGCAAUGGCGCCAGAAAAGGGUCUUGAUAACCCACAAGUAUACGAGAUAGUUGUAGCCUCUUUCGAUAAGUAAGAGUGUCGAACCCAACGAGGAGCUAAAGGUAGAAUAAAUACUCUCUCAAGUCCUAUCGGCCACUGAUACGACUCUACGCACGCUUAACGUUCGCUUUACCUAGAACAAGUAUGAAACUAGAAGUACUUUGUAGGUGUUGUUGGAUAGACUUGCAAGAUAAUAAAGAACACAUAAAUAAAAGCUAGGGGUUGUUUAGAUAAAGAAGCAAUAAAGUAAAUAUAGCGAGUGUGGAAAAGUGGUGGUAGGAGUUGUGGAAUUGUCCCUAAGCAAUUGACUACGUUACUAGACCGGUAAUCACUAUUGCAAUUCUAUUUGAGGGAGAGGCAUAAGCUAACAUACUUUCUCUACAUGGAUCAUAUGCACUUAUGAUUGGAACUCUAGCAAGCAUCCGCAACUACUAAAGAUUCAUUAAGGUAAAACCCAACCAUAGCAUUAAAGUAUCGAGUCCCCUUUAUCCCAUACGCAAUAAUCCCCUUACUCGGGUUUGUGUUUCAGUCACUCACGCAACCCACUAUAAGCGAAUCAUAAACGCAUUGCAACACCCUACAGCGGGAGUCCCUCACGCUUGCGCGACACGGGGGGCACCAUAGGACAGCACCAAUAAUAAAACAUGCAACUCAAACCAAUCAUAGCAAUUCAUCAAUCACCGAUAGGACAACGGAAAUCUACUCAGACAUCAUAGGAUGGCAACACAUCAUUGGAUAAUAAUAUGAAGCAUAAAGGACCAUGUUCAAGUAGAGGGUAUAGAGGGUUGCAGGAGAGUGGACCGUUGUAGAUAGAGGGGGGAAGGUGAUGGAGAUGUUGGUGAAGAUGACAUAGGUGUUGGUGAAGAUCGCGGUGAUGAUGAUGGCCCCCGGCGGCAUUCCGCGUCACCGGAAGCAAGGGGGAGAGAGCCCCCCUUCUUCUUCUUCUUCCUUGACCUUCUCCCUAGAUGGGAGAAGGGUUUCCCCUCUGGUCCUUGGCUCCCAUGGCGUGAGAGGGGUGAGAGCCCCUCCGACAUUGGAUCUAUCUCUCUGUUUCUGCGUUUCCAGAUUCUGCCCCUUCACCAUUUCUUUUAGAUCUGGAGAUCCGUAACUCCGAUUGGUGUGAAUCUUUCGCCCAUAUUUUUAUCAUAAAAUUAGCUUUCUUGCGGCAAAAGAAGAGCGUCAACCGCCUUACGGGUGGCCCAGGAGAGUGCCAGGCGCGCCCAGGGGGGAGGGCGCGCCCCCUAUCUCCUGGCCACCUCGGGCACUGUUUCGCGUUGAUUCUUCCUCUUGAAAAUCCCAAAUAUUCCAAAAUAAUUCUCCAUCCGUUUUUAUCCCGUUUGGAUUCCAUUCGAUAUUGGGUUUCUGCGAAACAUAAAACAUGCAACAAACAGCAACUAGCACUGGACACUGGAUCAAUAUGUUAGUCCCAAAAAUAGUAUAAAAAGUUGCCAAAAGUAUAUGAAAGUUGAAGAAUAUUGGCAUGGAACAAUAAAAAAUUAUAGAUACGACGGAGACGUAUCAUAGAUCGGCAAGAGACAUCAUAGAAUGCACCAUAUCUAACGAGGUACAAUUACGAUGUUCAGACACACCAUUGUGUUGUGGUGUUCGAGGUGGUGUCAACUGUGAAAUAAUUCCACAUUGUCUUAAGCGAUUGCCAAACUCAUAACUCAAAUAUUCUCUCCUUCGAUCAGAUCAUACGAAUUUAAUCUUCUUGUUACGAUGAUUAUCAACUUCACUCUGAAACUGCUUGAACUUUUCAAAUGUUUCAGACUUAUGCUUCAUCAAAUAAACAUGCCCAUAUCUACCCAAAUCAUUGGUGAAGCUGAGGAAAUAACGAUAUCCACUGUACAUGUCAACACUCAUCGGACCGCACACAUCAGCAUGUAAGAUUUCCAACAAGUCACUUGCCCAUUCCAUUGUUUCAGAAAAUGGGGUUUUAGUCAUCUUGCUAAUGAGGCAUGGUUCACAUGUGUCAACUGAUUCAAAAUCAAGUGACUCCAAAAGUCCAUCAGCAUGGAGUUUCUUCAUGCGCUUUACACCAAUAUGACUUAAGCAGCAGUGCCACAAGUAUGUGGUACUAUCAUUAUUAACUUCACAUCUUUUGGCAUCAAUAUUUUGAACAUGUGUAUCACUACGAUCGACAUUCAAUAAACCAUUCACAUUGGGUGCAUGACCAUAGAAGGUAUUAUUCAUGUAAACAGAAUAACCAUUAUUCUCUGACUUAAAUGAAUAACCGCAUUAUGAUAAACACGAUAUCAUCAUGUUCAUGCUCAACGCGGACACCAAAUAACAUUUAUCUAGGUUUAACACUAAUCCCAAAUGUAGAGGGAGCAUGCGAUGGUGAUCACAUCAACCUUGGAAACACUUCCAACACACAUUGUCACCUCGCCCGUAGCUAGUCUCUGUUCAUUCCGCAGCUUUUGUUUCGAGUUACCAAUAUUAGCAACUGAACUGGUAUAUAAUACUCAGGUGCUACUAGGAGUACUAGUAAGGUACACAUCAAUAAAAUGUAUAUCAAAUAUACUUUUGUUGAAGUUGCCAUCCUUCUUAUCUACCAAAUAUUUGGGGUAGUUCCGCUACCAGUGAUCGUUCUCCUUACAAUAGAAUCACUUGUCUCGGGUUUGGGUUCAACCUUGGGCUUCUUCACUAGAGCGGCAACUGGCUUGCCAUUCAUGAAUUUUCCAUUCUUGCCCUUGCCCUUCUUGAAACUAGUGGUCUUAUUAACCAUCAACACUUGAUGCUCCUUAUUGAUUUCUACCUUCGCGGCCUUAAGCACCGUGAACAACUCCGGGGUCAUCUCCAUCCCUUGCAUGUUAUAGUUCAUCACGGAGCUCUAGUAGCUUGGUGAUAGUGACUAGAUAACUAUGUCAAUCACUAUCUUAUCUGGAACAUUAACUCCCACUUGAUUCAAGCGAUUAUAGCACCCAGACAUUCUGAGCACAUGCUCACUGGCUGAGCUAUUCUCCUCCAUCUUGUAGGCAAAGAACUUGUUAGAGGUCUUAUACCUCUCAACACAGGCAUGAUCCCGAAAUACCAAUUUCAACUCUUGGAACAUCUCAUAUGUUCCAUGGUGUUCAAAACACCUUUGGAGCCCUGAUUUUAAGCCGUAAAGCAUGGCGCACUAAACUAUCAAGUAGUCAUCGGAAAGUGUGUGCCAGAUGUUCACAAUAUCCUUAGACGAUGGUAGAGGGGUUGGCACACCGAGCGGUGCAUCAAGGACAUAAGCCUUCUGUGCAGCAGUGAGGACAAUCCUCAUACUACGGUCCUAGUCCGCAUAAUUGCUUACAAUAUCUUUCAACUUAGUCUUUAUCCAUUGAAACAGGGAGCUACAGCACGAGCUAUUGAUCUACAACAUAAUUUGCAAAGACAACGUAGACUAUUGUUCAUGAUAAAUGAGUUCAAUUGACCAUAUUACCUAAGAACUCCCACUCAAAUCAACAUCCCUCCGGUUGUUCGAGUGUAACACGAUCCAAAUUCACCAACCCAAGUCAGAUCAUCACUUGAGAUGAGGUGGUUUCAAUGGUGAACAUCUCUAUGUUGAUCAUAUCUACUAUAUGACUCAUGUUCGACCUUUCGGUCUCUUGUGUUCCAAGGCCAUGUCUGUACAUGCUAGGCUCAUCAAGUUUAACCCAAGUGUUUCGCAUUUGCAACACUGGCUUGCACCCAUUGUAUGUGAAUGUAGAGUUUAUCACACCUGAUCAUCACGUGGUGCUUCCCAACGACGAACUUUCGCAACGGUGCACACUUGGGGAGAACACAAUUUUAUCUUGAAUUUUAGUGAGGGGUCACCUUAUAAUGCUACCGUCACCCUAAGAAAAAGAAGAUGCAUAAAUGGAUUAACAUCACAUGCAAAUCAUAAGUGACAUGAUAUGGCCAUCAACUUGUGCUUUUGAUCUCCAUUUCCAAAGCACCGGCAUGAUCUCCAUCGUCACCGGCAUGACACCAUGAUCUCCAUCAUCAUGAUCUCUAUCAUCGUAUCGCCAUCGGGGUUGUCACGCCAACCAUGCUUCUACUACUAUUGCUACCGCUUAGCGAUAAAGUAAAGCAUUACAUUGUGUUUAAUGAUUGACACGCAGGUCAUACAAUAAUUAAAGACAACCCUAUGGCUCCUGCCGGUUGUCGUAUUCAUCGACAUGCAAGUUGUGAUAAACUAUUACAAACAUGAUCAUCUCAUACAUCAAAUAUAUCUCAUCAUGUCUUUGGCCAUAUCAUAUCACAACAUACCCUACAAAAACAAGGUAGACAUCCUCUAAUUGUUGUUACAUGUUUUAUGUGGCUGCUAUGGGUAUCUAGCAAGAACGAUUCUUACCUAUGCAAACCCACAAGGUGAUAUGCAAGUUGCUAUUUAACAUUCUACAAGGACCUCGGUUGUCAAAUUUGAUUCAACUAAGGUGAGAGAGACAGACACCCGCCAGCCAUAUUUAUGCAACAAAGUCACUUGUCUGUCGAUGGAACCGGUCUCAUGUACGUGGACAUGUAAGGUUGGUUCGGGACGCUUCAUCCCACAAUACCGCCGAAUCAAGAAAAGACCAAGGAAGGAAGAAAAUCUGAAUAUCAACACCCAUAAACUCCUUUGUGUUCUACUCGUGAUGUCAUCUACGCAUAGGCUUAGCUCUGAUACCACUGUUGAGGAACAUUGCAUGGGAAACAAAAAAAAAUCCUACGCUCACCAAAAUCAAUCUAGGAGAUGGACAUCUAUGAGAGGAUAUAUUGCAUCUACAUACCCUUGUAGAUCGCUAAGCGGAAGCAUUAAAAAUGCGGUUGAUGUAGUUGAACGUCUUCGCGAUCCAAUCAUGAUCCGUCCCGCGAAAUCCCGAUCUAGUGCCGAACGGACGGCACCUCCGUGUUCAACACAAGUAUGGCUUGAUGAUGCCUUCACCUCCUCAAUCCAGCGAGCGAUGGUGAAGUAGUAGCUCGAGUCCUCCGGCAACAAGACGGCGUGAUUGUGGUGGUAGUGGAGAAAUCUCAGCUGAGCUUCGCCAAGAACUACUGAGAAGAAGAUGGACUACGAGGGAGGGGAGGAGCAGCGCGUGGCACCAAUAGAUCUGUAUGGGUGCGUCUUCCCUCUCUCCACCUCUCUAUAUAUAGGGGGCAGAGGAGGAGGGGCACCCCUAGAUCCAAUCUAGGGCGGCGGCCAACAAGGGGAAACCCUAGAUGGGUUUUGCCCCCCCCCAUCCCUUAGGUGACUUGCCCCCCAAGGCAAAGGGGUGGGACGCCCUAGGGAGGCGCCCCACCUCCUCUGACAACGUGGGAAGGGGGCUUGGGAGUCGCACAUACCCUUAGUGUGCUGGUGUGCUCCCUCCCCUUGGCCCAUGAAGCCCCUCAACAGUUGUCGGGGCCCCCCGAAACACCUUUUGGUCAUGCUGGUCAUCAUCCGCUACCCUCGGAACACUUUCGGACUCCACUACCCUUCGUCCAAUAUAUAAAUCUUCACCUCCAGACCAUUCCGGAGUUCCUUGUCAUCUCCAGGAUCUCAUCCAGGACUCCAAACUACCUUCGGUAACCACCUUAAUGACUCAAUUAUACUUAUAUCGUCACCAAACAUUAAGUGUGUAGACCCUGCGGGUUCGAAAACUAUGCAGACAUGACCGAGACACGUCUACGGUCAAUAACUAAUAGCGGGACCUAGAUGCCCAUAUUAGCUCCUACAUAUUCUACAAAGAUCUCUAUCGGUCGAACCUCGAUGUCAAGGAUUCAGCUAAUCCCGUAUGUGGUUCCCUUUGUUUAUCAGUAUGUUACUUGCCAGAGAUUCGAUCGUCGGUACCUCCAUACCAAGUUCAAUCUCGUUACAGGCAAGUCUCUUUACUCAUUCCAUAAUACAAGAUCUCAUGACUAACUCCUUAGUCACAUUGCUUGCAAGCUUCCAAUGAUGUUGUAUUACAGAGAGGGCCCAGAGAUACCUCUCCGUCAUAUGGAGUGAUAAAUCCCAAUCUUGAUCCAUGCCAACUCAACAGACAGCCUCGAAGAUACGUAUAGAGCACCUUUAUAGUCACCCAGUUACGUUGCAACAUUUGGUACACACAAGGUACUCCUCUAGUGUCAGUGAGUUGCAUGAUCUCAUGGUCAUAGGAACAUAUACGUGACAUGCAGAAAACGAUAGCCAUAAACUUGACACGAUCAUAUGCUAUGUUUAUAGUUUGACAUAUAAUGAUGUGAUCCCGUUAUAAAAUGACAACUCAUGUCUAUGGAUAGGAAACCAUAGCCAUCUUUGAUCAACGAGCUAGUCUAGUAGAGCCUCACUAGGGACACGUUGUUGUCUAUGUAUCCACACAUGUAUCUGAGUUUUCGAUCAAUACAAUUCUAGCAUGGAUAAUAAACUUUUAUCAUGAACAGGGAAAUAUGAUAAUAACUAAUUUAUUAUUGCCUCUAGGGCAUAUUUCCAACACAUAAAGCUCCGGGACAUCAUGGAUCUGAAUCUAGAUAUCUAUUGUAUCCAGUUUGACCUUGGAAGGCUGGGUCACACCAUCAUAUGGGAUGAUGAUUACAUCAUGUCCUCUGAAGUUCCAUGGCCCCUCUUGCAUGACUCGUUCCCAAUCACCCAAGCAAUUUAAUUGCAAAGUGUAUAGAUUUUAUUCUGGUGGUCUGAAAUUCACCGGCUGUGCGAGAUCCCAAGCAGAUCGCAUAUUCCUGAAAAAACAACCUUGGAUGUAGCUCUUGUCGAUGUGUACCCGCGCCACUGACCUCCAUCUGGCAGCAUCCUUUGGCACUGCGGUCUCAUCAACUACCACGUCGUCCAUAUCAUCCUCUUGGAGAUCGAGCUCCGUCAUCAAUCUCUCUAUCUCCAUUGUGGACAAAGAGCAGCCAGACUCCACUGACUUGCCCCCAACUUCCGCAACCAUCUUCUCUUACCCGAUCUCGAAAGCACCGGGUAUGACAGGAAGGAACCCUAGCCCGAGCCUUCGUGACACAGAAAAGAUCCCCUAGAUCAGAUCGACGAGAGGGAAGAAGUUACGAUCUCAACGGCGGCCACGGGUGCCGCCGAGAGAAGCAAACCCUAACAUGGGGGAAGAAUUCUUUAGGCAGUCCAACUGCUCUAUAACUGGGCUAGCAAAAUAAAAAUAUUUCUAAGGGAAAAUAACUAACAUGUGAAAAAGGGCCGCCGUGACAGCAGCCCAUUUAAGACUUAUGUGCAUGCAUCAAAUGGUACUUGAUCUGUUCGCUAGCCCGGCAGGCUGUAGUCUCACAGGUCUUCUGUUAGAACCUGGGUGGCGCAAUAUUUUGCAUAUUAUCUUCCUCCUUGUAAUGUGUCCUGAUGGUUGGGGCCCAAUGGACACCUUCCAUUGUUUUGAGGAAAAAAACUUCAAGCGGCUUUUUCGUGAUAAAAAUAAAAUUUUAGGAGGGUUUUCGCAAAAAAAAAGUAAGGUAACAUGCCCUCGUCCCUGCCUCCUAUUCACUAAUGGGUGGGCCCUGCUCCAUGCUGGCACACCACAUCAGCACCCUGCACGUAUAGAAGCGUAGUUAGCACCAUAGAUGCACAUCCAAACCAAGUUCUGUCACCGGUUUAAUGUAUGCCGCAAGUUUUAGUAUAUAUAGGCAAAAUUGUGUCUAUCAUAACUUGCUGCAGACAUAGCUAUCGGAGCCACACCCGAGUGCUCUGUGAUUCGUGCAGGGAGGGAAGGAGGAUAAAUGUUGAGGGAUUUGAUGGAGAUUUUGUGGCUCGCGUGCCAGGGAAAGUACUGAGCUAUUGGGGUCCAUAUGCUGGUGGUCCGUCUGGCGCUAGCAGAUGGCAGUGGGUCUAACCACGUCAGAUGCCAUAUUUGACUGAAAGAUGUUUCCCACGUGACAGCCUAAAUUUCUCACUGAUUAAUUUGUUCCUCUACUAUUUCUGUGCUGCGCGGGUGCCCAUGAGGCCACCAUCUGGACGUCAUCGUCAAGUAGCACCAGCCAUUUUUUCUCUCCUGGUUGGUGCGUGUCAGCGUGUUUGGAUGAAUGAACAAGGCAAAGCGAAAUAGUAGUGAGUACAGUAGUACUAAUACAAGACUUGAGGGAAGCUCCACUAGUAGUUCAAGUCUAUACAGGGACCCAAAAAUAGUAUGUACACAUCUACACUUGAAACUCAUACAUCGUUAAGUUUAAACUUUAAAGGAAAAAAUAAACAUUGGACCCGUCGUUCGACCUCCUCGGAACUGGAAGGACCUCCUCGUGGAAAUAUUGGAACCGUCUUCAUGUAGGAACCGUCGUUCGACCUCCUCGGAACUAGAAGGACCUCCACGGAACCGUCAAAAUUAUACUUGGAACUGGAACAGAAUUUGCCACCUAUGCGGAACCGUCAAAACUAUACUCAGAACUGGAAUAGAAUUUGCAAAGGGAUGAACUCCCAUCUCCGUGGAACCGUCAAAAUUAUACAUGGAACUGGAAUACAAAUUGUGAAUGGCCGGCGUCCCACCUCCGCGGAACCAUCAAAAUUAUACUUGAAAGGACCGACGUUUCACCUCUGCGGAACCGUCAAAACUAUACUUGCAAGUAGAAUAGAAUUUGCGAAGGGCCGACGUCCCACCUCCGUGGAACCGUCAAAACUAUAGUUGAAACUGGAAUACAAUUUGUGAAGAGUCAACGUCUCACCUCAAAUGAACCAUCAAAAUUAUACUUGGAUCUGGAAUAAAAUUUGCGAUGGCCGACAUCUCACGGUCUCACCUUUGCCGAUUUUGUUGAUAAAUAUCACUAGUUAAAUCCUUAUCUAAGGCCGUUUUUUUAAUUUGUUUUUUGGGAAAAUUAAACGAAAUAGUGCUAUGGCAGUUUCCCUUAAAAAAACACUAUGGCAAGGAUGAAGUAGUGCAGAGUUUAGUGCUCCAUCGUGACAGACCAUACGAAUUAAUUAUAUGUUCCGCGCAUGCAAAGCUAUUUAGGUAAGCUAUAUCACGUGAUUGAAAAAAGGCAGGCUCACACAACGUGCACCUGCUGUCAGGCCCUACUCGACCCAACAGGCAGGAACCGGUAUGCAAGUUCAACGGACAGUGUGGAACCUCCAUUGCACACGCCCAUGACCGACGAGUUGGUCCAAGAGCGAGUCACCACCACAUGGGACAGGCCCUGUCAGUAUUCCUCUGUAAAGGUGUCAGCACGUGGGGCGGGCUACACCAUUCAAAAAUCUACAAAAGGAAAAGAAAAGGAACCGGACCACACUUCGGUUCGAAUCUUGAGGCAGAGUCCGACGGUUCUGAUAGCUAUUUCUACAGUAAGCUAUGAUAGAAAAUCCCUCUCCUACAGUAUAUGUGUNNNNNNNNNNNNNNNNNNNNNNNNNNNNNNNNNNNNNNNNNNNNNNNNNNNNNNNNNNNNNNNNNNNNNNNNNNNNNNNNNNNNNNNNNNNNNNNNNNNNNNNNNNNNNNNNNNNNNNNNNNNNNNNNNNNNNNNNNNNNNNNNNNNNNNNNNNNNNNNNNNNNNNNNNNNNNNNNNNNNNNNNNNNNNNNNNNNNNNNNNNNNNNNNNNNNNNNNNNNNNNNNNNNNNNNNNNNNNNNNNNNNNNNNNNNNNNNNNNNNNNNNNNNNNNNNNNNNNNNNNNNNNNNNNNNNNNNNNNNNNNNNNNNNNNNNNNNNNNNNNNNNNNNNNNNNNNNNNNNNNNNNNNNNNNNNNNNNNNNNNNNNNNNNNNNNNNNNNNNNNNNNNNNNNNNNNNNNNNNNNNNNNNNNNNNNNNNNNNNNNNNNNNNNNNNNNNNNNNNNNNNNNNNNNNNNNAUAUGGUAAUUAUUAUUAUUAUUAUUAUUAUAAGCAUUAACUCUCCACCUAUUAUGCCAAGGAUAUCACCUAUUUUUGCAAGGAAGAAUGUAAAGGGGAGCAUUGUUUCCGCUAUGGCCGUUGCCAUAUGUAAUUGAUGUUGUUGCGGGAGGGUAUGUGUGGUUCGGGGAAUAUAUGUGGAUUUACGAGCCGAAUAACCAAGAUGAGGAAAACUUGUUAAAAUGGAUAGAGAGGGAUUGAUAGAAUCGUUGUUGUAUUGCUUGAGCCUCGUGGGCAUAUAUAUAGGAGUACAUAAUCAUUUUCGAGUACAAGACAAGGUAGAAUAAUAUCCUAUGCUAUCAUAUCUUUCCUAACAAUCAAUAUACUCAACAUCCCCCGCAGUCACAAUGGUAGCAACGCAGACGGUGAGACUGGAGAAGAAUCCAAAGUGAAGCCGACGGAAACCACCCCACCCCCACAGUCGUAACGGUCGAUGCUUCGUGAAAGUCGUGGCUGGAGGGAAAACCGACAAGGUUGCUCAAGCAAGGUGGUAGCCCUUUGUGCCAUUUGUCGAUAUAGCCGAGGGCGUAUGGUGGUGUAGUCGUGGUCGAGCUAGCCGUGCGAAGAAUGCCGUGGUCGAUGUUGAGUCGUGGUGGCCGGUGUCGAGGAAGUCGCCAUGGAUCGGGAAGAAGAGCGGCGGCAGCGGCCUGAGGAGGAGGCGGCGGCUAGGUCAGAAGCGCGGCAGCGGUCCUCGAAGUAGGCGAGGAAGAACCCAACAGCGUGAUGAAGACCGGCACGGACGGCGGCGUUCCCACGCCUAAGGAGGUGGCGCGAAGCAUACCAUGUAGAAGUCGGCGCGCGGGGACGGCGGAGUGGACAGCGCGCCGUGACGCUACGGCCUGAAGAGGCGACGAGGCGGCAGGGCGCGAGUUGGGGCCGCGGGAAAGACCUCAGGACGGUUGCAGGGACCGCGUGCCAAGCUCACUACGGCUCGACGGAGUGACGCAAUGGCAGCGGGAGGGUGGGUGCAUCCUCGAGGACGGCCUGGAGCGGACGGCCUCGAGGCGGCGGUUAGCUGCGGACCACGGCACUACGGUCCGAAGGGGCGACGCAACGGCAUCACGCGGGUUGGUGCAACCACGUAAACGGCCUCACGGCGGCGGCGGGGACCAUGUGCCGUGGCGCUACGGCCCGAAGGGACGACGCAGCGAUGGCGUGGAUCGGUGCAACCACGGAAAGAACCACAAGGCGGCGACGCUGCGGUCCUAAGGGACGACGUAACUGCAACCUAUUGCUCGAUCGGUGAAGAGGGGUGUAAACAUGACGUUGUCUUCACUAAAUCAUGCGGAGACGUACAUCGGAUUAUCCAGACGACGGGACGUAAAAUAGUCCGCAUGGGAUGCAACAUGUACGGGCAGCCAGGAUGCACACAUCAUGCAUAAAACGGCCAUGCGGCAUGCAUUAAUGGGCAGCCAGUAGCACGCCUGUGCGGGGCGCGUGAGUAUGCACGCGACGCGGCCAGCCCGACAGGCCAGCGCGAGCGACCACCGUACCAGCGUACACGACGCGCGUGCGUAUGGCCCGAGGCCCCGUGUGGCAACCGAUUCUGUCGGGGAGCCGAUGAAGAUGCUGAUGAAAUAGACACGUGUUGUUGAUGACGAACGACGGCGGACGACGCAAACCAAUCUAUAAAUCGGAGAACCAAAAAGAAACAUCAAUCAAGUCGACCGACAUAAGAGAGAAACCCGGAUCAAGGGGUGGCGCGGUGCGGAAGCAGCGGCAGCUAGGGUUUAUGAUCGAGGUAAGGAUGAUACCAUGUUAGAAAGGAAUAGAAAAAUUGAUGAAAUCGUUGUUGUAUUGCUUGAGACUCGUGGACAUAUAUAUAUAGAAGUACAUGACCAUUUUGAAGUACAAGACAAGCUAAAAUAAUAUCCUGUGUUAUCCUAUUUUUGCGAACAAUCAAUAUACUCAACAAAACCAAACCGAUCCAAAAUUUCUGUUAGUUCUGGUAUAUGGUGGUAUAGGAUUUAGAAAUGAUAUUUAACUUUGGUUAUAAACCAAGAAAAUCAGUAAAAUGAAAAGAACACAGAUUGCACACAUCCCAUUUCACAUAUUAGGCCCAGCCCACCAUGCGCCAUGUCGUGUUUUGCAUAGUUUUAAAAUUUUGGCAGUUUAGAUUUUCAGCGGCCCGUUCACUUGUCGACUGCUGGUUCGCUCGAUUCAUAGUAGAUUUGAUAGAAAAAAUACUAGUAAUUGUGUAAACUAAGAAAAAUCAUAUGGGAGGAAACUCUUUCGUUUGUAUGAUAAUUAGGGGGUGUUUGUUUUCAGGAACUUUUUGGUGUAGGGACUAGAAAAAGUUCCUCUUAAAGACUUUUUAACCAAACAGGAGGGACUACUAGGGACUAAAAGUUGCUUUUUGGGACUAAAUGAAGAAAACUCUUAAGGAGAGUCUUUUUUUGGGACUUUUUGAGACUUUUCCAACAAUGCCCCUCCCUGCACCCAUUGCCCCGCCGCCCCUAUGGUGUUGUUUGGUGUUAUUUUUCUGUAUACUAGGGGUAACAUGGUCAUUUAAUAACCUCUAGGGAGGGACUAGGGACUUUUUAGUCUCUGGAAACAAACAGGGAGUGACUUUUUAGGGACUAGUGACUUUUUAGUUGGGAUUAGAAAAAGUCCUAAGACUUAUGAACCAAGCAGGGCCUUAGGUAGCCGUGGGUGGUCAUUGAGGUUGAUGUCUACGGUUCGGCCUGUUUGCAAACAUAAUGGCUACGACGAUAUUUCAUCAUGAGAAUUUAGGAAGAAAAUAAGAUUGUUGCCUUAUUUUAAAGUUCAUGUCAAUUUUGUUUAUUUGGUAGUAUAUACUGAAACCACACCGAAUAAGAUGGUUACUGAAACCUAAUUGUGACAAAACUUGUAUCUAGUUUCCCAAUGUACUCCUUCCUCCAUUGAUCCGUGACUCCGAGAACGCAACCCCGCCGCCACCUAGAACUCCCCCAUCUGUGCUCCCCCUGCUGGAAUUUUGUCUAUUAUGGUCCAGCCCAAUAGCAGUUUCAGAAAUUCCUAAUAAAUCCUAGAGGCCCACGCAGCCCAUUCGUGCAAGGCAAGAGGUGGAACUAAAGUUUAGUCCCACAUUGCUAGUUUAGAGGGACUUACACCUGUUUAUAAGGGAGGUUCUUUUCCCACAUGUAUGAGCAUGAGAACAAGAGGGACAUCCAAGCGCGCUCCUCCUCCGCCGCCCACCUCGCCAUGCCACGCCUCGUCAUGACGUGCCGCGCCGCGGGUUGCGGGAAUGAGCCGAGUCGAUGUCUAAAUUUUUCCCACGCACUAUGGGUAUACAAAAGGUCAGACAGAAGCUGAAAAGAUUUUUGCGAUAGUGGAGUUUGAAUGCAAACGGUAUAGCCCUUCGACUGCUGGCUGUUCACUUCAUCUCCGUCUCUUUGUUUCACCUCCCGUCGCUGCCCUCUCGCCUCCUUCUCUUGCGCCUAUAGAAGGGAGGUCGCUCCUCUGAGAGAGACGCACCAGAACUACUUCUUCCUCUCGCCACUGGUUUCUGAGCACUGCGCUGCUCCUACGAUGUUCCCAAUCCCGGCUCGCGGCGUGCACCGUAGGUCGGGACAGUAGGCCUCCAAAACCUCACCUUUUGUGUCCUAUACGGGAGAAGGGUGAUAUGGUUUUUGGGGAGCGCUCAGCGCGACUACUGACUUCUUCGUCACGGACUCCGAUGACUACUUCCCCGACGACGACUUCUUCCCUGACGUUGACAACCUCCUCGACGACGUGGCUGGCGAGGACACCGACUCCAAGUCCAGUGCUACCGCUGCUGUUGUUCGGUACGUGUUCUUACUCUUUCUAUUAGAGGUCCCGCUACAGUUUCUUGUUCUACUAUUUGUCCUAGAUAUGUUAGACUCUAUUUCAUAUAUGCAACUUGCUAUGCUAUCCGCUCUAGAUAUGUUUAGUUACGGUUCAUAUAUGAAGAUGUUGUUUACCUUCUCUUUGUCAAAUCGCAUGGCUUGUUUUAUCACUUCUAUACUAGUCAUGCUUUAUCUAGUAUUUCUGUUAAUAAAAUCAUUCAGUAAAUUGCUCAUAUCUCCAACAAUCCAAAAACCUUAUUAUAGGCAAUUUACCCCAAGUGGUUUUGCUGCUUCCAUGAGACCUCCUAUGUUUGAGGGUAUCCACUAUAAGAGGUGGCGCAUGAGAGUAGUCUUAUGGUUUUAAACCAUGAGUUGCUAUGACGCCCCUCUUGGUAAACCUGAAGGAGAGCAAGAUGCUCAACAGGCACAAGCUUUUCAGAAAAUGGAUACCUUUUUUAAGGCUGCUCUCUUGAGUGUUCAUGGUGAGAACAUAGUUGAUGCUUAUGCGUCAAUUGAUAAUGGAAAAGAUAUGUGGGACGUACUCGAGGCCAAAUUUGGGGUUUCGGAUGCUGGCACUAAGCUGUACAUCAUGGAGCAAUUCUAUGACUACAGGAUGACUGAAGAGCUCUCCGUGGUUGAGCAAGCUCAUGAGAUACAGUCAUUUGCUAGAGAACUUGAGCACUUCAAUUGUAUCCUACCGGACAAGUUUAUUGUCGGAGGUAUCAUCACUACGUUUCCUCCCACUUGGAGGAACUUUGCUACCUCACUGAAGCAUAAGAGGCAGGAGUUUUCCAUUACGGAUCUCAUUGGUACUCUUGAUGUGGAAGAAAAGGCGAGAGCAAAGGACAACCGUGCUCGAGGUAUUGAGGGAGGUUCUAGUGCCAAUCUGGUACAGAAGAAGAACUUCCAGCCCCACAAGUUCAAGAACAAGGGCAAGUUUGAUGGUAAAGCAAAGUUUGAUGGGAAGAACAAGGUUGUGCAGCACACGAACUUCAAGAAGAAGAAUGACAAGAAGAAAGGUGUUUGUCAUGUGUGUGGGGAUCCUGAUCAUUGGGCUCCUAGUUGCCCUAAUCGCUAUGACAAGCGUUAUCCUAGGAAAGGCGGCAAGACCGCUAAUGUUGUCAUUGGAUACAAUGACAUGAAGGAUGAUGGGUAUGGUAUAUUUCUCACUAUUCUUUCAGUAUGUCAUUCUCCUAAUUGGUUGAUUAACACGGGUGCUAAUGUGCAUAUAUGCGGUGAUAUUUCCAUGUUUUCAUCUUAUCAGACCGCAGGGACUUCAACCGUGCUGAUGGGCAAUGGUUCAAGUGCUUUUGUUCGUGGUGUUGGCACGGUCGAUCUGAAGUUUACUUCGGAGAAGAUCGUGCGGCUGAAGAACGUGCUUUAUGUCCCCUCCGUCAAUAAAAAUCUUGUUAGCGGAUCUCUUCUGUGUAGAGAUGGCUACAAGCUUGUCUUUGAGUUGAAUAAAUUUGUAAUUUCCAAGUAUGGAACCUUUGUUGGUAAAGGCUAUGAGUCAGGAGGCCUAUUUUGUUUAUCCUUAUCGGACGUUUGCAAUAAAGUUGUUAAUCACGUUUGCAACAAUAGUGAAUCAAAUGUGUGGCAUUCACAUAUCUGUCAUGUUAACUUUAGUUUCAUGUCGCGACUAGCAAAGUUAAACUUAAUCCCUAGUUUCACCACUGUCAAGGGAUCUAAGUGUCAAGUGUGUGUGCAAGCUAAGCAACCUCGUAAGUCUCAUGUGACUGCGGAAACGAGAAAUCUUGCACCAGUAGAGCUCAUACAUUCAGAUCUAUGUGAAAUGAAUUGUGUUUUGACAAAAAGUGGAAAGAAGUAUUUUAUGACGUUGAUUGAUGACUCCACUAGAUACUGCCAUGUGUAUCUUCUGAAAUCUAAGGAUGAGGCUUUGAACUACUUCAAGAUAUAUAAAGCUGAAGGGGAAAACCAACUUGAUCGAAAGAUCAAGAGGCUUAGGUCCGAUCGUGGUGGAGAGUAUUUCUCAAAUGAAUUUGAUUCCUUUUGUGUGGAACAUGGUAUAAUCCAUGAGAGGACGCCUCCCUAUUCACCUCAGUCAAAUGGGGUGGCCGAACGAAAGAAUCGUACUCUAACUGAUUUGGUUAACGCCAUGUUAGACACAUCGGGUCUCUCCAAAGGCAUGGUGGGGGGAGGCGAUAUUGACUGCAUGUCAUGUCCUAAACCAAGUUUCCACAAAGAACAAAGAGAUAACUCCAUUCGAGGAAUGGGAGAAGAAAAUUUUAAAGCUCUCUUAUCUACGAACCUGGGGUUGUUUGGCGAAAGUCAAUGUGCCAAUUCCAAAGAAGCGGAAGUUGGGACCAAAAACUGUGGAUUGUGUUUUCCUGGGAUAUGCUUUUCAUAGCAUUGGUUAUAGAUUCUUGGUUAUAAAAUUUGAGGUACCUGACAUGCAUGUCGGUACAAUCAUGGAGUUGAAUGAUGCGACUUUCUUUGAAGAUAUCUUUCCCAUGAAGGAUAUGGCUACCUCAUCUAAUCAGGAGAUGCCUAGUUCAUCGAAUCAGGAACCAGUUACAAUUACUGAACCUGCCAUUUCGAUGGAACACUUUGAAAGUCCUGUGGAGGAAAACAAUGAAGUUCCUACUAGGAGCAAGAGACAGAGGACUGCAAAGUCCUUUGGUGAUGAUUUUCUUGUGUAUCUCAUAGAUGACACUCCCAGUUCUAUUUCAGAGGCCUAUUCAUCUGAAGAUGCUGACUACUGGAAGGAAGCAGUUCGUAGCGAGAUGGAUUCCAUCUUGGUGAAUGAAAAUUGGGAGAUAAAUGAUUGUCCUUAUGGGUGCAAACCUAUAGGAUGCAAAUGGGUAUUCAAGAAGAAGCUUAGGCCUGAUGGUACUAUUGAAAAGUACAAGGCUUGGCUCGUGGCUAAGGGUUAUACCCAAAAGGAAGGUGAAGAGUUCUUUGAUACUUACUCACCUAUGGCUCGACUGACCACUAUUCGAGUUCUACUUCACUAGCUACCUCACAUGGUUCAUCAAAUGGAUGUUAAGACUGCUUUCCUAAAUGGAGAGUUGGACGAGGAAAUUUAUAUGGAACAACCAGAUGGGUUUGUAACAGAUGGUCACCAAGGGAAAGUGUGCAAGUUGCUGAAGUCUUUGUAUGGACUCAAGCAAGCACCAAAACAGUGGCAUGAGAAGUUCGAAAGAACUUUAACAGCUGUAGGCUUUGUUGUGAACGAAGCUGAAAAAUGUGUGUACUAUCGCCAUGGUGGGGGCGAGAGAGUUACUUUGCUUGUAUGUUGAUGACAUACUGAUUUUCGGAACAAAUCUGAAUGUUAUUAAGGAGGUCAAGGAUUUCCUAUCUCGCUGCUUUGAGAUGAAGGAUUUAGGAGUGGCUGAUGUCAUUCUGAACAUCAAGUUGUUGAGAGACAAAGAUGGUGGGAUUACAUUGCUUCAAUCUCACUAUGUGGAAAAGAUCUUGAGUCGCUUUGGCUACAGUGACUACAAGCCCUCUCCAACACCAUAUGAUGCUAGUGUGCUGCUUCGAAAGAAUCGAAGAAUUACUAGAGACAAAUUGAAUUAUUCUCAGAUUAUUGGCUCGCUUAUGUAUUUAGCCAGUGCUACAAGACCUGACAUCUCUUUUGCUGUUAGCAAACUAAGCCGGUUUGUCUCAAAACCAGGAGAUGUGCAUUGGAAAGCUCUAGAGAGAAUUUUGCGUUAUUUGAAAGGCACUACGAAUUAUGGAAUUCACUACACUGGGCAUCCAAAGGUGCUUGAAGGGUAUAGUGACUCAAACUGGAUCUCAGAUGCUGAUGAGAUAAAGGCCACGAGCGGAUAUGUAUUCACUCAUGGAGGUGGCACUGUUUCUUGGAAGUCUUGCAAGCAGACCAUCUUAACGAGGUCAACAAUGGAAGCAGAACUCACAACACUAGAUACAGCUACGGUCGAAGCAGAUUGGCUUCACCGGUUGUUGAGAAACAUGUACCGGGUAUCCUUAUGAACUGCGACAAUCAAACUGUGAUCACGAAAGUGAACAGCUCAAAGGAUAACAUGAAGUCAUCAAGACACGUUCAGAAAAGGUUAAAGUCUGUCAGAAAACUGAGAAACUCCGGAGUUAUUGCAUUGGAUUAUAUCCAAACGUCUAAAAAUCUGGCAGAUCCUUUCACUAAGGGUCUAUCACGUAAUGUGAUAGAUAAUGCAUCGAGGGAGAUGAGUAUGAGACCCACAAUAUGAGUUGUUCACAAUGGUAACCUAUUCUUUGUGAUCGGAGAUCCCGUGAAUUAGAUGUGGAAGACAAGUUGUUGGUCAACUGGGAGGAGAGUACCCUUACUGUUAAAAAUACCACUCCAUGAAGAUGCAAUACUCUCCUAAUCUGCAUGGCAGGUUGAUGUAUAUCUUAAUGUGUUCUAAGUAGCUCUUUGAAGCAGAGAUGUUGUCCUGCAGAACAUCUUUUGAAGAACGCACCUAUAUGAGUCUGAUUGUUAAACAUCGCAAUCUAUGAGAGUAGGGUUCUCUCUAGUAAACUCAUGAAAGGUCUCGAAGUAUGACGCAUAAGCUCCACCCGCGGGGAAGACCCACGGUAGCCACGUAUCGGUCAAGGCUUUGUGUGAAGUUAGAUUCGCAGAAAACUUGCAGUUAAAGGCCCAGUCCAUUUUCAAGUUGCUUACUAGUGUAGCAUAGAGUUCUAGGUGGAAGUUCAACUUAACAGCCUCCACUGCAGUACCGGUAUAUAAAACAGUGUUUUGGAACCAAAGGUAAAUUUUCUGUGCCUCUGGGAUCUGGUGGGGGAUUUCUAGAAUUUUGUCUAUUAUGGGCCAGCCCAAUAGCAGUUUCAGAGAUUCCUAAUAAAUCCUAGAGGCCCACGCAGCCCAUUCGUGCAAGGCAAGAGGUGGAACUGAAGUUUAGUCCCACAUUGCUAGUUUAGAGGGAGUUGGACCUGUUUAUAAGGGAGGUUCUUUCCCCACAUGUAUGAGCAUGAGAACAAGAGGGACAUCCACGCGCGCUCCUCCUCCGUCGUCCGCCUCGCUACGCCUCGUCGUGCCGCGCCGCGGGUUGCGGGAAUGAGCCGAGCCGAUGUCUAAAUGUUUGAGUCCUGUACGGGAGAAGGGUGAUAAGGUUUUUGGGGAGCGCUCAGCGCGACUACUGACUUCUUCGUCACGGACUCCGACAAUGACUUCCCCGACGACGACUUCUUCCCCGACGUCGACAACCUCCUCGAUGACAUGGCUGGCAAGGACACGGACACCAAGUCUAGUGCUACCGUUGCUGUUGUUUCGUACGUGUUCUUACUCUUUCUAUUAGAGGUCCUGCUACAGUUUCUUGUUCUACUAUUUGCCCUAGAUAUGUUAGACUCUAUUUCAUAUAUGCAACUUGCUAUGAUGUCCGCUCUAGAUAUGUUUAGUUACGAUUCAUAUAUGAAGAUGCAGUUUACCUUCUCUCUGUCAAAUUGCAUGGCUUGUUUUAUCGCUGCUAUACUAGUCAUGCUUUAUCUAGUAUUUCUGUUAAUAAAAUAAUUCGGUAAAUUGCUCAUAUUUCCAACACCCCCUCCACCAUUGCCGCCGACAUCUGCUUCGCGGUGGUGGGCUCCCGCUGCCAAACAGCGCUGGGGGCGGCUCCUUCUCGUGGUGGCGCUAGUGACUACUGGUCUUGGCUGGGGAUGGAGAUGGCGGCUCGCCUGCACGGGUAUGCCGGGGCGGCGGCCCCGGGGACGCGGAGGAGCGGUAGCGAGGAGGCUUGCGGUUCCCGACAUCGGGGUUAUGGGAUGGCCCCGUUUCUGGUGUCCGACCGACCCAGAUCCGGCGGAGGCGGUGGCUUCCAAGGCGGGUCUCCAUGUGUGGCGGGCAGGCUGGGGCGUGGCUGCUCUGGCUGGCAUCCGCGAGUCCGUGGUGGUGGCGGUGUGCCACGGAUUAAGGGUGGCAGCGCAGCGGCGGUGCUCGAGGUGGUGUGCUGGUAGCGGCGAGUUUGUCCGGAUCUGGGGCUGGACUAGUGGCGGAGGCUACUAUCAUGCUAAAUGUGACUCUUCUAGAUGCGGUGGUUAGUCUUCUCUUGCGGCUCCGGUGGGCGUUGGGUUCUUUGAUCUGGGUUGGGAGAAAUCCCUACUAUGAGACGAGGCUCACAACGGCAACGCCCGCGGGCGCCGUUCCCUUCCUUUUGUGUUGGACCUGAUCGGACUCCCUUCCCUGAGCUCGGGGAAACCCUUGUCUUGGUCUGGCCUCCGGACCGGACGGCGGCGGCGGUGUCAAGGUGUCGUUACCUUCUUGAAGGUGCCGUCUUGUUGCUCGAGGAGUCUCGUUGGUGUGGCUCGAGUCAGUCGGGUGCCACUUUGGGCAUGGGCCUCAUGGGCGCAAUGUACGCCAUCUCCGGUGCUCUCACGACAGUACCUUCCCUAGGUUCGCUCAGGCUCUGCCAUUCACUUGCCGAUUUUCUCUUGGCGCAAAUGGGUGGCGGUACGUUGGUAUGUGUUAGCCUUGGGUUUUGGUCUUGUUGUAGAGGUCUCGGCGUUGGUUGUGACAUGGGUUGAUUGCUCUAUGGCUUGCCUUGUUGUCAUUGGCAUGAGGUUGGACUAGGGAAACAUGUAUCAUAGUAGCCAGGGUGGGUGUGGGUGGUGGAUGUGGAGGCUAAUUCUCGUGAUUAACAUUGUAAUGGCUGGAAGGCCUUGUAUCCGGCUUCUUUGCCGCUUCUUCUUUAGUGUGAUGAUAGGCAUGUUUGUGCGUAUUCGAGAAAAAAAAUCCUAUGCACUUCAUCCUUAUGAUGUUAGAGCAGCACUGCAUGAACUUCAUUAGUAGUAUAAGCGUAGUUUAUUUGUCGCGCUGUGUGCUGUUGAGUUCAUGAACACUCUGCCACCAAACCUUAGGCCAACUCCACCGUGCGACCCUAUCCUGUCUGGCUCCGUCCGUUUGGGGUAAAAGGGACAAAAGAGGCGGCCCAGCGCACGGCCUCAAACGGACAAAUGUCCAGAUUCCGUCUGUUUUCGACCCAUCCCCGGCCCAAACUUGCGCUUGGUUUGGGGUGAAACGGACGCGCGCGGACGGCCGCAACGCACGCCCUUGUCCCCCCAUGGCUAGCCUGUCGGGGACACUAGCAGUCCCUCCACUCCCAAUGCUUCACCCUCUCUCCCGCCCCGCCCCGCCGCCGGCGCCGCCCCUAUUCUCCGGCCGCCUCCUCACAGCGUAGCCCCCCGCCGUCCAUACCAAACCACGUCUCGACAUGACCGCCACCACGCCCGCGCUUUCGCCGUAGUUUUGGUCGUCUAUCGGGGGAGGUUUGGCCGUCGCCGUCCUUGCCGGUGGCGGAGGGGACAUGACUGCCGGCGACGGACCACGACGGCCGAGGCAGAUUCCGACGAGAGCUCAAGAGCGGCCAGUAGCCGGCCGGCAACCACCCCUGCUGCGUUGAGGUGAUUAUCGCGGCCUCUUCGCCACCACGACCGCAAGGUGUUCGACCUUUUGCCAACAAAGGUAUGGACAGUGGAGACGAGUUUUUCUUUCAUCACUUCCUUUGUUCAUCGGAUGAUUUGUCGUCGGAUGAUGAAGAUCUUGUGGUUGCUGCACUGGUCGUUCACGACCAUAUUCAACGGCAGCUUCCUUGGUACAGGGGGUCACUCCCUGGCCGUGCUCCCAACCUGAACCGCAACAGGGAGAGAGGCCACGCCCUGCUCUAUGUCGAUUACUUUGCCAACACCCCGCUCUUCAAGCCGGAUAAAUUUCGUCGCCGUUUUCGUAUGGCAAGACAUGUGUUCAAUCGUAUCCGAGAGGGUGUGGUUGCUCAUGACCCAUACUUCGAGUGCAAUACGGAUGCCCUUGGCAAGCUUGGAUUCUCCUCUUACCAGAAAUGCACCGCGGCCAUCCGCAUGCUUGCAUAUGGUAUUCCAGGCGAUCUAGUGGACGAGUAUGUGUGUAUGAGUGAGACAACAUGUCUGAUGUCAAUGUACAAGUUUUGUCAGGCUGUGAUCGAGGUGUUUGGCCUAGAGUACUUGAGGCAGCCAACUGUCGCUGAUACAGAGAGAUUGUUGGCGACCAACACAGCUAGAGGCUUUCCAGGCAUGCUUGGCAGCAUAGAUUGUAUGCAUUGGGAGUGGAAGAACUGUCCAUUUGCUUGGCAGGGCCAGUACAAGGGGCAUGUUAACGGGUGCACUGUCAUAUUAGAAGCGGUGGCAUCGCAAGAUCUUUGGAUAUGGCAUUCUUUCUUCGGUAUGGCAGGUUCUCACAAUGAUAUCAACGUGCUGCAGCGUUCUCCAGUCUUCGCGAGGCUUGCAGAAGGCCACUCCCCACCUGUCAACUUUGAGAUCAAUGGCCACCAGUACAACAAGGGAUACUAUCUAGCAGAUGGUAUAUAUCCUCAGUGGUCAACUUUUGUGAAGACAAUCUCGAAACCCCAAGGUGAGAAGAGAAAGAGAUUUGCCCAAAUGCAAGAGAGUGUUAGAAAGGAUGUGGAAUGUGCUUUUGGUGUGCUUCAAUCCCGGUGGGUUAUCGUUCGAAACCCUGCACUGUCAUGGGAUGAAAGGAAGCUUUGUGAGGUGAUGACUGCUUGUGUGAUCAUGCACAACAUGAUCGUCGAGGACGAGCGUGAUGAGAGUAUCUUCGACCAAGGAUUUGAUUAUCAAGGUGAAAAUAUUGAGCCCCUGCACCAAGACCCGGCCACAUUUGAACAGUUUGUCCAAUUCCACCGUGAGAUGCGUGAUUGGCACACUCAUUUGAAUAUUCAAAAUGACUUGGUUGAGCACGUCUGGGAUCACAUUGGCAACCAAUAGAUGUAUUGGUCCAAUUUAUGUUCAGUCAAGACAAUUUCGAUUUGGUUGUAAAACUAUUUUAUUAAAGACAUUUUCAAUUGGGUUGUAAAACUAUUUUAAUUUUCAGACAAAUAUUUGGGUUGGAAACUAGUUUUGAUGCAAAUUUGAGCAUUUUUUGCCCUGACGGACAGGAUGGGGCAAAUGGAUGCGGUUGCGCGCUGUGCGCACGGCCACCGCAUCCCAGGACAGGCCCGGAUACGACCCUAAAUCCCUAUCCAAACGAAGAGAAACCGGACAAAACGAACGUCUGUUUGGGGUCGCGUGGUGGAGUUGGCCUUAUCCCGUGGCACCGCACCAGAAGCUAAGCUAGUGUAGUGCUAGUGCUUCUCCGAGCCAGCGUUGCACAGCUACGGUAGCCUGUCGCAGCAAGCAAGCAAGCGACCGAGGCAGGACCUUUCCGUGUACAAGUAGCCAGCAGCCUUGCUUUCUCUUCAGCGGGAACGAUCGAUGCGAGCCGUCAGUCCAUUUCCAAUCAAUGCUGCGUGCAAAGGAACACCCAAGUACGAAAAGUCCAUUCUGCACCCGAGCUCAUAUGCUCCCGCAUGAACAGUAAAAUCGAAACAAAAUCAAAAAAAAUUCAAAAAAUUCCAAUUUUUUUUGGGACAAACAUUGACAAAACUUCUAAGUGCCUGCAAAGAUUCGUCAUGAAAUCACAUUCCUAGAAGGCGUGGCAAAAAAAACAAAUUCAGUGCUUCAAAAUGCGUUUGAAAGUAGCUUUUUCAGAGUAGUUUUUUUGUUUUUUUUGCCACGCCUUCUAGGAAUGUGAUUUCACAACGAAUUUUUGCAGGCACUUAGAACUUUUGUCAAUGUUUCACUCAAAAAUAAUUUGGAAUUUUUUGAAUUUUUUUUAAAAAAAAUUCGAUUUUACUGUUCAUGCAGGAGCAUAUGAGCUCGGGUGCAGAUUAGCCGCGUCCCACCCAAGUACUACUACUUACUACUGAUAGCAAGUGGGUGUACGUGCACAGUACACUCCACCGCACCAUGCAAGAUCCACUCAUGCGUGUCUGCGUUCUCAGCUGGUGGUGACUCUGCUGCUAAAGAAGAUAGUAGCAUUCAGAAGAAGCUGGCAGUCUCUCUCAGUCGGUGUCGAGCAUGGCAUCGCAUCGGCAAUGGCCGUUCGCGUCACAUCGCGCGCUCCCCUUCUCCUGCCUCCCAAGCCAAACCCAGAAAAGGGAAAAGCUACACCGUCCAAGUUGAUAUAGGAGCAGCGGCCGGCAAUGCUAGCUAGACGGAUGGAUCGGCGCCGGUGAGACAAGCACCGAGGCGUUUCCGUUUUGUCACCUCGCCGGUGGCCGAGGCAGAAAAGCCACCGUACCGUACUACUAGUUGGUGUCUGAUGUCUCUAGCUCGGCCGGCCUAGCUAGGUACCAGCAGCAGCUUGAAUUGAUUGAUCCAUGGAGCAUCCAGAUGAUGCGCGUGAAACUACUAGCGCUAAGACAUUUCAAUUUCUUCACCUCUCGCCAGUGGCACGGCGUGGAAAGGCACCGCUGCUGCACACACGAUAGUUACUAGCACUAGGAGCUACGUACACGCCUCGCUCCAUGUGCAGUGGUGCGGCGCAACUGUAAAGCACCGGCAUAUACUCAGAAUUUGUUGCAAUGUCCGCUAUAAAAGGCUCCCGCGCCUUCUUCGCUUCUCCUGCAUUCACAAGUCACAGCUCACGAUUCUGCAAACCAUCAACAAGAAGAGGCUCCAUCACAUCUAGCCAGCUAGCCAAAGACGAUGAGGCCGAACGCCCUGACGCUGCCGCUACCUCUCGCCUUCCUCCUCCUCCUCCUCCUCCUCGUGCUAGCACCAGGUACGUGCCCAUUCGUCCAUGUAAUGCCUACGUUGCUUCACAAAUUAAAUGUAUAGUGUAGCUACAAAUUAAUCUGCGGCCAUGCAUGCAUGGUUUUUAUAUCCCACUAAUUCUCUUCUUCUUCUUUGCUACAGCUAAGGCGAGAGAUGAUUGUACAAGCCAUAUAUAUCAUCGGGUGCAAGAACAAACCCGAGCCGCCUUGUCCGUGCGACCGCGCGGAGUGUAGCUUCGACAGCCGUGUAGCGUUCGCUCAGCUUGGGUGCCCGAAAGAUGCGACCAGAUGCACUUGGACAGGACAGUGCAUCAACCGGGGGUGCAACUUCACCUACUGCGUAUAUAGAUAAGAUAGGUGGGCAUGUCGACCUGAUAAAAUAACAAAGAUGAUAUCAUAGAUGGCAAUGCAGUAUGUAGUUCUGUUCGCUGCAAAGUGAUGUACCUAAAUGGUGAAUUAUUUACAUGCCUACCAUGGAUAUGUCUCGUUUAUCAUAUUAUCCAGAAAUAAAAA